RNAcentral lists this long non-coding RNA (100818 nucleotides) under Triticum aestivum (bread wheat). Its description in RNAcentral is "long non-coding RNA (TAES_LNC020645)". Lineage: Eukaryota; Viridiplantae; Streptophyta; Magnoliopsida; Poales; Poaceae. The record is from RNAcentral.
AGAUAAUGAUGCAGCGGUGGCGUGACUAAUGUGAACAGAACUCGAAACUCUAAACGAACUAGACACUAAGACCAGCAACUCGACACGAUGAUGCAAUCGAUAAUUCAACUAUGCAAGCAAUGAAAAGAAAAUUGCAAAGGCUCAGACUGGCUUGGACCAAGGAUGAAUAGAUCUAACUCUUUUUUGUGGCUUUUUCUUGGACAAUAGGUAAAUCUAGGAAAACUGGAAAUUCUCACCGAGCAACCUGAAAACUGAUACCACUUGAUAGAGGCGGGGGUGUCCCGAUCUUUCGAUGAGAUGAUAACUAUCGAUUUGGUGGAGACGACUUUGACGAUCCGACUACAAACAUGCACGACGUUGCGCCUUAGCAAUCGCUAAACCAACUCCGAGAGGUUAUUGACCACGCGCGGAGCACAAUCAACCUGACCACGAAGGUCUAUUCCUGCAAGCAAUCGAAGAACAAGCAAGAAUAUGAUAAAAGCAAUCUGAAUAUUGCGAGUAUAUAUGAAGUAUUGAUAAAGGUGGGGAUCCGUAAGCGGUCUUGGUCUGGUCAUUGGACACAAACGAAGUACACGAAGUUGCAAUGGCUAACUUUUAACUAAACAAAUCCCAAGGAAAAGCUACUAGAUGGAUCUACUUAUAUAGGAGCAAGGGGUGGCGGCCAAGGAGGUGGGAGGACGUCCCAAGGCAGCCUAAAACUAAAUCUAGGUCGUACAAGGCCAAUGGGCCCAAGUGGAGGUGAUGUAACACCUUUGGACUUGUAGUUUGACUCGGAUUCUGCUGCAGCAUCAGAUUGUUUCGUCCACAACUCAACGCUCCGGACGAAUUUGAAGGUGAAUCCAAUUGGGUUGGAAAGUGCACGAAAUCUAGUUUCCAACAAAAAAAGAAUCACCCAAUUCGGAGUCCGUAUGAAAAACUUGUGUGCGUUUUGAGUCAGGUGUGUCUGUGCAGUCCGAAUCUGAAUCCAGAACGUGAGAGACUUGGACUCUAUCUUCUCUUGGGCCAAAAGUGACGUGGGAGAACUUUUUGGACAGCAAAUAAACAUCUCUUUCUUCCUUAUCUUCAUAUGUGGAUUGUACAAAUGUCCCAUACACCUGCAAUUAGACAAAACACAAAAGUGUGUGAAGUAUUUUUGUUCUGGAUAACAUAAAUAGAUUAUUGAAUAGUUUGCACUAGAAAUCACCUGACAAAUAUGCAUAUAUGCAAUAUUUUUGGUCAUAUCCAAGGUAGUCAUGUCCUCAUCACCAACUAAAUUACCAGGUACUUUCGUUUCUUGGUAAUGAUUCUAAUGUUCAUGAGAAUAUGAUGCUGCCUAAAUUGGAUACAUUUGUUUUGCUUACAAAUGAAGGGUCUAGCUUGGAGAAGGAUGAACAUUGGAGCAAGAACAAGCAUGGAGAUGAUGGCAUGCGCAAGGGGAACAAGAACGGAGUUACAAGUGAUGAUUUCAGGACUUUGAAGCCACCAUAAUGGGUGCAUGAAGCCUUGGACGAAAUAUACAAGAUGCCACUUCAUAAAUUUCGUCCCGAGGCUAUUUUAGGUGCUGCGUCACCUUAUUAUUGGGCCAGGCCCAUGUAAUUUCGAAAUACAUAAGUAUAGGCUAUUUUUAGAGUCCGUAUGUGUGGGGAAACAAGAGAUAGGGUUGAUUUCGGACCCCUCCACCAAGGGCCACUGAUGAGGACAUCAAUACAAUUGUUACACCCACAGCCCCUGCUGCUAUACAUACUGGACCAAUUACUAGAGCUCGUGCACGCCAACUAAAUUACCAGGUACUUUCGUUUCUUGGUAAUGAUUCUAAUGUUCAUGAGAAUAUGAUGCUGCCUAAAUUGGAUACAUUUGUUUUGCUUACAAAUGAAGGGCCUAGCUUGGAGAAGGAUGAACAUUGGAGCAAGAACAAGCAUGGAGAUGAUGGCAUGCGCAAGGGAAACAAGAACGGAGUUACAAGUGAUGAUUUCAGGACUUUGAAGCCACCAUAAUGGGUGCAUGAAGCCUUGGACGAAAUAUACAAGACGCCACUUCAUAAAUUUCGUCCCGAGGCUAUUUUAGGUGCUGCGUCACCUUAUUAUUGGGCCAGGCCCAUGUAAUUUCGAAAUACAUAAGUAUAGGCUAUUUUUAGAGUCCGUAUGUGUGGGGAAACAAGAGAUAGGGUUGAUUUCGGACCCCUCCACCAAGGGCCACGAAAUUCCCCCCCUCUUCCUCCAUAUAUACAGCCCUUAGGGCAUCGUUUAGACUUUGGGUUUUGUUUAGAUUAAAAGUUCGCCAUAGGUGCAACUUCGCGUACUUCGUCUGUGUUCAACGACCAGACAAAGGCGUCACAGAACCCCACCUUGAUCAAUAAAGCUUUCAUCUUAUAUUCGCAAUAUCCAGAUUGCAAUCUUAGUUUCUUGCUUGUUCUUCGAUUGCUCGCAGGAAACAGACCCUCGUGGUCAGGUUGAUCGUGCUCCGGCGUGGUCAAUAACCUCUCGGAGUUGGUUUAGCGAUUGCUAAGGCGCGACGUCCUCGCACGUUCGUAGUCGGAUCGUCAAAGUCGACUUCCACCAAAGCGAUAUCCAUCAUCUCAUCGAAAGAUCGGGACCCUCGCCUCUAUCAAGUGGUAUCAGAGCUUUGUCGAUCGCGGGAGACGUGCCACCACCUUUGCAAAUACCACAACCGUCACGAGAGGUGCACAAACAUCCAAAUGCACAUGAUCAGGUUAAUGUAUCUAUACCACCAUUUAAUGGCCGUUUUAAACCUGCUUUAUAUAUUGAAUGGGAGUUCGACAUAAAAAAUAUAUUUGCUUCCCAUAAUUUCAAUGAACAUAAAAAGGUUAAGGUUGCGGUUGGUUCUUUCACUGGUUAUGCUUUGGUUUGGUGGAGUGAAUAUUGUCGGUUACACCCUGAUUAUAUACCUACUACUUGGGAUGAUUUGAAACUUGCCAUGCGACAUACUUUCGUCCCUGCUUAUUAUACUCGUGACAUGAUUAAGAAGUUGCAACACUUAAAACAAGGUAGUGAAACUGUAACAAAAUAUUAUGAUGAUUUACAAACUACCUUGUUGCAUUCCUCUUUAGAAGAAAGUGAAGAUGAUUUUAUGGAUAGAUUUUGGGGAGGAUUUAACCGUGAUAUUCAAGAGAUACUAAUUCAUGAAGAGUGUUAUCCUAUGGACCAUUUGUUUCAUCUUGCUUGCAAAGCUGAACAGGAAAUAAAACGACGUGUUGGCCACGAGGAGAACAAGCGCACGGUGCACAUUCCAAGAGUUGAUAUGAUUGUUCCUUCAACUACUAGGCAUACUAUGACAACCACAUCCGUUGUUGUCAGGACUACAUCACCUCCACCAUGUGACACAUCGCCCCCGAGAGUGGCUACAUCAUCUGAGUUGAUCAUAAGAGGUAAUGACAAAGGUACUGAUCUUCCAUCUCUACAUGAGAAUGAUGAAUGCCUUGUCAAUUUGAAUGCACCAUCUGAUGAGCUACCCACUACUUUGAUCACACCACCUAUUUUAGAGGACUACGUUGAUAAUUUGACUUUGCCAUGUGAUCAAACAACUAAAAUACCAACAAUUUUGAGUGCACCCAUUGAAUUAACUAUUGAUGCAAAAGAACCAAUGUUUAAUCAUUUUGAUAUGACCUCUAAUCUUGGUGAUGAUUUUGUGUUGAAUGACUUAUUGCAUGUUUGCUUAUUUAAGCAUGUUGUAGCAUGUACAUUUGAUGCAAGUAAGGUUUAUUCACCAAUGUUGGGAUGGUUUAAUGAUGAACAUUGUCAAUCUUUUGAAAUGAAUAAGAGCUUCACUUAUAUGUGCAAACUGAGUUGUAAUAUUUUCAUGCCUUCUACUUCUUGUGCUAAUUUUUUGGCUUUAGAUUUUAUGAACUAUGCAAGUUACUCAUCUAUUCAUGUGUCAUAUAUGCAAAAAUCAAGGGAAGUAAAAAUGGAUGACAUAUACAUAUACAACAUGUACACCUUGUCUCUUUUGUUAGCCACAUUUCAGAUUAAGCAACGCCGAGGACGGCUUUAUUUUCAAGAAGGGGAGGAUGAUGAGGACAUGACUACCUUGGAUAUGACCAAAAAUAUUGCAUAUAUGCAUAUUUGUCAGGUGAUUUCUAGUGCAAACUAUUCAAUAAUCUAUUUAUGUUAUCCAGAACAAAAAUACUUCACACACUUUUGUGUUUUGUCUAAUUGCAGGUGUAUGGGACAUUUGUACAAUCCACAUAUGAAGAUAAGGAAGAAAGAGAUGUUUAUUUGCUGUCCAAAAAGUUCUUUCACGUCACUUUUGGCCCAAGAGAAGAUAGAGUCCAAGUCUCUCACGUUCUGGAUUCAGAUUCGGACUGCACAGACAUACCUGACUCAAAACGCACACAAGUUUUUCAUACGGACUCCGAAUGAUGAGGACAUCAAUACAAUUGUUACACCCACAGCCCCUGCUGCUAUACAUACUGGACCAAUUACUAGAGCUCGUGCACGCCAACUAAAUUACCAGGUACUUUCAUUUCUUGGUAAUGAUUCUAAUGUUCAUGAGAAUAUGAUGCUGCCUAAAUUGGAUACAUUUGUUUUGCUUACAAAUGAAGGGCCUAGCUUGGAGAAGGAUGAACAUUGGAGCAAGAACAAGCAUGGAGACGAUGGCAUGCGCAAGGGGAACAAGAACGGAGUUACAAGUGAUGAUUUCAGGACUUUGAAGCCACCAUAAUGGGUGCAUGAAGCCUUGGACGAAAUAUACAAGAUGCCACUUCAUAAAUUUUGUCCCGAGGCUAUUUUAGGUGCUGCGUCACCUUAUUAUUGGGCCAGGCCCAUGUAAUUUCGAAAUACAUAAGUAUAGGCUAUUUUUAGAGUCCGUAUGUGUGGGGAAACAAGAGAUAGGGUUGAUUUCGGACCCCUCCACCAAGGGCCACGAAAUUCCCCCCUCUUCCUCCAUAUAUAUAGCCCUUAGGGCAUCGUUUAGACUUUGGGUUUUGUUUAGAUUAAAAGUUCGCCAUAGCUGCAACUUCGCGUACUUCGUUUGUGUUCAACGACCAGACAAAGGCGUCACAGAACCCCACCUUGAUCAAUAAAGCUUUCAUCUUAUAUUCGCAAUAUCCAGAUUGCAAUCUUAGUUUCUUGCUUGUUCUUCGUUUGCUCGCAGGAAACAGACCCUCGUGGUCAGGUUGAUCGUGCUCCGGCGUGGUCAAUAACCUCUCGGAGUUGGUUUAGCGAUUGCUAAGGCGCGAUGUCCUCGCACGUUCGUAGUCGGAUCGUCAAAGUCGACUUCCACCAAAGGGAAAUUCACCAUCUCAUCGAAAGACGGGACACCUUUGCCUCUAUCAUCUAGUAAUUGGUCCAGUAUGUAUAGCAGCAGGGGCUGUGGGUGUAACAAUUGUAUUGAUGUCCUCAUCAAUAUACCACCACCACAUAUUCACCGCCAAUCCGAAUCCAUAUACGCCACCACAUAUCCGCCGCCAUCACGCCAAUCCGAGUUCACCUGCAACAUAUAUCCGCCACCUGUCCGAGUUCCACCAGAUUCAUCUCCGCCACCAGUCCUAGUCCGAGUCCAGUAAUUGUUGCUUUGUUCUCGAUUUCCAGAUCACGCGAUACUCCGAGUCGUGACAGAGAAGGACUCCCCAACUUCCGAGCCAUCCGCAGAAGAAAAAUAGUUCCAAUUUCAAAAAAAAAAACUAAGUGUGGAAAAUUCUGGCUAGGCAGUUUUUAGACCAUUUGUAGACUUUUUCGAAAAAAAUUUGUUAAGGAGCAAAAAAAAAGAGGAAAAAAAGUGCAAAAAAAAAAUCAGAGUGUGCUCCUCCCUUGUUUACGUGCCGCGCCGUGAUUUUGUUGGUGUUCUAGACUCGCGUCUCUAGCACAGUCUAGCCUAGGACCAGCACAGUACCGUUGUUGAGCGUUUAUUCAACUUUGCAUCUCUGAAUUGAUUAUUGCUGACCCUUUUUGCUACCAUAUUAUAAGCCUUCCCAGCUCCACAUACAUCUACGUCGUGCGUUUGACUCUCCCUGGUAAUCGCUCUAUCCAAGCUUUGAGAGUUGUGACUACAACGGUUGCCGAUCACCGCCUAUUGCUGGGUAAGAACUGGUAAGAAUUUGAGUUUUGCUUGACGGAUUUGUGACACCCACCACCACCACUUGUUAGUAGUCUGUAGGAUCAUAUUCUUGUGUGUUUCUAUUGCUGCUAACCAUGCCAGGAUCACAAGCCGACGAGAUUGACUGGGAGAAUUUAUCGAACAAUGAGCUUCAUGAUAAGUUUCAGCAAAUGAUGACUGAAUAGGUGCAAGAUGUGCUGAACAAUUUUGAAGAGGCCAUGGAGAAGAUCACUGGCCUUGAGAAGACGUUCGAAACAAAGCUCGAUAACAAGUUUAAUGAAUUGCUCGCGCGUCUUCCACCACCACCACCCGCUGCACCUAACGCACCUCUCCAACAACAACAACAACGACUACCUCCACAUCGCGAAACAGACCUUCGCCGAGCGAGUCGUGUUCCUCUUGCGUUUGACCAAACUGUUGGUGCUGCUGUUGAUACUUCUGUGGCUCCUGCUGCUGAUGCGGAGGAGGAUGAUUAUGUGGGAGAUUAUGAGGAUGAGGUUGAUCAAAAUCAGCACUACGUGCAGCCACCUGCACCACCACCAGCAGGUCGACCUCAGGUAUAUAUUCGUAAUGGUAGGCCUGCACCACCACCACCACCUCAGGUACGAGAUGAUGUCCAUAUUCCUAAACUGACAUUUAAUAUUCCACCAUUUGAGGGUAGAUAUGUUCGUGAUAUAUAUCUUACUUGGGAGUUAGAAACUGAACAAUGAUUUACAUGUUUACAAUAUCCUGAGGAGAGACGAUUUGCUGCUGCUGUUUGUGCUUUCACUAGUUUUGCAUGUGUAUGGUGGUCUGAACAUUGUAGAUUAUAUCCUAUUCCAACUACUUGGGCUGCUUUGAAAACUGCUAUGCGUACUCGUUGGGUUCCACCAUAUUAUCAACGUGAAUUGCUUCAAAAAUUACAGUGUUUAAGACAAGGGAAAAAUUCUGUAGAAGAAUAUUAUAAGGAAUUACAAACUGGCAUGAUUAGAUGUGGUAUUGUUGAGGAGAAUGAAGCUAUGCUUGCACGUUUUCUGGGUGGAUUAAAUAGAGAGAUUCAGACCAUUCUAGACUAUAAGGAGUAUACUAAUAUCACUCGUUUAUUCCAUCUUGCUUGUAAAGCUGAGCGUGAAGUGCAGGAUCGACAAGCAUUGGGGCGAACUAACUUUUCUGCAGGCCGACCUUCAUCAUGGACACCACGUGCAUCUUCUACUUCAACUGCACCAGCACCUCCAUCCGGUGCCACCUCCAGCCGUGAUACAAGAAAACAGGCACAACCACCAUUAUCUGCCAAGAGCGCACCUGCGGGGCCUGCACAGCGUUCUUCUUCUUCCAUGGCAUCAACAGGGCACACAAGUGAUAUUAUUUGUCGUCGUUGUAAGGGAGGAGGUCAUGAUGAGGACAUCAAUACAAUUGUUACACCCACAGCCCCUGCUACUAUACAUACUGGACCAAUUACUAGAGCUCGUGCACGCCAACUAAAUUACCAGGUACUUUCGUUUCUUGGUAAUGAUUCUAAUAUUCAUGAGAAUAUGAUGCUGCCUAAAUUGGAUACAUUUGUUUUGCUUACAAAUGAAGGGCCUAGCUUGGAGAAGGAUGAACAUUGGAGCAAGAACAAGCAAGGAGAUGAUGGCAUGCGCAAGGGGAACCAGAACGGAGUUACAAGUGAUGAUUUCAGGACUUUGAAGCCACCAUAAUGGGUGCAUGAAGCCUUGGACGAAAUAUACAAGAUGCCACUUCAUAAAUUUCGUCCCGAGGCUAUUUUAGGUGUUGCGUCACCUUAUUAUUGGGCCAGGCCCAUGUAAUUUCGAAAUACAUAAGUAUAGGCUAUUUUUAGAGUCCGUAUGUGUGGGGAAACAAGAGAUAGGGUUGAUUUCGGACCCCUCCACCAAGGGCCACGAAAUUCCCCCCCUCUUCCUCCAUAUAUACAGCCCUUAGGGCAUCGUUUAGACUUUGGGUUUUGUUUAGAUUAAAAGUUCGCCAUAGCUGCAACUUCGCGUACUUCGUUUGUGUUCAACGACCAGACAAAGGCGUCACAGAACACCACCUUGAUCAAUAAAGCUUUCAUCUUAUAUUCGCAAUAUCCAGAUUGCAAUCUUAGUUUCUUGCUUGUUCUUCGUUUGCUCGCAGGAAACAGACCCUCGUGGUCAGGUUGAUCGUGCUCCGGCGUGGUCAAUAACCUCUCGGAGUUGGUUUAGCGAUUGCUAAGGCGCGACGUCCUCGCACGUUCGUAGUCGGAUCGUCAAAGUCGACUUCCACCAAAGCGAUAUCCAUCAUCUCAUCGAAAGAUUGGGACCCUCGCCUCUAUCAGCGAGAGAAUGCAAAUCUCCGCGUGUGAUGAUUGCUACCGCAGAUGGUGGAUAUGAGUCUGCUAGUGACUAUGAUGAGGAGACUUUGGCUCUUAUUACACGUGAAGAACAUGGUGGAGAUGAUUCUGAUCAUGAGACGCAAUACAUGGCUCCUGAAGACGCUGACAGGUAUGAAUGUUUAGUUGCUCAACGUGUUUUGAGUGUGCAGAUCACACAAGCUGAGCAAAAUCAGAGGCACAAUUUGUUCCAUACCAAGGGAGUUGUGAAGGAACGUUCUGUGCGCGUCAUCAUAGACGGAGGGAGCUGCAACAACUUAGCUAGCAUGGAGAUGGUGGAGAAGCUUUCUCUCACCACAAGACCACAUCCACAUCCUUACUACAUCCAAUGGUUCAACAACAGCGGCAAGGUUAAGGUAACACGUACUGUUCGUGUGCAUUUUAGUAUCUCUACAUAUGCUGAUUAUGUUGAUUGUGAUGUGGUACCUAUGCAAGCAUGUUCCUUAUUACUUGGUAGACCAUGGCAAUUUGAUAAAAAUUCUGUACACCAUGGUAGAAACAAUCACUAUACUCUUGUUCAUAAGGAUAAAAAUAUUACUUUGCUUCCUAUGACUCCUGAUUCCAUUUUGAAAGAUGAUAUUAAUAGAGCUAAUAAAGCAAAACAGGAGACGAAUACGAGUGAAAAUCAGAUUGUGGCAAAAGAAUUUGAGCAACAAAUGAAGCCUAAUAAUAAGCCAUCUAGUGUUGCUUCUGAAAUUAAAUUGAAGAGUGCAUGUUUAUUUGCCACCAAAUCUGAUAUUGAUGAGCUAGAUUUCGGCAAAUCUGUUUGCUAUGCUUUUGUGUGCAAAGAGGCAUUAUUUUCAUUUGAGGACGUGCCUUCCUCUUUGCCUCCUGCUGUCACUAACAUUUUGCAGGAGUUCGCUGAUGUCUUUCCACAAGACGUGCCACCGGGAUUACCGCCUAUUGGAGGGAUUGAGCAUCAGAUUGACUUAAUUCCCGGUGCUUCACUGCCAAACCGUGCACCAUACCGUACCAAUCCAGAGGAGACGACGGUGAUUAUGCGUCAAGUACAAGAGCUUCUCGACAAAGGUUAUAUACGCGAAUCCCUUAGUCCUUGUGAUGUUCCUAUUAUUCUAGUGCCGAAAAAGGAUGGUACAUCAUGUAUGUGUGUUGAUUGUAGAGGCAUUAAUAAUAUUACUAUUCGUUAUCGUCAUCCUAUUCCUAGGCUAGAUGAUAUGCUUGAUGAAUUGAGUGGCUCUACAAUAUUCUCCAAAGUUGAUUUGCGUAGUGGAUACCAUCAAAUUCAUAUGAAAUUGGGAGAUGAAUGGAAAACAACAUUCAAAACUAAGUUUGGAUUAUAUGAGUGGUUAGUCAUGCCUUUUGGGUUAACUAAUGCACCUAGUACUUUCAUGAGAUUAAUGAAUGAAGUUUUACGUGCUUUCAUUGGACGAUUUGUGGUAGUUUACUUUGAUGACAUAUUGAUUUAUAGCAGAUCUUUGGAAGAACAUUUGGAACAUUUACGUGCUGUUUUUAUUGCUCUACGUGAUGCACGUUUGUUUGGUAACCUUGGGAAGUGCACCUUUUGCACCGACCGAGUAUCUUUUCUUGGCUAUGUUGUUACUCCACAGGGAAUUGAAGUUGAUAAAGAAGGAAGAAUGUGGAACAAGUUCGUCGUUAACGAUGGAUUUGUGUUUCGUGCUAACAAGCUAUGCAUUCCAGCUAGCUCCGUUCGUCUUUUGUUGUUGCAGGAGGCGCAUGGAGGAGGAUUAAUGGGACACUUUGGCGUGAAGAAGACGGAGGACGUACUUGCUACACAUUUCUUUUGGCCAAAGAUGAGACGGGAUGUUGAGCGUUUUAUUGCUCGAUGCACUACAUGUCAAAAAGCUAAGUCACGACUCAAUCCUCAUGGUUUAUAUAUGCCUUUGCCUGUACCUAGUGUUCCUUGGGAGGAUAUAUCUAUGGACUUUGUUUUAGGUUUACCUCGAACAAAGAAGGGGAGGGAUAGCAUAUUUGUUGUCGUGGAUAGAUUCUCAAAAAUGGCACACUUUAUACCAUGUCAUAAAAGCGAUGAUGCCGUUAAUGUUGCUGAUUUGUUCUUUCGUGAAAUUAUUCGCUUGCAUGGUGAGCCAAAUACUAUUGUUUCAGAUCGUGAUACUAAAUUUCUUAGCCACUUUUGGAGAUGUUUAUGGGCUAAGUUGGGGACUAAACUGCUUUUUAGUACUACUUGUCACCCCCAAACUGAUGGACAAACUGAAGUAGUCAAUAGAAUGUUGUCUACUAUGCUUAGGGCUGUUUUGAAGAAUAAUAAGAAAAUGUGGGAGGAAUGCUUGCCUCAUAUUGAAUUUGCUUAUAAUCGUUCAUUGCAUUCUACUACUAAGAUGUGCCCUUUUGAAGUUGUGUAUGGUUUCCUACCUCGUGCACCUAUUGAUUUGUUGCCUCUUCCAUCUUCGGAGAAGGUUAAUUUUGAUGCUAAACAACGUGCUGAAUUGAUUUUAAAAAUGCAUGAGUUAACUAAGGAAAACAUUGAGCGUAUGAAUGCUAAAUAUAAACUUGCUGGAGAUAAGGGUAGAAAACAUGUUGUGUUUGCACCUGGAGAUCUUAUUUGGUUACGUUUGCGUAAGGAUAGAUUUCCUGAUUUGCGCAAAUCAAAGCUAAUGCCACGUGCUGAUGGUCCCUUUAAGGUGUUAGAGAAAAUAAAUGAUAAUGCAUAUAAACUUGAGCUGCCUGCAGAUUUUGGGGUUAGUCCCACUUUUAACAUUGCAGAUUUGAAGCCUUAUUUGGGUGAGGAAGAUGAGUUUCCGUCGAGGAUGACUUCAUUUCAAGAAGGGGAGGAUGAUGAGGACAUCAAUACAAUUGUUACACCCACAGCCCCUACUGCUACAUAUACGGGACCAAUUACUAGAGCUCGCGCACGCCAAUUAAAUUAUCAGGUACUUUCGUUUCUUGGUAAUGAUUCUAAUGUUCAUGAGAAUAUGAUGCUGCCUAAAUUGGAUACAUUUGUUUUGCUUACAAAUGAAGGGCCUAGCUUGGAGAAGGAUGAACAUUGGAACAAGAACAAGCAUGGAGAUGAUGCCAUGCGCAAGGGGAACAAGAACGGAGUUACAAGUGAUGAUUUCAGGACUUUGAAGCCACCAUAAUGGGUGCAUGAAGCCUUGGAUGAAAUAUACAAGAUGCCACUUCAUAAAUUUCGUCCCAAGGCUAUUAUAGGUGCUGCGUCACCUUUUUAUUGGGCCAGGCCCAUGUAAUUUCGAAAUACAUAGGUAUAAGCUAUUUUUAGAGUCCGUAUGUGUGGGGAAACAAGAGAUAGGGUUGAUUUCGGACCCCUCCACCAAGGGCCACGAAAUUCCCCCUCUCUUCCUCCAUAUAUACAGCCCUUAGGGCACAGUUUAGACUUUGGGUUUUGUUUAGAUUAAAGUUCGCCAUAGCUGCAACUUCGCGUACUUCGUUUGUGUUCAACGACCAGACAAAGGCGUCACAGAACCCCACCUUGAUCAAUAAAGCUUUCAUCUUAUAUUCGUAAUAUCCAGAUUGCAAUCUCAGUUUCUUGCUUGUUCUUCGUUUGCUUGCAGGAAACAGACCCUCGUGGUCAGGUUGAUCGUGCUCCGGCGUGGUCAAUAACCUCUCGGAGUUGGUUUAGCGAUUGCUAAGGCGCGACGUCCUCGCACGUUCGUAGUCGGAUCAUCAAAGUCGACUGCCACCAAAGCGAUAUCCAUCAUCUCAUCGAAAACGGGACACCUUUGCCUCUAUCAGCUGCUUGCAAUUGAAGUGUCUAGCAUGGACAAGAAGGUUGAACAUUGGAGCAUGGUCAAGCACGGAGAUGAAGGUGCAUGCGAACAGAACAAGAACGGAGGUUCAAGUGGAGAUUUCCGGACUUUGAAGCCACAAUGAUGACAUACAAGAUGGUGGACUAAAUAUACAAGAUGGCCUUUCAUAAAUUUCUUCCAUAGCUUAUUAUUGGUGUUGCGCCACCUUAUUUUGGGCCAGGCCCAUGUAAUCUAUUUUUAGAGUCCAUAUUAUAGGGAAAACGACUUAGGAGGUGUUUUAGUCCCACCUUGCCAAGGGUGGACAAAAUCCCCUCUCUUUUCCCUAUAAAUAUAGCCCUUAAGGGAUCGUUUAGACUUGGGUUUUAUUUAGUUAAAAGUUAGCCAUCGCUGCAACUUCGUGUACUUCGUUUGUGUCCAAUGACCAGACCAAGACCGCUUAUGAAACCCCACUUUUAUCAAUACUUCAUCCAUACUCGCAAUAUUCAGAUUGCUUAAUCAUAUUAUUGCUUGUUCUUCGAUUGCUUGCAGGAAUAGACCUUCGUGGUCAGGUUGAUCGUGCUCCAGCGUGGUCAAUAACCUCCCGGAGUUGGUUUAGCGAUUGCUAAGGCGCAACGUCGUGCACGUUUGUAGUCGGAUCGUCAAAGUCGUCUCCACCAAAUCGAUAGUUAUCAUCGCAUCGAAAGAUCGGGACCCUCGCCUCUAUCAAGUGGUAUUAGUUUUCAGGUUGCUUGGUGAGAUUUUCCAGUUUUUCAUAGUUAGGUUGCAUCUGUUCUUCAUACCUAGAGUCCAAGAAAAAGCCACAAAAAAAAGAGAGUUAGAUUAGUUCAUCCGUAUCCCAGACAGUCUGAGCCUUUCACUAUUAUCACUUAGUUUUUGCAUGGUUGAAAUUUUGGUUGCAUCGUGUGUCGAGUUGCUGGUUUUUAGUGUCUAGACUUUUAGAGUUUCGGGUUCUAGUCACGUUUUGUUCACGCUGUCACCACAACCACCAUCGUCCAGUUCCUUGUCAUCAUCCGCUGCCACUUAUUUUGUUCACCGCCACCACCACCAUCAAUCCAUUAUCAUUGUUCAUCGCUGUCUUGGAGCAUCAUUCGUCUCGUGGAGAGAAAAAGUUGAGGAAAGAUCCUACAAGAAAGAGAAAGCAGAUUCGUUUUGCAAGUAGAGACCGAAGCCAAAAAAAAGGUUAGGUGCACACAUCCAUCGCUGGUUGCAAUCUCUCACGGUUUCUUUAAAAAAAUUGGAAGAAGCGAGAGAAAGCUCGGAUCGGUUGGAAAGGAAAGAGACCGAAUCAGUUAGGAAAAAAACGAGGAGCAGAUCGGUUGGGAUUGGGACGUGAUUCCCUCCCACGUUGGUUGGGUUAUUUGGAAAGUACUAGUCAGCCACGUUGGAUUUUGGGAAGUAAAAAAAAAGAGUGCCCAUCUGAUUCUUUGGAAGUUUUAGGGGUAGAUCUGUUUGGAAAAUUUAGUACUGCCCCGUACGAGAAUUCUAGCAUUGGGUUUCUCUCUAUUUAAAGAGGGACGUGGCUUGCUUUGGAAAGUGUGUUCAGCGCAAAGAAAAAAAAGUUGGAAGGGAAUAGAAUUGAGAGAGAAAAAGUUUCUGCCAUUAAUUGAUCCGAUUUUUGUGCUACUGGUUGUUUGGAAGGCCACGUUCGGUCCUUAAGAAGGCAAGUCGAAUCAGCCAAAAAAAAGGAGAUAACGUGAGGAGUUUGGAAGGUUUUGUGUGUGGGAGAAAAAAAGGUGAUUCUGACCGGCCAAAAAAACAGAAUUUGGAAAUUAAAGAUUGGAUCGGCCUCCAAUGCUAUUUUUUUUGGUUAGUAACGUGGUGGUGCAGGUUUUGGAAUCGUCAUUUAUUGUGAGGAAUUAUUUUUGGACGUUGCCAAAAGAGAUAAGGAAAAGAUUAAAAAAAGGCAAGUGCCAAUCGGUUUGGUUGGUGGCCGUUUUUGGGGCAAUUUUCUUUAAAAAAAGGGAAAGAAGGAAGGAAGGAAGGAAGGACGUGCGUUGUGCCUACUAAUUGGAAAGUAAAAAAAACAGAUCGGCCAACACAACGAGAAAAGGGAUCAGCCAAUAAAGAGAAGAGAUCAGCCAAUAAAGGAAGGGGAUAACGUGGAUGUUUUCUUUGGAAGUUUUGGGAUAGGAGACAUUAAAGUGCUGCGUGCUCAUCUUUUGGAAGGAUUCAAAAAGGAAAUCAGAGAAUAGGAAGAAAAAGAAAAGGAACUGGAUAGUGAAAAAAAAAGAAGAGCAAUCACGUUUGUUCGGUAGUACUUGGAAAUUGUUUAUCGGGCAAAAAAAGAAGUUGCACGUGAGGGAGAAAGACAUUGAGGCAGAAACAAAAGAAAAGAGAGAUUAGCCACAUACCAAAUAUUUGCAAAAAUCAUACAUACUUGUAGUAUUGCUUGUUUGGCUUGUUGCUACGUUGCUCAUAUUUUUUUGUUGCAACUUGAGUACUUGGUUGCCAGGGCACGUGAAUUUCAUUUGUGUCUUAGGCUCGCGUCUCUAGCACGGUCUAGCCUAGGAUCAGCACUCGACCACUUUGAACGAAUUUUCAGAUUGCACUAAUUAACGUGGUUGUAGCAUUUUUUUUCCACAUAUAUAAAUCCAACCCAGCUCCACAUAUUUCUACACCGUCUAUCCAUACGUUCACCUAGCAAUCGCUUUACCCAACUUCUGGAGUUACUUGACACCGCUGGUUGCCGAUCACCGCCUGCUGCAUGGUAAGACAUUGUAAGACAUUGAUAUUUGCUUUACUGUGAGCGUUUUACUACCACAUCCUAGUAGUUAUAGGAACAUUAUUUUUGGAUUUUGUUUCUUGUUUCUACUAAUCAUGACAGGAUCUAGAGUCAAUCCAUGGGCUUUGUCGAUCGCGGGAGACGUGCCACCACCUAUGCAAAUUCCACAACGAUCACAAGAGGUGCAUAAACAUCCAAAUGCACAUGAUCAAGUUAAUGUUUCUAUACCAUCAUUUAAUGGCCGUUUUAGACCUGCUUUAUAUAUUGAAUGGGAGUUCGACAUAAAUAUUAUAUUUGCUUCCCAUAAUUUUGAUGAACAUAAAAAAGUUAAGGUUGCGGUUGGUUCUUUCACUGGUUAUGCUUUAGUUUGGUGGAGUGAAUAUUGUCGGUUACACCCUGAUUAUAUACCUAUUACUUGGGAUGAUUUGAAACUUGCCAUGCGACAUACAUUCGUCCCCGCUUAUUAUACUCGUGACAUGAUUAAAAAGUUGCAACAUUUAAAACAAGGUAGUGACACUGUAAUGAAAUAUUAUGAUGAUUUACAAACUACCUUGUUGCAUUCCUCUUUAGAAGAAAGUGAAGAAGAAUUUAUGGAUAGAUUUUGGGGAGGAUUAAACCGUGACAUUCAGGAGAUACUAAUUCAUGAAACAUGUUAUCCUAUGGACCGUUUGUUUCGUCUUGCUUGCAAAGCUGAACAGGAGAUAACAAGACGUGUUGCCCACAAGAUAAACAAGCGGAAGGUGCAAAUCCCACGAGUUGCGACGGUUGUUCCUUCCACCACUGCGUCUCCUAUGGCAACAACAUCCAUUGUUGAGAGCACUACAUCACCUCCACCAUGUGACAUAUCGCCACCUAGAGUGCCUACAUCAUCUUUGUUGAUCAUAAGAGGUAAUGACAAAGGUACCGAUCUUCCACCUCCACAUGAGUAUGAUGAAUGCCUUGUCAAUUUAAAUGAAGCAUGCGAUGAGCUACCCACUACUUUGAUCACACCAGCUAUUUUAGAGGACUAUGUUCAUGAUUUGACUUUGCCAUGUGAUCAAACAAUUUUGAGUGAACCCAUUGAAUUAACAAUUGAUGCAAAAGAACCAUGUGAAUCAGUGAAAAGAUCAGAUUUGGAUCAAAUACGUUUGAAAAUAGUUGUGCCAAUGUUUAAUCAUUUUGAUAUGACCUCUAAUCUUGGUGAUUGUUCAUCAAGGUUGGGAUAGUUUAAUGGUAAGCAUUGUCAAUCUUUUGAUAUGAAUAAGAGCUUCACUUAUAUGUGCAAACUGAGUUGCAAUUUUUUCAUGCCUUUGACUUCUUGCGAUAAUAUAUUGGCUUUAUAUUUCACGACUUUUGAAGGGUGCUCUUGUAUAACUAUGUCACAUGUGCCCCAACUGAGAUCAGUGAAAAUGGACGACAUAUACAUAUACAACGUGUACACCUUGUCUCUUUUGUUAGCCAGAUUUCAGAUUAAGAAACGCCGAGGACGGCUUUGUUUUCAAGAAGGGGAGGAUGAUGAGGACAUGGCUACCACAGUUAAACCCAUAUCCCCUACUGUUUUACCUCUUGGAACAGUUGCUAGAGCUCAGAUACGCCAAUUAAAUUAUUAGGUACUUCCGUUUCUUGGUAAUGUUUCUAAUGUUCAUGAGAAUAUGAUGCUGCCUAACUUAGAUACAUUUGUGCUGCUUGCAAUUGAAGUGUCUAGCAUGGACAAGAAGGUUGAACAUUGGAGCAUGGUCAUGAUAGAGGCGGGGGUGUCCCGAUCUUUCGAUGAGAUGAUAACUAUCGAUUUGGUGGAGACGACUUUGACGAUCUGACUACAAACGUGCACGACGUUGCGCCUUAGCAAUCGCUAAACCAAUCUCCUGAGGUUACUGACGAUGCCGAAAGCAGGGUCAGCCUGACCACGAAGGUCUAUUCCUGCAAGCAAUCGAAGAACGAGCAAGAAUAUGAUAAAGCAAUCUGAAUAUUGCAAAUAUAUAUGAGGUAUUGAUAAUGGUGGGGAUCCGGAAGCGGUCUUGGUCUGGUCGUUGGACACAAACGAAGUACACGAAGUUGCAAUGGCUAACUUUUAACUAAACAAAUCCCAAGGAAAAGCUACUAGAUGGAUCUACUUAUAUAGGAGCAAGGGGUGGCGGCCAAGGAGGUGGGAGGACGUCCCAAGGCAGCCUAAAACUAAAUCUAGGUCGUACAAGGCCAAUGGGCCCAAGUGGAGGUGAUGUAACACCUUUGGACUUGUAGUUUGACUCGGAUUCUGCUGCAGCAUCAGAUUGUUUCGUCCACAACUCAAUGCUCCGGACGAAUUUGAAGGUGAUUCCAAUUGGGUUGGAAAGUGCACGAAAUCUAGUUUCCAACAAAAAAAGAAUCACCCAAUUCGGAGUCCGUAUGAAAAACUUGUGUGUGUUUUGAGUCAGGUAUGUCUGUGCAGUCCGAAUCUGAAUCCAGAACGUGAGAGACUUGGACUCUAUCUUCUCUUGGGCCAAAAGUGACGUGAGAGAACUUUUUGGACAGCAAAUAAACAUCUCUUUCUUCCUUAUCUUCACAUGUGGAUUAUACAAAUGUCCCAUACACCUGCAAUUAGACAAAACACAAAAGUGUGUGAAGUAUUUUUGUUCUGGAUAACAUAAAUAGAUUAUUGAAUAGUUUGCACUAGAAAUCACUUGACAAAUAUGCAUAUAUGCAAUAUUUUUGGUCAUAUCCAAGGUAGUCAUGUCCUCAUCAGGUCAAGCACGGAGAUGAAGGUGCGUGCGAACAGAACAAGAACGGAGGUUCAAGUGGAGAUUUCCGGACUUUGAAGCCACCAUGAUGACAUACAAGAUGGUGGACGAAAUAUACAAGAUGGCCUUUCAUAAAUUUCGUCCAUAGCUUAUUAUUGGUGUUGCGCCACCUUAUUUUGGGCCAGGCCCAUGUAAUCUAUUUUUAGAGUCCAUAUUGUAGGGAAAACGACUUAGGAGGUGUUUUAGUCCCACCUUGCCAAGGGUGGACAAAAUCCCCUCUCUUUUCCCUAUAAAUAUAGCCCUUAAGGCAUCGUUUAGACUUGGGUCUUAUUUAGUUAAAAGUUAGCCAUCGCUGCAACUUCGUGUACUUCGUUUGUGUCCAACGACCAGGCCAAGACCACUUAUGAAACCCCACUUUUAUCAAUACUUCAUCCAUACUCGCAAUAUUCAGAUUGCUUAAUCAUAUUCUUGCUUGUUCUUUGAUUGCUUGCAGGAAUAGGCCUUCGUGGUCAGGUUGAUCGUGCUCCAGCGUGGUCAAUAACCUCCCGGAGUUGGUUUAGCGAUUGCUAAGGCGCAACGUCGUGCACGUUUGUAGUCGGAUCGUCAAAGUCGUCUCCACCAAAUCGAUAGUUAUCAUCUCAUCGAAAGAUCGGGACCCUCGCCUCUAUCAUGUUGCGUGAUGCUCAGUUAUAUGGUAAUCCUGAUAAGUGCACAUUUUGAAAAGCUAAGGUCAUAUUUCUCGGAUAUGUUGUUUCUAAGCAUGGAGUUGAGGUAGAUGAAUCAAAAAUAGAAGCUAUUAAAAAUUGGCCUACUCCUCCGAAUCUUAGUCAAGUACGAAGCUUUCACGGUCUUGCUGGUUUCUGUAGAUGUUUUGUGAAAGAUUUCAGUACUAUUGCUGCACCUUCGAAUGAGCUCACAAAAAAAGGUGUUGAUUUUGUGUGGGGCACAGCCCAAUAUAAUGCUUUUAAUGAGCUGAAACGUCGUUUGACUGCUGCACCUUUGCUUAUACUUCCUGAUUUCACUAAACAAUUUGAGAUUGAAUGUGAUGCUAGUGGAAUUGGUAUUGGAGGUGUUGAUGCAAGAGGGUAAACCGAUUGUAUAUUUUUCUGAAAAACUUAAUGGUGCACAAUUGAACUAUCCUGUUUAUGAUAAAGAAUUGUAUGCUCUAGUUCGUGUCCUUGAGGUUUGGCAACAUUAUUUAUGGCCAAAAGAAUUUAUCAUACAUUCUGAUCAUGAGGCUCUGAAAUAUUUGAAAAGCCAAUCCAAUUUGAACAAACGUCAUGCAAAAUGGGUUGAAUUUAUUGAAUCUUUCCCAUACAUCAUUAAAUACAAAAAGGGUAAAGAUAAUGUUGUUGCUGAUGCUCUUUCUAGGAAAAACAUGUUGUUGACACAAUUGGAUGUUCAAGUUCCUGGUUUAGAGAGUUUGCAUGAUUUAUAUGCCACUGAUCUUGAUUUUUCAGCACCAUAUAAAUUGUGUUCAGAUGUAAAAGCAUGGGAAAAAUAUCACAUACAUGAUGGCUAUUUGUUUAGAGCUAACAAACUAUGUGUUCCAGAAUCGUCCGUGCAUUUGCUAUUGUUGCAGGAAUCACAUGCCGGCGGUUUGAUGGGUCAUUUUGGACGUGAGAAGACUUUGCUUAUGCUCGCUGAUCACUUUUAUUGGCCUAAGAUGAGGCGUGAUGUGGACAGAUUUGUGAAGCGUUGCAUUACUUGUAAUAAGGCAAAGUCUAAGCUGAAACCUCACGGUUUGUAUACUCCUCUCCCUGCUCCUACUACACCAUGGGAAGACAUAAGCAUGGACUUUGUGUUAGGAUUGCCGAGGACCAGGAGAGGACAUGAUUCAAUUUUUGUGGUAGUUGAUCGUUUUUCUAAGAUGGCACAUUUUAUUGCCUGCCACAAAAGCGACGAUGCGUCGCACAUUGCUACUCUGUUUUUCAGGGACAUCGUGCGCUUACAUGGAGUACCAAAGACGAUUGUUUCUGAUCGUGACGUGAAGUUUAUGAGCUAUUUCUGGAAGACACUUUGGGGGAAAGCUGGGGACAAAGUUACUAUUCAGCACUACUUGUCAUCCCCAAACAGAUGGGCAAACAGAGGUGGUCAAUCGCACACUAUCCACGUUGUUGCGAUCCAUGAUAAAGAAGAACCUGCGUGAAUGGGAGGAGUGUUUACCGCAUGUGGAGUUUGCAUAUAACAGGGCGGUACAUUCCACAACUCAGUUCUGUCCAUUUGAGGUGGUCUAUAGUUUUAAGCCAAUUACACCACUUGAUUUGCUGCCCCUUCCAAUUCAAGAGAGAGUGAACAUGGAUGCAUCCAAGAGGGCAGAUUUUGUGAGGACGAUACACGAGAAGACCAAAGAAGCCAUUGAAAAGAAGGGCAAGUACACGGCUGAUCGUGUUAAUAAGAAGAGAAAGGAGGUGUUGUUUCAGCCGGGCGACAUGGUGUGGGUACACUUGCGUAAAGAUAGAUUUCCUGAACGAUGCAAGUCCAAGUUGAAACCAAGAGGUGAUGGACCAUAUAAAGUGCUUGCCAAGAUUAAUAAUAAUGCAUACAAAAUUGAUCUUCCAACUGAAGAGUUUGGCGUGAGUAAUAUGUUCAACGUCGCUGAUUUGACGCCAUAUACUGGAGAAGACCUUGGUGCAUCGCGGUCGACGCUUUUUCAAGGGGGGAGGAUGAUGAGGACAUCCCUACUCCUUUACCAUCAUUUUCAAAUAAAGAUGAUAUUGCACAAGACAAGUCCAAUGAAAUCAGAAUUGGACCAAUUACAAGAGCACGUGCAAAACUACUUGAACAAAAGGUGAAUUCACUCUUAGUUGAAUCUGACAUUUGUGUUAAUCAGAAUUUUAUACUGCCUAAGUCUUUGCAUAUUUGUAUGAUCAGAUUUGAAGGGAAGGCAAGCUUGUCACGUGGAGAUGAAGAAUUGUAGCAAGAAGAACUUCUACUGAUGUCUAGUAUCAGCAAGUGCACGAGGGAGGAGAGGGAGGCAGGUGCACAACAUAAACAGAAGGAAAAUCAGAACCGGACUCGGAUUGACAGCCAGGAGGCCCACAAUUGAUAUACGUGCAGAAUCCGUGUCCGUGCUCCAAAUAAGGCGUUUAAAUACAAUUUGAAAAGCUUGACUCGUGUGCUUUCCAAAUUGUAUACUCGCAGCCCGCGAUUCGCGGUGAACGAGUCGCAGUCACCAAAACAAUACGGCGGUUGUUCCUGCCAGUUUUUCCAGAUAGAUUCAUUUAAGUUAGGAAAGUUAGAGAUAAGUUGGAUUUCGACCUCAACACUAUGUUGGACGUCCAGGGGUCUUUAUAUACCCUUGUAAGUCGUGGCUUUUAGGGUUAGACCAUGUUUUGAUUAAACUUAUAUCAAACUGAAUUGCUUUAAGCAUUCUUGUGUACUCAUAUUCCUCUUUGCAUCGAUCAGGAAUAUUUACCUACACCAAAUUUGUUUCGAUAAGGUGUAUUUGCUUCUGAAAGUCAAGUGCUAUCUGUCGUUCCACUGGGAAUUGGGAGAUUGCAGAACCACUUCGUGGUCGGCGGCUACGUGGGCAAGUGUGUGGUGUUGCGAAUAUCCAUAGGGUUGAAGAUCUGUUGUGAUGAGGACAUCAAUACAAUUAUUACACCCACAGCCCCUGCUGCUAUACAUACUGGACCAAUUACUAGAGCUCGUGCACGCCAACUAAAUUACCAGGUACUUUCGUUUCUUGGUAAUGAUUCUAAUGUUCAUGAGAAUAUGAUGCUGCCUGAAUUGGAUACAUUUGUUUUGCUUACAAAUGAAGGGCCUAGCUUGGAGAAGGAUGAACAUUGGAGCAAGAACAAGCAUGGAGAUGAUGGCAUGCGCAAGGGGAACAAUAACGGAGUUACAAGUGAUGAUUUCAGGACUUUGAAGCCACCAUAAUGGGUGCAUGAAGCCUUGGACGAAAUAUACAAGAUGCCACUUUAUAAAUUUCGUCCCGAGGCUAUUUUAGGUGCUGCGUCACCUUAUUAUUGGGCCAGGCCCAUGUAAUUUCGAAAUACAUAAGUAUAGGCUAUUUUUAGAGUCCGUAUGUGUGGGGAAACAAGAGAUAGGGUUGAUUUCGGACCCCUCCACCAAGGGCCACGAAAUUCCCCCCUCUUCCUCCAUAUAUACAGCCCUUAGGGCAUCGUUUAGACUUUGGGUUUUGUUUAGAUUAGAAGUUCGCCAUAGCUGCAACUUCGCGUACUUCGUUUGUGUUCAACGACCAGACAAAGGCGUCACAGAACCCCACCUUGAUCAAUAAAGCUUUCAUCUUAUAUUCGCAAUAUCCAGAUUGCAAUCUCAGUUUCUUGCUUGUUCUUCGUUUGCUCGCAGGAAACAGACCCUCGUGGUCAGGUUGAUCGUGCUCCGGCGUGGUCAAUAACCUCUCGGAGUUGGUUUAGCGAUUGCUAAGGCGCGACGUCCUCGCACGUUCGUAGUCGGAUCGUCAAAGUCGACUUCCACCAAAGCGAAAUCCACCAUCUCAUCGAAAGACGGGACACCUUUGCCUCUAUCAAGUGGUAUCAGAUUUCCAGGUUGCUCGGUGAGAUUUUACAGUUUUUCGUAGUUUAGAUCGAGUCUGUUCUUCAUACCUACAGUCCACGAAAAAGCCAAAAAGAAAAUUAGGGUUAGUUUAUCAUAUCCGAACCAAUCUGAGCCUUUGCAUAAUCUUUUUAGGGUUUUGCUUUGUUGAAUUUGCGGUUGCAUCGUCGUGUCUAGUUGCUGGUCUUAGCGUUAGUCUUUUAGAGUUUCGAGUUCUGGUCAUAAGUUGUCACGCCGCCGCCGCUCCAUCAUCAUCACCCCUGCCAUCUACCACCACCGCUUAUCCGCCACCGCUUCGAAUCCGUAUCCAUAUACCACCACAGCUGUCAUAUACCACCACCGCUGCCAUCUACCACCAUAUAUCCACCACCAAUCCGAGUUCUUGUCAUAUUAGGUUUGUUUUCGAGAUCCAUCUAGAUUCCGAUUCGUCUUUCCUUGCCGGAGUCGGGGAACCACGCUCCGUUUAGGCCCAAAAUUUUUCGAAAACACAUUUUUCGAAAAAAAUUCUGGCUAUCCUAUUUUUAGGUGUUUCUGAGUGUUUUGAGACAGGUGCCAUUAUAGGAAGUUUUUUUGACCCGUUUCUAGUUUUUGGGUCCGGGCAGUCAAAAAAAAAAUGGUCGAAAAAAUUUCGUGCCCAUCCUGUCAGUUUGAGCUAGGAAGAGUUUUGAGACACUCGCCAUUAUAGUGAUUUUUCGCAAAAAAAAAGCAGCGCAAAAAAAAGAGCGCAAAAAAAGAGCGAAAAAAAAAUCCAGAGUGUGCUUUUCCCUUGUUUACGAGCCGCGUCGUGAUUUUGUUGGUGUUCUAGGCUCGCGUCUCUAGCACAGUCUAGCCUAGGACCAGCACAGUACCGUCGUUGAGCGUUUAUUCAACCUUGCAUCUCUGAAUUGAUUAUUGCUGACCCUUUUUGCUACCAUAUUAUAAGCCUUCCCAGCUCCACAUAUGAUGAGGACAUCAAUACCAUUGUUACACCCACAGGCCCUGCUGCUAUACAUACUGGACCAAUUACUAGAGCUCGCGCACGCCAACUAAAUUACCAGGUACUUUCGUUUCUUGGUAAUGAUUCUAAUGUUCAUGAGAAUAUGAUGCUGCCUAAAUUGGAUACAUUUGUUUUGCUUACAAAUGAAGGGCCUAGCUUGGAGAAGGAUGAACAUUGGAGCAAGAACAAGCAUGGAGAUGAUGCCAUGCGCAAGGGGAACAAGAACGGAGUUACAAGUGAUGAUUUCAGGACUUUGAAGCCACCAUAAUGGGUGCAUGAAGCCUUGGACGAAAUAUACAAGAUGCCACUUCAUAAAUUUCGUCCCGAGGCUAUUUUAGGUGCUGCGUCACCUUAUUAUUGGGCCAGGCCCAUGUAAUUUCGAAAUACAUAAGUAUAGGCUAUUUUUAGAGUCCGUAUGUGUGGGGAAACAAGAGAUAGGGUUGAUUUCGCACCCCUCCACCAAGGGCCACGAAAUUCCCCCCUCUUCCUCCAUAUAUACAGCCCUUAGGGCAUCGUUUAGACUUUGGGUUUUGUUUAGAUUAAAAGUUCGCCAUAGCUGCAACUUCGCGUACUUCGUUUGUGUUCAACGACCAGACAAAGGCGUCACAGAACCCCACCUUGAUCAAUAAAGCUUUCAUCUUAUAUUCGCAAUAUCCAGAUUGCAAUAUCAGUUUCUUGCUUGUUCUUCGUUUGCUCGCAGGAAACAGACCCUCGUGGUCAGGUUGAUCGUGCUCCGGCGUGGUCAAUAACCUCUCGGAGUUGGUUUAGCGAUUGCUAAGGCGCGACGUCCUCGCACGUUCGUAGUCGGAUCGUCAAAGUCGACUUCCACCAAAGCGAAAUCCACCAUCUCAUCGAAAGAUGGGACACCUUUGCCUCUAUCAAGUGGUAUCAGAUUUCCAGGUUGCUCGGUGAGAUUUUACAGUUUUUCGUAGUUUAGAUCGAGUCUGUUCUUCAUACCUACAGUCCACGAAAAAGCCACAAAAAAAAUUAGGGUUAGUUCAUCAUAUCCGAACCAAUCUGAGCCUUUGCAUAAUCUUUUUAGGGUUUUGCUUUGUUGAAUUUGCGGUUGCAUCGUCGUGUCUAGUUGCUGGUCUUAGAGUCUAGUCUUUUAGAGUUUCGAGUUCUGGUCAUAAGUUGUCACGCCGCCGCCGCACCAUCAUCAUCGCCCCUGCCAUCUACCACCACCGCUUAUCCGCCACCGCUCCGAAUCUGUAUCCAUAUACCACCACCAAUCCGUGUCCAUAUACCACCACCGAUCCAUAUCCAUAUACUACCACCGCUACCAGCACCGCUGCCAUAUACCACCACCAUAUAUCCACCACCAAUCCGAGUUCCUUGCGUAUUAGGUUUGUUUUCGGGAUCCAUCUAAUUUCCGAUUCGUGUUUCCUUGUUGGAGUAGGUUUCGAAUUCCAGCAAUCUUUUGCCGUCCGUAGAAGAGGUUGGUUUCCAAAAAAAAAAGUGUCCGGAAACCACCCUCCGUUUAGGCCCAAAAUUUUCGGAAAACGCACUUGACAAAAAAAUUUCUGGCUAUCCUAUUUUUAGGUGUUUCUAAGCGUAUUGAGACAGUCGCCGUUAUAGAAAGUUUUUUUGACCCGUUUCCAGUUUUUGGGUCCGGGCAGUCAAAAAAAAAUUUUUUUUUGGUCACAAAAAUUUCAUGCCCAUCCUGUCAGUUUGACCUUGAUGAGGACAUCAAUACCAUUGUUACACCCACAGGCCCUGCUGCUAUACAUACUGGACCAAUUACUAGAGCUCGCGCACGCCAACUAAAUUACCAGGUACUUUCGUUUCUUGGUAAUGAUUCUAAUGUUCAUGAGAAUAUGAUGCUGCCUAAAUUGGAUACAUUUGUUUUGCUUACAAAUGAAGGGCCUAGCUUGGAGAAGGAUGAACAUUGGAGCAAGAACAAGCAUGGAGAUGAUGGCAUGCGCAAGGGGAACAAGAACGGAGUUACAAGUGAUGAUUUCAGGACUUUGAAGCCACCAUAAUGGGUGCAUGAAGCCUUGGACGAAAUAUACAAGAUGCCACUUCAUAAAUUUCGUCCCGAGGCUAUUUUAGGUGCUGCGUCACCUUAUUAUUGGGCCAGGCCCAUGUAAUUUCGAAAUACAUAAGUAUAGGCUAUUUUUAGAAUCCGUAUGUGUGGGGAAACAAGAGAUAGGGUUGAUUUCGGACCCCUCCACCAAGGGCCACGAAAUUCCCCCCUCUUCCUCCAUAUAUACAGCCCUUAGGGCAUCGUUUAGACUUUGGGUUUUGUUUAGAUUAAAAGUUCGCCAUAGCUGCAACUUCGCGUACUUCGUUUGUGUUCAACGACCAGACAAAGGCGUCACAGAACCCCACCUUGAUCAAUAAAGCUUUCAUCUUAUAUUCGCAAUAUCCCGAUUGCAAUCUCAGUUUCUUGCUUGUUCUUCGUUUGCUCGCAGGAAACAGACCCUCGUGGUCAGGUUGAUCGUGCUCCGGCGUGGUCAAUAACCUCUCGGAGUUGGUUUAGCGAUUGCUAAGGCGCGACGUCCUCGCACGUUCGUAGUCGGAUCGUCAAAGUCGACUUCCACCAAAGCGAUAUCCAUCAUCUCAUCGAAAGAUGGGACACCUUUGCCUCUAUCAAGUGGUAUCAGAUUUCCAGGUUGCUCGGUGAGAUUUUACAGUUUUUCGUAGUUUAGAUCGAGUCUGUUCUUCAUACCUACAGUCCACGAAAAAGCCACAAAAAAAAUUUAGGGUUAGUUCAUCAUAUCCGAACCAAUCUGAGCCUUUGCAUAAUCUUUUUAGGGUUUUGCUUUGUUGAAUUUACGGUUGCAUCGUCGUGUCUAGUUGCUGGUCUUAGAGUCUAGUCUUUUAGAGUUUCGAGUUCUGGUCAUAAGUUGUCACGCCGCCGCCGCACCAUCAUCAUCGCCCCUGCCAUCUACCACCACCGCUUAUCCGCCACCGCUCCGAAUCCGUAUCCAUAUACCACCACCGAUCCAUAUCCAUAUACUACCACCGCUACCACCACCGCUGCCAUAUACCACCACCAUAUAUCCACCACCAAUCCGAGUUCCUUGCAUAUUAGGUUUGUUUUCGAGAUCCAUCUAGAUUCCGAUUCGUGUUUCCUUGCUGGAGUAGGUUUCGGAAAAAAAAAGAGUCGGGUAGCCACGCUCCGUUUAGGCCCAAAAUUUUUCGAAAACGCAUUUUUCGAAAAAUUUUCUAGCUAUCCUAUUUUUAGGUGUUUCUGAGUGUUUUGAGACAGGUGCCAUUAUAGGAAGUUUUUUUUUGACCCGUUUCCAGUUUUUGGGUCCGGGCAGUCAAAAAAAAAAAAAAUUGGUCGAAAAAAUUUCGUGCCCAUCCUGUCAGUUUGAGCUAAGAAGAGUUUUGAGACACUCGCCAUUAUAGUGAUUUUUCGCAAAAAAAAAAGCAGCGCAAAAAAAAAACGAGUGAAAAAAAAAUUCAGAGUGUGCUUUCCCUUGUUUACGUGCCGCGCCGUGAUUUUGUUGGUGUUCUAGGCUCGCGUCUCUAGCACAGUCUAGCCUAGGACCAGCACAGUACCGUCGUUGAGCGUUUAUUCAACUUUGCAUCUCUGAAUUGAUUAUUGCUGACCCUUUUUGCUACCAUACUAUAAGCCUUCCCAGCUCCACAUACAUCUACGUCGUGUGUUUGACUCUCCCUGGUAAUCGCUCUAUCCAAGCUUUGAGAGUUUUUGACUACAACGGUGGCCGAUCACCGCCUGCUGCUGGGUAAGAACUGGUAAGAAUUUGAGAUUUGCUUGACGGAUUUGUGAUACACCACCACCACUUCUUAGUAGUCUGUAGGAUCAUAUUCUUGUGUGUUUCUAUUGCUGCUAACCAUGCCAGGAUCACAAGCCGACGAGAUUGACUGGGAGAACUUAUCGAACAAGGAGCUUCAUGAUAAGUUUCAGCAAAUGAUGACUGAACAGGUGCAAGAUGUGCUGAACAAUUUUGAAGAGGCCAUGGAGAAGAUCACUGGCCUUGAGAAGACGUUCGAAACAAAGCUCGAUAACAGAUUUAAUGAAUUGCUCGCGCGUCUUCCACCACCACCACCCGCUGCACCUAACGCACCUCUCCAACAACAACAACAACGACUACCUCCACGUCGCGAAAUAGACCUUCGCCGAGCGAGCCGUGUUCCUCUUGCGUUUGGCCAAACUGUUGGUGCUGCUGUUGAUACUUCUAUGGCUCCUGCUACUGCUGUUGCUGGUACCCAGGAGGAUGAUGAGUAUGCGGGCGAUUAUGAGGAUGAGGUUGAUCAAAAUCAGAUCUACGAGCAGCCACCAGCACCACCACCAGCAGGUCGACCUCGGGUAUAUAUUCGUAAUGGUAGGCCUGCACCACCACCUCAGGUACGAGAUGAUGUCCAUAUUCCUAAACUGAAAUUGAAUAUUCCACCAUUUGAGGGUAGAUAUGUUCCUGAUAUAUAUCUUACUUGGGAGUUAGAAACUGAACAACGAUUUACAUGUUUACAAUAUCCUGAGGAGAGACGAGUUGCUGCUGCUGUUUGUGCUUUCACUAGUUUUGCAUGUGUAUGGUGGUCUGAACAUUGUAGAUUAUAUCCUAUUCCAACUACUUGGGCUGCUUUGAAAACUGCUAUGCGUACGCGUUGGGUUCCACCAUAUUAUCAACGUGAAUUGCUUAAAAAAUUGCAGCGUUUAAGACAAGGAAAAAAUUCUGUAGAAGAAUAUUAUCAGGAAUUACAAACUGGCAUGAUUAGAUGUGGUAUUGUUGAGGAGAAUGAAGCUAUGCUUGCACGUUUUCUGGGUGGAUUAAAUAGAGAGAUUCAGACCAUUCUAGACUAUAAGGAGUAUACUAAUAUCACUCGUUUAUUCCAUCUUGCUUGUAAAGCUGAACGUGAAGUGCAGGAUCGACAAGCAUUGGGGCGAACUAACUUUUCUGCAGGCCGACCUUCAUCAUGGACACCACGUGCAUCUUCUACUUCAACUGCACCAGCACCUCCAUCCGGUGCCACCUCCAGCCGUGAUACAAGAAAACAGGCACAACCACCAUUAUCUGCCAAGAGCACACCUGCGGGGCCUGCACAGCGUUCUUUUUCUUCCAUGGCAUCAACAGGGCACACAAGUGAUAUUAUUUGUCGUCGUUGUAAGGGAGGAGGUCAUUAUGCGAGGGAAUGCAAAUCUCCGCGUGUGAUGAUUGCUACUGCCGAUGGUGGAUAUGAGUCCGCUAGUGACUAUGAUGAGGAGACAUUGGCUCUUAUUACACGUGAAGAACAUGGUGGAGAUGAUUCUGAUCAUGAGACACAAUACAUGGCUCCUGAAGACGCUGACAGGUAUGAAUGUUUAGUUGCUCAACGUGUUUUGAGUGUGCAGGUCACACAAGCUGAGCAAAAUCAGAGGCACAAUUUGUUCCAUACCAAGGGAGUUGUGAAGGAACGUUCUGUGCGCGUCAUAAUAGACGGAGGGAGCUGCAACAACUUGGCUAGCAUGGAGAUGGUGGAGAAGCUUUCUCUCACCACAAGACCACAUCCACAUCCUUACUACAUCCAAUGGUUCAACAACAGCGGCAAGCUUAAGGUAACACGUACUGUUCGUGUGCAUUUUAGUAUCUCUACAUAUGUUGAUUAUGUUGAUUGUGAUGUGGUACCUAUGCAAGCAUGUUCCUUAUUACUUGGUAGACCAUGGCAAUUUGAUAAAAAUUCUGUACACCAUGGUAGAAACAAUCACUAUACUCUUGUUCAUAAGGAUAAAAAUAUUACUUUGCUUCCUAUGACUCCUGAUUCCAUUUUGAAAGAUGAUAUUAAUAGAGCUAAUAAAGCAAAACAGGAGACGAAUAAGAGUGAAAAUCAGAUUGUGGCAAAACAAUUUGAGCAACAAAUGAAGCCUAAUAAUAAACCAUCUAGUGUUGCUUCUGAAAUUAAAUUGAAAAGUGCAUGUUUAUUUGCCACCAAAUCUGAUAUUGAUGAGCUAGAUUUCAGCAAAUCUGUUUGCUAUGCUUUUGUGUGCAAAGAGGCAUUAUUUUCAUUCGAGGACGUGCCUUCCUCUUUGCCUCCUGCUGUCACUAACAUUUUGCAGGAGUUCGCUGACGUCUUUCCACAAGACGUGCCACCGGGAUUACCGCCUAUUCGAGGGAUUGAGCAUCAGAUUGAUUUAAUUCCCGGUGCUUCACUGCCAAACCGUGCACCAUACCGUACCAAUCCAGAGGAGACGAAGGAGAUUAUGCGUCAAGUACAAGAGCUUCUACACAAAGGUUAUAUACGCGAAUCCCUUAGUCCUUGUGCUGUUCCUAUUAUUCUAGUGCCGAAAAAGGAUGGUACAUCACGUAUGUGUGUUGAUUGUAGAGGCAUUAAUAAUAUUACUAUUCGUUAUCGUCAUCCUAUUCCUAGGCUAGAUGAUAUGCUUGAUGAAUUGAGUGGCUCUACAAUAUUCUCCAAAGUUGAUUUGCGUAGUGGAUACCAUCAAAUUCGUAUGAAAUUGGGAGAUGAAUGGAAAACAGCAUUUAAAACUAAGUUUGGAUUAUAUGAGUGGUUAGUCAUGCCUUUUGGGUUAACUAAUGCGCCUAGUACUUUCAUGAGACUAAUGAACGAAGUUUUACGUGCUUUCAUUGGACGAUUUGUGGUAGUCUAUUUUGAUGAUAUACUGAUUUAUAGCAGAUCUUUGGAAGAACAUUUGGAACAUUUACGUGCAGUUUUUAUUGCUCUACGUGAUGCACGUUUGUUUGGUAACCUUGGGAAGUGCACCUUUUGCACCGACCGAGUAUCUUUUCUUGGCUAUGUUGUUACUCCACAGGGAAUUGAAGUUGACAAAGCCAAGAUUGAAGCUAUUGAGAGUUGGCCGCCGCCCAAAACGGUCACACAAGUGAGGAGUUUUCUUGGCCUCGCUGGAUUCUAUAGGCGUUUUGUGAGAGAUUUCAGCAUCAUUGCUGCACCUCUCAACGAGCUUACAAAGAAGGAUGUGCCUUUUGUUUGGGGUACCGCACAGGAAGAAGCCUUCACGGUAUUGAAAGAUAAGUUGACACAUGCUCCUUUACUCCAACUUCCUGAUUUUAAUAAGACUUUUGAGCUUGAAUGUGAUGCUAGUGGAAUUGGAUUAGGAGGUGUGUUAUUACAAGAUGGCAAACCUGUUGCAUACUUUUCUGAAAAAUUGAGUGGGCCUAGUCUGAAUUAUUCUACUUAUGAUAAAGAAUUAUAUGCUCUUGUUUGGACUUUAGAAACAUGGCAACAUUAUUUAUGGCCCAAAGAAUUUGUUAUACAUUCUGAUCAUGAAUCUUUGAAACAUAUUAAAAGUCAAGCUAAACUGAAUCGUAGACAUGCUAAAUGGGUUGAAUUCAUUGAGACUUUCCCUUAUGUCAUUAAACACAAGAAGGGAAAAGAAAAUGUUAUUGCUGAUGCAUUGUCUCGUUGCUAUACUAUGCUUUCACAACUUGACUUCAAAAUAUUUGGUUUAGAGACCAUCAAAGAUCAAUAUGUGCAUGAUGCUGAUUUUAAAGAUGUAAUGCAGAAUUGUAAAGAAGGAAGAAUGUGGAACAAGUUUGUCGUUAACGAUGGAUUUGUGUUUCGUGCUAACAAGCUAUGCAUUCCAGCUAGCUCCGUUCGUCUUUUGUUGUUGCAGGAGGCGCAUGGAGGAGGAUUAAUGGGACACUUUGGCGUGAAGAAGACGGAGGACGUACUUGCUACACAUUUCUUUUGGCCAAAGAUGAGACGGGAUGUUGAGCGUUUUAUUGCUCAAUGCACUACAUGUCAAAAAGCUAAGUCACGACUCAAUCCUCAUGGUUUAUAUAUGCCUUUGCCUGUACCUAGUGUUCCUUGGGAGGAUAUAUCUAUGGACUUUGUUUUAGGUUUACCUCGAACAAAGAAGGGGAGGGAUAGCAUAUUUGUUGUCGUGGAUAGAUUCUCGAAAAUGGCACACUUUAUACCAUGUCAUAAAAGCGAUGAUGCUGUUAAUGUUGCUGAGUUGUUCUUUCGUGAAAUUAUUCGCUUGCAUGGUGUGCCAAAUACUAUUGUUUCAGAUCGUGAUACUAAAUUUCUUAGCCAUUUUUGGAGAUGUUUAUGGGCUAAGUUGGGGACUAAACUGCUUUUUAGUACUACUUGUCACCCCCAAACUGAUGGACAAACUGAAGUAGUCAAUAGAACGUUGUCUACUAUGCUUAGGGCUGUUUUGAAGAAUAAUAAGAAAAUGUGGGAGGAAUGUUUGCCUCAUAUUGAAUUUGCUUAUAAUCGUUCAUUGCAUUCUACUACUAAGAUGUGCCCUAUUGAUUUGUUGCCUCUUCCAUCUUCGGAGAAGGUUAAUUUUGAUGCUAAACAACGUGCUGAAUUGAUUUUAAAAAUGCAUGAGUUAACUAAGGAAAACAUUGAGCGUAUGAAUGCUAAAUAUAAACUUGCUGGAGAUAAGGGUAGAAAACAUGUUGUGUUUGCACCUGGAGAUCUUGUUUGGUUACAUUUGCGUAAGGAUAGAUUUCCUGAUUUGCGAAAAUCAAAGUUAAUGCCACGUGGUGAUGGUCCCUUUAAGGUGUUAGAGAAAAUAAAUGAUAAUGCAUAUAAACUUGAGUUGCCUGCAGAUUUUGGGGUUAGUCCCACUUUUAACAUUGCAGAUUUGAAGCCUUAUUUGGGUGAGGAAGAUGAACUUCCGUCGAGGACGACUUCAUUUCAAGAAGGGGAGGAUGAUGAGGACAUCAAUACAAUUGUUACACCCACAGCCCCUGCUGCUAUACAUACUGGACCAAUUACUAGAGCUCGUGCACGCCAACUAAAUUACCAGGUACUUUCGUUUCUUGGUAAUGAUUCUAAUGUUCAUGAGAAUAUGAUGCUGCCUGAAUUGGAUACAUUUGUUUUGCUUACAAAUGAAGGGCCUAGCUUGGAGAAGGAUGAACAUUGGAGCAAGAACAAGCAUGGAGAUGAUGGCAUGCGCAAGGGGAACAAUAACGGAGUUACAAGUGAUGAUUUCAGGACUUUGAAGCCACCAUAAUGGGUGCAUGAAGCCUUGGACGAAAUAUACAAGAUGCCACUUUAUAAAUUUCGUCCCGAGGCUAUUUUAGGUGCUGCGUCACCUUAUUAUUGGGCCAGGCCCAUGUAAUUUCGAAAUACAUAAGUAUAGGCUAUUUUUAGAGUCCGUAUGUGUGGGGAAACAAGAGAUAGGGUUGAUUUCGGACCCCUCCACCAAGGGCCACGAAAUUCCCCCCUCUUCCUCCAUAUAUACAGCCCUUAGGGCAUCGUUUAGACUUUGGGUUUUGUUUAGAUUAGAAGUUCGCCAUAGCUGCAACUUCGCGUACUUCGUUUGUGUUCAACGACCAGACAAAGGCGUCACAGAACCCCACCUUGAUCAAUAAAGCUUUCAUCUUAUAUUCGCAAUAUCCAGAUUGCAAUCUCAGUUUCUUGCUUGUUCUUCGUUUGCUCGCAGGAAACAGACCCUCGUGGUCAGGUUGAUCGUGCUCCGGCGUGGUCAAUAACCUCUCGGAGUUGGUUUAGCGAUUGCUAAGGCGCGACGUCCUCGCACGUUCGUAGUCGGAUCGUCAAAGUCGACUUCCACCAAAGCGAAAUCCACUAUCUCAUCGAAAGACGGGACACCUUUGCCUCUAUCAAGAAGCUUUCUCUCACCACAAGACCACAUCCACAUCCUUACUACAUCCAAUGGUUCAACAACAGCGGCAAGGUUAAGGUAACACGUACUGUUCGUGUGCAUUUUAGUAUCUCUACAUAUGCUGAUUAUGUUGAUUGUGAUGUGGUACCUAUGCAAGCAUGUUCCUUAUUACUUGGUAGACCAUGGCAAUUUGAUAAAAAUUCUGUACACCAUGGUAGAAACAAUCACUAUACUCUUGUUCAUAAGGAUAAAAAUAUUACUUUGCUUCCUAUGACUCCUGAUUCCAUUUUGAAAGAUGAUAUUAAUAGAGCUAAUAAAGCAAAACAGGAGACGAAUAAGAGUGAAAAUAAGAUUGUGGCAAAAGAAUUUGAGCAACAAAUGAAACCUAAUAAUAAACCAUCUAGUGUGAUGAGGACAUCAAUACAAUUGUUACACCCACAGCCCCUGCUGCUAUACAUACUGGACCAAUUACUAGAGCUCGUGCACGCCAACUAAAUUACCAGGUACUUUCGUUUCUUGGUAAUGAUUCUAAUGUUCAUGAGAAUAUGAUGCUGCCUAAAUUGGAUACAUUUGUUUUGCUUACAAAUGAAGGGCCUAGCUUGGAGACGGAUGAACAUUGGAGCAAGAACAAGCAUGGAGAUGAUGGCAUGCGCAAGGGGAACAAGAACGGAGUUACAAGUGAUGAUUUCAGGACUUUGAAGCCACCAUAAUGGGUGCAUGAAGCCUUGGACGAAAUAUACAAGAUGCCACUUCAUAAAUUUCGUCCCGAGGCUAUUUUAGGUGCUGCGUCACCUUAUUAUUGGGCCAGGCCCAUGUAAUUUCGAAAUACAUAAGUAUAGGCUAUUUUUAGAGUCCGUAUGUGUGGGGAAACAAGAGAUAGGGUUGAUUUUGGACUCCUCCACCAAGGGCCACGAAAUUCCCCCCUCUUCCUCCAUAUAUACAGCCCUUAGGGCAUCGUUUAGACUUUGGGUUUUGUUUAGAUUAAAAGUUCGCCAUAGCUGCAACUUCGCGUACUUCGUUUGUGUUCAACGACCAGACAAAGGCGUCACAGAACCCCACCUUGAUCAAUAAAGCUUUCAUCUUAUAUUCGCAAUAUCCAGAUUGCAAUCUUAGUUUCUUGCUUGUUCUUCGUUUGCUCGCAGGAAACAGACCCUCGUGGUCAGGUUGAUCGUGCUCCGGCGUGGUCAAUAACCUCUCGGAGUUGGUUUAGCGAUUGCUAAGGCGCGACGUCCUCGCACGUUCGUAGUCGGAUCGUCAAAGUCGACUUCCACCAAAGCGAAAUCCACCAUCUCAUCGAAAGACGGGACACCUCCGCCUCUAUCAUGUUGCAUUGGCAACGGGGGAACAGCCGGAGAGUUCGAGAGCAUCUCACAAGUUAUCCUGCAAGUUCAACAUCGACAUCCUUUGCUCACUGAGAAGAUCGGGCCACCCCUUAUCACAUAGCUUACUUUAGUGAAAAACUUUCUGGAGCGCAACUCAAUUAUCCCAUCUAUGACAAAGAGCUAUGUGCUUUAGUCCGCGUUUUGCAUGAAUGGGAACACUACCUUCGUCCCCAUGAGUUUAUCAUUCAUACCGAUCAUGACACUCUCAAGUAUCUUAAGGGACAAACUAAGUUGAACAAGCGUCAUGCUAAAUGGAGUGAAUUUAUUGAGUCUUUUCCCUAUGUCAUCAAGUACAUCAAGAGUAAAGAAAACAUAGUAGUGGAUGCUCUUUCCCGCAUUUGCAUGCUUGUCAUGCAACUUGAGCUAGAUGUCAUUGGCUUCGAGCAUAUCAAAGACUUAUAUGAGCAUGAUACAACUUUUGCCAUUCCUUAUGCUAAGUGUUUGUCGAAUACAUCUUGGGAACGCUAUUACAUCAAAGAUGGCUACCUUAUGAGAGCUAACAAACUUUGCAUUCCCGAGUCCUCGCUUCGUUUGUUGCUUUUGCAGGAAUCUCAUGGAGGAGGCUUAAUGGGAUAAUUUGGACGCGACAAGAUGUUCUCCAUGCUCUCGAAGAACUACUUUUGGCCUAAGAUGUUUCGGGAUGUCAAUCGUUUCACCAACCGGUGUUCUACAUGUCGCAAAGCUAAGUCCAAAGCUCAAUCUCAUGGUCUCUAUAUGCCUUUACCUAUUCCAUACCAACCUUGGGAAGGCAUUAGCAUGGACUUUGUCCUUGGUUUGCCAAGAACUCGAAAUGGGAAAGAUUCUAUAUUUGUCGUUGUGGACCGUUUCUCAAAAAUGGCACAUUUUAUUCCUUGCCACAAGAUAGACGAUGCUUCACAUGUUGCUAAUCUCUUUUGUAGGGAAAUUUUGUGUCUCCAUGGUGUGCCAAAAACCAUCGUCUCGGACCGCGACGUCAAGUUCCUUAGCUACUUUUGGAAGACCCUAUGCGCCAAGCUCGGAAUCAAGCUACUCUUCUCCACGGCUUACCAUCCUCAAACUGACGGCCAAACGGAGGUGACAAACCGCAUACUCUCCGCUCUACUUCGAGUACUCAUCAAGAAGAACAUCAAGAAGUGGGAGGAGUGUCUACCUAUCGCCGAGUUCGCCUACAACCGAGCAAGACAUUCAACAACCGGCAAGUCCCCUUUCGAGGUCGUCAACGGAUUCAACCCUUUGUCACCAUUGGAUAUUCUACCCCUACCACUCCAAGAGCGAAUCAAUUUGGACGCAAGUGCAAGAGCGACCCAUAUCAAGAAGGUGCACGAAGAUACAAGAAACACCAUCGAGCGCCAAGUACAACGCCUUGCGACCAAGCUCAACGUCAACAAGCAACCUAUGGUCUUCAACAUUGAUGAUCUCGUGUGGCUACACCUUUGCAAGGAGCGCUUUCCACAAGAACGCAAGUCUAAGCUUCGACCUCAAGCAGAUGGACCCUUCAAGGUGCUCGCACGAUACAACAACAACGCUUACAUGAUCGACUUCCCGCGCGACAAAUACAACGUGAGCGACAUCUUCAACAUCAAAGAUCUCUCUCCCUUCCAUGGUGAUGAAGAACUCGAUCCGAGGACGGAUCUUCCCCAAGGGGGGAGAUGAUGCGGAGCAUCCCACGACCAUCCCCAUGGACGCCACCUCAACUAUCCAAGCUCCAAGUGGACCAAUGACAAGGGCUAGGGCACGUGCUAUUCAAUCCGAGGUGACAUCACUCCUACUUGAGUUUUCUCCCUCUUCAAGUGAGACAUGGCUACUGCCUAAGUCCGAGAUACUAUGUGUCAUCAGGUACAAUGCUCAAGACUCGGAGCUGAGGACUGUAGAAGAAGAGACAGGCGUCAACACUCUGGACAGCCCGAAACUUCCGGCCAGAGCCCGGAACUUCCUGCCCCUGAACCUUCCGGCCGACCCGGAGCUUUCGGCCGCCGAUGACUUCGACCAGCCCAGGCGUCCAAACUCUCGGGUUAGCCUGGACCCCGUCCCGGACCUUCCGGCGCCCGGAACCUCCGGCCUGCCCGGACCUUCCAGCCCCCGGAUGCCAGCACAUCUCCACCGCACCAACUCUCUGGUUAGGCCGGACCCUGAUGAGGACAUGACUACCUUGGAUAUGACCAAAAAUAUUGCAUAUAUGCAUAUUUGUCAGGUGAUUUCUAGUGCAAACUAUUCAAUAAUCUAUUUAUGUUAUCCAGAACAAAAAUACUUCACACACUUUUGUGUUUUGUCUAAUUGCAGGUGUAUGGGACAUUUGUACAAUCCACAUAUGAAGAUAAGGAAGAAAGAGAUUUUUAUUUGCUGUCCAAAAAGUUCUCUCACGUCACUUUUGGCCCAAGAGAAGAUAGAGUCCAAGUCUCUCACGUUCUGGAUUCAGAUUCGGACUGCACAGACACACCUGACUCAAAACGCACACAAGUUUUUCAUACGGACUCCGAAUUGGGUGAUUCUUUUUUUGUUGGAAACUAGAUUUCGUGCACUUUCCAACCCAAUUGGAAUCACCUUCAAAUUCGUCCGGAGCGUUGAGUUGUGGACGAAACAAUCUGAUGCUGCAGCAGAAUCCGAGUCAAACUACAAGUCCAAAGGUGUUACAUCACCUCCACUUGGGCCCAUUGGCCUUGUACGACCUAGAUUUAGUUUUAGGCUGCCUUGGGUCGUCCUCCCACCUCCUUGGCCUCCACCCCUUGCUCCUAUAUAAGUAGAUCCAUCUAGUAGCUUUUCCUUGGGAUUUGUUUAGUUAAAAGUUAGCCAUUGCAACUUCGUGUACUUCGUUUGUGUCCAACGACCAGACCAAGACCGCUUACGGAUCCCCACCUUUAUCAAUACUUCAUAUAUACUCGCAAUAUUCAGAUUGCUUUUAUCAUAUUCUUGCUUGUUCUUCGAUUGCUUGCAGGAAUAGACCUUCGUGGUCAGGUUGAUUGUGCUCCGGCAUGGUCAAUAACCUCUCGGAGUUGGUUUAGCGAUUGCUAAGGCGCAACGUCGUGCACGUUUGUAGUCGGAUCGUCAAAGUCGUCUCCACCAAAUCGAUAGUUAUCAUCUCAUCGAAAGAUCGGGACACCGCCGCCUCUAUCAAGUGGUAUCAGUUUUCAGGUUGCUCGGUGAGAAUUUCCAGUUUUCCUAGAUUAGAUUUAUUUUCUUACCUAUUGUCCAAGAAAAAUCCACAAAAAAGAGUUAGAUCUAUUCAUCCUUUGUCCAAGCCAGUCUGAGCCUUUGCAAUUUUCUUUUCAUUGCUUGCAUAGUUGAAUUAUCGGUUGCAUCGUCGUGUCGAGUUGCUGGUCUUAGUGUCUAGGUCGUUUAGAGUUUCGAGUUCUGUUCACAUUAGUCACGCCACCGCUGCAUCAUUAUCUCUUCCACUGUCCACCACCCACCCAUCAAUUUCCACCACGUGCUACCCACCAUUCAUUGUCAUAAUAAUAGUUGAGAUCGUUCACAUCUUCACUUGAUCCAAUCUGCAUGUUAGCUAGUUUGUCUUGGAAAGAGGGAGAAAAAGAAGAUAAAGAAAAAAAAGAGAGAAAAAAGGAAAGAAAAAAAAAAGAAAAAGAGGGAGAAGAAAAAGAAAAAAAAGCGUGAGAAAAAAAAGAGAGAAGAAAAAAAAUUGGAUCUAUCUAGAAUCAAUCUCGUACCUGAAUUCGGAUUGGAAUCUGUUUUGCGCACUGUUCAGUAAAACAGGUGUAUCUUCCUCAUACGAAGUCCAUUUUGGCUCCGUGAGUACUCAAAUUGAAGCUAGCGACGAGCCGCAUCUAAAUAGUUGCAGAAGCUAGUUCAAUAUUUGACACCUCAAAAUCGGCUUCUAAAUAGGUCUUUUUGCCCUCCGAAGUUCAUGAACACAGCUUGUUCCAAUUUUUCAGGCCAGUUUUAGAAUUCUUUGACUCCUCAUAUCAACUCAGAAUUGAGUGAUUCUUUUUGCAUUGGAAAGCUUGAGUUAAUAGCAUUCUUUGAAAGAAAUUAUCAGAAAAUUGUCUUAAACUUUUCAAGAGGAAAGUUGGAGAGAGAGUUGUUGUAUAUCCUGCUUGGCAAUUGUUUUUCAUCAUUAUCUUUACUGCCUUUGUGAUAUUCACUUAUAUCUUGCUGUCAAGAGCUACUUAGUAUCCUUCAUUGAUGCUAGUUGUGCUACGCCGUGACCUCAUUAGUGUUCUAGGCUCGCGUCUCUAGUACGGUCUAGCCUAGGACCAGCACAGUACCGUCGUUGAGUGUUUAUUCAACAUUGCAUCUUUGAAUUGAUUAUUGCUAAUCUUUUGCUACCAUAUAUAGCCAACCCAGCUCCACAUAUUUCUACACCGUGUAUACGUACGCUUCCCUGGCAAUCGCUUUACUCAAUAUUCGGAGUUACUUGACACCGCUGGUUGCCGAUCACCGCCUGCUGCAUGGUAAGAACUUGUAAGACAUUGAUAUUUGCUUUACUGUGAGCGUUUUACCACCACAUCCUAGUAGUUAUAGGAACAUUAUUUUUGGGUUUUGUUUCUUGUUCUACUAAUCAUGACAGGAUCCAGAGUCAAUUCAUGGGCUUUGUCGAUCGCGGGAGACGUGCCACCACCUUUGCAAAUACCACAACCGUCACGAGAGGUGCACAAACAUCCAAAUGCACAUGAUCAGGUUAAUGUAUCUAUACCACCAUUUAAUGGCCGUUUUAAACCUGCUUUAUAUAUUGAAUGGGAGUUCGACAUAAAAAAUAUAUUUGCUUCCCAUAAUUUCGAUGAACAUAAAAAGGUUAAGGUUGAGGUUGGUUCUUUCACUGGUUAUGCUUUGGUUUGGUGGAGUGAAUAUUGUCGGUUACACCCUGAUUAUAUACCUACUACUUGGGAUGAUUUGAAACUUGCCAUGCGACAUACUUUCGUCCCUGCUUAUUAUACUCGUGACAUGAUUAAGAAGUUGCAACACUUAAAACAAGGUAGUGAAACUGUAACAAAAUAUUAUGAUGAUUUACAAACUACCUUGUUGCAUUCCUCUUUAGAAGAAAGUGAAGAUGAUUUUAUGGAUAGAUUUUGGGGAGGAUUAAACCGUGAUAUUCAAGAGAUACUAAUUCAUGAAGAGUGUUAUCCUAUGGACCAUUUGUUUCAUCUUGCUUGCAAAGCUGAACAGGAAAUAAAACGACGUGUUGGCCACGAGGAGAACAAGCGCACGAUGCACAUUCCAAGAGUUGAUAUGAUUGUUCCUUCAACUACUAGGCAUACUAUGACAACCAAAUCCGUUGUUGUCAGGACUACAUCACCUCCACCAUGUGACACAACGCCCCCGAGAGUGGCUACAUCAUCUGAGUUGAUCAUAAGAGGUAAUGACAAAGGUACUGAUCUUCCAUCUCUACAUGAGAAUGAUGAAUGCCUUGUCAAUUUGAAUGCACCAUCUGAUGAGCUACCCACUACUUUGAUCACACCACCUAUUUUAGAGGACUACGUUGAUAAUUUGACUUUGCCAUGUGAUCAAACAACUGAAAUACCAACAAUUUUGAGUGCACCAAUUGAAUUAACUAUUGAUGCAAAAGAACCAAUGUUUAAUCAUUUUGAUAUGACCUCUAAUCUUGGUGAUGAUUCUGUGUUGAAUGACUUAUUGCAUGUUUGCUUAUUUAAGCAUGUUGUAGCAUGUAAAUUUGAUGCAAGUAAGGUUUAUUCACCAAUGUUGGGAUGGUUUAAUGAUGAACAUUGUCAAUCUUUUGAAAUGAAUAAGAGCUUCACUUAUAUGUGCAAACUGAGUUGCAAUAUUUUCAUGCCUUCUACUUCUUGUGCUAAUUUUUGGCUUUAGAUUUUAUGAACUAUGCAAGUUACUCAUCUAUUCAUGUGUCAUAUAUGCAAAAAUCAAGGGAAGUAAAAAUGGAUGACAUAUACAUAUACAACAUGUACACCUUGUCUCUUUUGUUAGCCAUAUUUCAGAUUAAGCAACGCCGAGGACGGCUUUAUUUUCAAGAAGGGGAGGAUGAUGAGGACAUGACUACCUUGGAUAUGACCAAAAAUAUUGCAUAUAUGCAUAUUUGUCAGGUGAUUUCUAGUGCAAACUAUUCAAUAAUCUAUUUAUGUUAUCCAGAACAAAAAUAUUUCACACACUUUUGUGUUUUGUCUAAUUGCAGGUGUAUGGGACAUUUGUACAAUCCACAUAUGAAGAUAAGGAAGAAAGAGAUUUUUAUUUGCUGUCCAAAAAGUUCUCUCACGUCACUUUUGGCCCAAGAGAAGAUAGAGUCCAAGUCUCUCACGUUCUGGAUUCAGAUUCGGACUGCACAGACACACCUGACUCAAAACGCACACAAGUUUUUCAUACGGACUCCGAAUUGGGUGAUUCUUUUUUUGUUGGAAACUAGAUUUCGUGCACUUUCCAACCCAAUUGGAAUCACCUUCAAAUUCGUCCGGAGCGUUGAGUUGUGGACGAAACAAUCUGAUGCUGCAGCAGAAUCCGAGUCAAACUACAAGUCCAAAGGUGUUACAUCACCUCCACUUGGGCCCAUUGGCCUUGUACGACCUAGAUUUAGUUUUAGGCUGCCUUGGGUCGUCCUCCCACCUCCUUGGCCUCCACCCCUUGCUCCUAUAUAAGUAGAUCCAUCUAGUAGCUUUUCCUUGGGAUUUGUUUAGUUAAAAGUUAGCCAUUGCAACUUCGUGUACUUCGUUUGUGUCCAACGACCAGACCAAGACCGCUUACGGAUCCCCACCUUUAUCAAUACUUCAUAUAUACUCGCAAUAUUCAGAUUGCUUUUAUCAUAUUCUUGCUUGUUCUUCGAUUGCUUGCAGGAAUAGACCUUCGUGGUCAGGUUGAUUGUGCUCCGGCAUGGUCAAUAACCUCUCGGAGUUGGUUUAGCGAUUGCUAAGGCGCAACGUCGUGCACGUUUGUAGUCGGAUCGUCAAAGUCGUCUCCACCAAAUCGAUAGUUAUCAUCUCAUCGAAAGAUCGGGACACCGCCGCCUCUAUCAGACCCUCCCCGGAACCUCCACUGCCCGGAACUUCUGGCCCUGCCUGCGCGCAGCAACUUGGGCCGAGGCCGGUGUACCCUUUCGUCACCUAGACUGAUAGAGGCAAAGGUGUCCCGUCUUUCGAUGAGAUGAUGGAUAUCGCUUUGGUGGAAGUCGACUUUGACGAUCCGACUACGAACGUGCGAGGACGUCGUGCCUUAGCAAUCGCUAAACCAACUCCGAGAGGUUAUUGACCACGCCGGAGCACGAUCAACCUGACCACGAGGGUUUGUUUCCUGCAAGCAAACGAAGAACAAGCAAGAAUCUGAGAUUGCAAUCUGGAUAUUGCGAAUAUAAGAUGAAAGCUUUAUUGAUCAAGGUGCGGUUCUGUGAUGCCUUUGUCUAGUCAUUGAACACAAACGAAGUACGCGAAGUUGCAGCUAUGGCGAACUUUAAUCUAAACAAAACCCAAAGUCUAAACGGUGCCCUAAGGGCUGUAUAUAUGGGGGAAGAGAGGGGGAAUUUCGUGGCCCUUGGUGGAGGGGUCCGAAAUCAACCCUAUCUCUUGUUUCCCCAUACAUACGGACUCUAAAAAUAGCCUAUACUAAUGUAUUUCGAAAUUACAUGGGACUGGCCCAGUAAAAAAAGGUGACGCAGCACCUAUAAUAGCCUCUGGACGAAAUUUAUGAAGUGGCAUCUUGUAUAUUUCGUCCAAGGCUUCAUGCACUCGUUAUGGUGGCUUCAAAGACCUGAAAUCAUCACUCGUAACUCCGUUCUUGUUCCCCUUGCGCAUGACAUCAUCUCCAUGCUUUCUCUUGCUCCAAUGUUCAUCCUUCUCCAAGCUAGGCCCUUCAUUUGUAAGCAAAACAAAUGUAUCCAAUUUAGGCAGCAUCAUAUUCUCAUGAACAUUAGAAUCAUUACCAAGAAACGAAAGUACCUGGUAAUUUAGUUGGCGUGCGCGAGCUCUAGUAAUUGGUCCAGUAUGUAUAGCAGUAGGGGCUGUGGGUGUAACAAUUGUAUUGAUGUCCUCAUCAUCCUCCCCUUCUUGAAAUGAAGUCGUCCUCGACGGAAGUUCAUCUUCCUUACCCAAAUAAGGCUUCAAAUCUGCAAUGUUAAAAGUGGGACUAACCCCAAAAUCUGCAGGCAGCUCAAGUUUAUAUGCAUUAUCAUUUAUUUUCUCUAACACCUUAAAGGGACCAUCAGCACGUGGCAUUAACUUUGAUUUGCGCAAAUCAGGAAAUCUAUCCUUACGCAAAUGUAACCAAACAAGAUCUCCAGGUGCAAACACAACAUGUUUUCUACCCUUAUCUCCAGCGAGUUUAUAUUUAGCAUUCAUACGCUCAAUGUUUUCCUUAGUUAACUCAUGCAUUUUUAAAAUCAAUUCAGCACGUUGUUUAGCAUCAAAAUUAACCUUCUCCGAAGAUGGAAGAGGCAACAAAUCAAUAGGUGCACGAGGUAGGAAACCAUACACAACUUCAAAAGGGCACAUCUUAGUAGUAGAAUGUAAUGAACGAUUAUAAGCAAAUUCAAUAUGAGGCAAGCAUUCCUCCCACAUUUUCUUAUUAUUCUUCAAAACAGCCCUAAGCAUAGUAGACAACGUUCUAUUGACUACUUCAGUUUGUCCAUCAGUUUGGGGGUGACAAGUAGUACUAAAAAGCAGUUUAGUCCCCAACUUAGCCCAUAAACAUCUCAAAAAGUGGCUAAGAAAUUUAGUAUCACGAUCUGAAACAAUAGUAUUUGGCACACCAUGCAAGCGAAUAAUUUCACGAAAGAACAAAUCAGCAACAUUAACAGCAUCAUCGCUUUUAUGACAUGGUAUAAAGUGUGCCAUUUUCGAGAAUCUAUCCACGACAACAAGUAUGCUAUCCCUCCCCUUCUUUGUUCGAGGUAAACCUAAAACAAAGUCCAUAGAUAUAUCCUCCCAAGGAACACUAGGUACAGGCAAAGGCAUAUAUAAACCAUGAGGAUUGAGUCGUGACUUAGCUUUUUGACAUGUAGUGCAUCGAGCAAUAAAACGCUCAACAUCCCGUCUCAUCUUUGGCCAAAAGAAAUGUGUAGCAAGUACAUCCUUCGUCUUCUUCACGCCAAAGUGUCCCAUUAAUCCUCCUCCAUGCGCCUCCUGCAACAACAAAAGACGAACGGAGCUAGCUGGAAUGCAUAGCUUGUUAGCACGAAACACAAAUCCAACGUUAACGACAAACUUGUUCCACAUUCUUCCUUCUUUACAAUUCUGCAUUACAUCUUUAAAAUCAGCAUCAUGCACAUAUUGAUCUUUGAUGGUCUCCAAACCAAAUAUUUUGAAGUCAAGUUGUGAAAGCAUAGUAUAGCGAUGAGACAAUGCAUCAGCAAUAACAUUUUCUUUUCCCUUCUUGUGUUUAAUGACAUAAGGGAAAGUCUCAAUGAAUUCAACCCAUUUAGCAUGUCUACGAUUCAGUUUAGCUUGACUUUUAAUAUGUUUCAAAGAUUCAUGAUCAGAAUGUAUAACAAAUUCUUUGGGCCAUAAAUAAUGUUGCCAUGUUUCUAAAGUCCGAACAAGAGCAUAUAAUUCUUUAUCAUAAGUAGAAUAAUGUAGACUAGGCCCACUCAAUUUUUCAGAAAAGUAUGCAACAGGUUUGCCAUCUUGUAAUAACACACCUCCUAAUCCAAUUCCACUAGCAUCACAUUCAAGCUCAAAAGUCUUAUUAAAAUCAGGAAGUUGGAGUAAAGGAGCAUGUGUGAACUUAUCUUUCAAUACCGAGAAGGCUUCUUCCUGUGCGGUACCCCAAAGAAAAGGCACAUCUUUCUUUGUAAGCUCAUUGAGAGGUGCAGCAAUGGUGCUGAAAUCUCUCACAAAACGCCUAUAGAAUCCAGCGAGGCCAAGAAAACUCCUCACUUGUGUGACCGUUUUGGGCUGCGGCCAACUCUCAAUAGCUUCAAUCUUGGCUUUAUCAACUUCAAUUCCCUAUGGAGUAACAACAUAGCCAAGAAAAGAUACUCGGUCGGUGCAAAAGGUGCACUUCCCAAGGUUACCAAACAAACAUGCAUCACGUAGAGCAAUAAAAACAGCACGGAAAUGUUCCAAAUGUUCUUCCAAAGAUCUGCUAUAAAUCAGUAUAUCAUCAAAAUAGACUACCACAAAUCGUCCAAUGAAAGCACGUAAAACUUCGUUCAUUAGUCUCAUGAAAGUACUAGGCGCAUUAGUUAACCCAAAAGGCAUGACUAACCACUCAUAUAAUCCAAACUUAGUUUUAAAUGCUGUUUUCCAUUCAUCCCCCAAUUUCAUACGAAUUUGAUGGUAUCCACUACGCAAAUCAACUUUGGAGAAUAUUGUAGAGCCACUCAAUUCAUCAAGCAUAUCAUCUAGCCUAGGAAUAGGAUGACGAUAACGAAUAGUAAUAUUAUUAAUGCCUCUACAAUCAACACACAUACGCGAUGUACCAUCCUUUUUCGGCACUGGAAUAAUAGGAACAGCACAAGGACUAAGGGAUUCGCGUAUAUAACCUUUGUCGAGAAGCUCUUGUACUUGACGCAUAAUCUCCUUCGUCUCCUCUGGAUUGGUACGGUAUGGCGCACGGUUUGGCAGUGAAGCACCGGGAAUUAAGUCGAUCUGAUGCUCAAUCCCUCGAAUAGGUGGUAAUCCCGGUGGCACGUCUUGUGGAAAGACGUCAGCGAACUCCUGCAAAAUGUUAGUGAUAGCAGGAGGCAAAGAGGAAGGCACGUCCUCGAAUGAAAAUAAUGCCUCUUUGCACACAAAAGCAUAGCAAACAGAUUUGCUGAAAUCAAGCUCAUCAAUAUCAGAUUUGGUGGCAAAUAAACAUGCACUUUUCAAUUUAAUUUCAGAAGCAACACUAGAUGGUUUAUUAUUAGGCUUAAUUUGUUGCUCAAAUUCUUUUGCCACAAUCUGAUUUUCACUCUUAUUCUUCUCUUGUUUUGCUUUAUUAGCUCUAUUAAUAUCAUCUUUCAAAAUAGAAUCAGGAGUCAUAGGAAGCAAAGUAAUAUUUUUAUCCUUAUGAACAAGAGUAUACUGAUUGUUUCUACCAUGGUGUACAGAAUUUUUAUCAAAUUGCCAUGGUCUACCAAGUAAUAAGGAACAUGCUUGCAUAGGUACUGAUAGAGGCGGGGUGUCCCGAUCUUUCGAUGAGAUGAUAACUACCGAUUUGGUGGAGACGACUUUGACGAUCCGACUACAAACGUGCACAACGUUGCGCCUUAGCAAUCGCUAAACCAAUCUCUUGAGGUUACUGACGAUGCUGGAAGCACGGUCAGCCUGACCACGAAGGUCUAUUCCUGCAAGCAAUCGAAGAACAAGCAAGAAUAUGAUAAAAGCAAUCUGAAUAUUGCGAGUAUAUAUGAAGUAUUGAUAAAGGUGGGGAUCCGUAAGCGGUCUUGGUCUGGUCGUUGGACACAAACGAAGUACACGAAGUUGCAAUGGCUAACUUUUAACUAAACAAAUCCCAAAGUCUAAACGAUGCCCUAAGGGCUGUAUAUAUGGAGGAAGAGGGGGAAUUUCGUGGCCCUUGGUGGAGGGGUCCGAAAUCAACCCUAUCUCUUGUUUCCCCACACAUACGGACUCUAAAAAUAGCCUAUACUUAUGUAUUUCGAAAUUACAUGGGCCUGGCCCAAUAAUAAGGUGACGCAGCACCUAAAAUAGCCUCGGGACGAAAUUUAUGAAGUGGCAUCUUGUAUAUUUCGUCGAAGGCUUCAUGCACCCAUUAUGGUGGCUUCAAAGUCCUGAAAUCAUCACUUGUAACUCCGUUCUUGUUCCCCUUGCGCAUGCCAUCAUCUCCAUGCUUGUUCUUGCUCCAAUGUUCAUCCUUCUCCAAGCUAGGCCCUUCAUUUGUAAGCAAAACAAAUGUAUCCAAUUUAGGCAGCAUCAUAUUCUCAUGAACAUUAGAAUCAUUACCAAGAAACGAAAGUACCUGGUAAUUUAGUUGGCGUGCACGAUCUCUAGUAAUUGGUCCAGUAUGUAUAGCAGCAGGGGCUGUGGGUGUAACAAUUGUAUUGAUGUCCUCAUCAUCCUCCCCUUCUUGAAAUGAAGUCGUCCUCGACGGAAGUUCAUCUUCCUCACCCAAAUAAGGCUUCAAAUCUGCAAUGUUAAAAGUGGGACUAACCCCAAAAUCUGCAGGCAGCUCAAGUUUAUAUGCAUUAUCAUUUAUUUUCUCUAACACCUUAAAGGGACCAUCAGCACGUGGCAUUAACUUUGAUUUGCGCAAAUCAGGAAAUCUAUCCUUACGCAAAUGUAACCAAACAAGAUCUCCAGGUGCAAACACAACAUGUUUUCUACCCUUAUCUCCAGCAAGUUUAUAUUUAGCAUUCAUACGCUCAAUGUUUUUGAUGAGGACAUCAAUACAAUUGUUACACCCACAGCCCCUGCUGCUAUACAUACUGGACCAAUUACUAGAGCUCGUGCACGCCAACUAAAUUACCAGGUACUUUCGUUUCUUGGUAAUGAUUCUAAUGUUCAUGAGAAUAUGAUGCUGCCUAAAUUGGAUACAUUUGUUUUGCUUACAAAUGAAGGGCCUAGCUUGGAGAAGGAUGAACAUUGGAGCAAGAACAAGCAUGGAGAUGAUGGCAUGCGCAAGGGGAACAAGAACGGAGUUACAAGUGAUGAUUUCAGGACUUUGAAGCCACCAUAAUGGGUGCAUGAAGCCUUGGACGAAAUAUACAAGAUGCCACUUCAUAAAUUUCGUCCCGAGGCUAUUUUAGGUGCUGCGUCACCUUAUUAUCGGGCCAGGCCCAUGUAAUUUCGAAAUACAUAAGUAUAGGCUAUUUUUAGAGUCCGUAUGUGUGGGGAAACAAGAGAUAGGGUUGAUUUCGGACCCCUCCACCAAGGGCCACGAAAUUCCCCCCUCUUCCUCCAUAUAUACAGCCCUUAGGGCAUCGUUUAGACUUUGGGUUUUGUUUAGAUUAAAAGUUCGCCAUAGCUGCAACUUCGCGUACUUCGUUUGUGUUCAACGACCAGACAAAGGCGUCACAGAACCCCACCUUGAUCAAUAAAGCUUUCAUCUUAUAUUCGCAAUAUCCAGAUUGCAAUCUCAGUUUCUUGCUUGUUCUUCAUUUGCUCGCAGGAAACAGACCCUCGUGGUCAGGUUGAUCGUGCUCCGGCGUGGUCAAUAACCUCUCGGAGUUGGUUUAGCGAUUGCUAAGGCGCGACGUCCUCGCACGUUCGUAGUCGGAUCGUCAAAGUCGACUUCCACCAAAGCGAAAUCCAUCAUCUCAUCGAAAGACGGGACACCUUUGCCUCUAUCAUAUUGCGAAUAUAAGAUGAAAGCUUUAUUGAUCAAGGUGGGGUUCUAUGACGCCUUUGUCUGGUCGUUGAACACAAACGAAGUACGCGAAGUUGCAGCUAUGGCGAACUUUUAAUCUAAACAAAACCCGAAGUCUAAACGAUGCCCUAAGGGCUGUAUAUAUGGAGGAAGAGGGGGGGAAUUUCGUGGCCCUUGGUGGAGGGGUCCGAAAUCAACCCUAUCUCUUGUUUCCCCACACAUACGUACUCUAAAAAUAGCCUAUACUUAUGUAUUUCGAAAUUACAUGGGCCUGGCCCAAUAAUAAGGUGACGCAGCACCUAAAAUAGCCUCGGGACGAAAUUUAUGAAGUGGCAUCUUGUAUAUUUCGUCCAAGGCUUCAUGCACCCAUUAUGGUGGCUUCAAAGUCCUGAAAUCAUCACUUGUAACUCCGUUCUUGUUCCCCUUGCGCAUGCCAUCAUCUCCAUGCUUGUUCUUGCUCCAAUGUUCAUCCUUCUCCAAGCUAGGCCCUUCAUUUGUAAGCAAAACAAAUGUAUCCAAUUUAGUCAGCAUCAUAUUCUCAUGAACAUUAGAAUCAUUACCAAGAAACGAAAGUACCUGGUAAUUUAGUUGGCGUGCACGAGCUCUAGUAAUUGGUCCAGUAUGUAUAGCAGCAGGGGCUGUGGGUGUAACAAUUGUAUUGAUGUCCUCAUCAUCCUCCCCUUCUUGAAAUGAAGUCGUCCUCGACGGAAGUUCAUCUUCCUCACCCAAAUAAGGCUUCAAAUCUGCAAUGUUAAAAGUGGGACUAACCCCAAAAUCUGCAGGCAGCUCAAGUUUAUAUGCAUUAUCAUUUAUUUUCUCUAACACCUUAAAGGGACCAUCAGCACGUGGCAUUAACUUUGAUUUGCGCAAAUCAGGAAAUCUAUCCUUAUGCAAAUGUAACCAAACAAGAUCUCCAGGUGCAAACACAACAUGUUUUCUACCCUUAUCUCCAGCAAGUUUAUAUUUAGCAUUCAUGCGCUCAAUGUUUUCCUUAGUUAACUCAUGCAUUUUUAAAAUCAAUUCAGCAUGUUGUUUAGCAUCAAAAUUAACCUUCUCCGAAGAUGGAAGAGGCAACAAAUCAAUAGGUGCACGAGGUAGGAAACCAUACACAACUUCAAAAGGGCACAUCUUAGUAGUAGAAUGCAAUGAACGAUUAUAAGCAAAUUCAAUAUGAGGCAAGCAUUCCUCCCACAUUUUCUUAUUAUUCUUCAAAACAGCCCUAAGCAUAGUAGACAACGUUCUAUUGACUACUUCAGUUUGUCCAUCAGUUUGGGGGUGACAAGUAGUACUAAAAAGCAGUUUAGUCCCCAACUUAGCCCAUAAACAUCUCAAAAAGUGGCUAAGAAAUUUAGUAUCACGAUCUGAAACAAUAGUAUUUGGCACACCAUGCAAGCGAAUAAUUUCACGAAAGAACAAAUCAGCAACAUUAACAGCAUCAUCGCUUUUAUGACAUGGUAUAAAGUGUGCCAUUUUCGAGAAUCUAUCCAUGACAACAAAUAUGCUAUCCCUCCCCUUCUUUGUUCGAGGUAAACCUAAAACAAAGUCCAUAGAUAUAUUGAUGAGGACAUCAAUACAAUUGUUACGCCCACAGCCCCUGCUGCUAUACAUACUGGACCAAUUACUAGAGCUCGUGCAUGCCAACUAAAUUACCAGGUACUUUCGUUUCUUGGUAAUGAUUCUAAUGUUCAUGAGAAUAUGAUGCUGCCUAAAUUGGAUACAUUUGUUUUGCUUACAAAUGAAGGGCCUAGCUUGGAGAAGGAUGAACAUUGGAGCAAGAACAAGCAUGGAGAUGAUGGCAUGCGCAAGGGGAACAAGAACGGAGUUACAAGUGAUGAUUUCAGGACUUUGAAGCCACCAUAAUGGGUGCAUGAAGCCUUGGACGAAAUAUACAAGAUGCCACUUCAUAAAUUUCGUCCCGAGGCUAUUUUAGGUGCUGCGCCACCUUAUUAUUGGGCCAGGCCCAUGUAAUUUCGAAAUACAUAAGUAUAGGCUAUUUUUAGAGUCCGUAUGUGUGGGGAAACAAGAGAUAGGGUUGAUUUCGGACCCCUCCACCAAGGGCCACGAAAUUCCCCCCCUCUUCUUCCAUAUAUACAGCCCUUAGGGCAUCGUUUAGACUUUGGGUUUUGUUUAGAUUAAAAGUUCGCCAUAGCUGCAACUUCGCGUACUUCGUUUGUGUUCAACGACCAGACAAAGGCGUCACAGAACCCCACCUUGAUCAAUAAAGCUUUCAUCUUAUAUUCGCAAUAUCCAGAUUGCAAUCUUAGUUUCUUGCUUGUUCUUCGUUUGCUCGCAGGAAACAGACCCUCGUGGUCAGGUUGAUCGUGCUCCGGCGUGGUCAAUAACCUCUCGGAGUUGGUUUAGCGAUUGCUAAGGCGCGACGUCCUCGCACGUUCGUAGUCGGAUCGUGAAAGUCGACUUCCACCAAAGCGAUAUCCAUUAUCUCAUCGAAAGACGGGACACCUUUGCCUCUAUCAUAUAUCCUCCCAAGGAACACUAGGUACAGGCAAAGGCAUAUAUAAACCAUGAGGAUUGAGUCGUGACUUAGCUGUUUGACAUGUAGUGCAUCGAGCAAUAAAACGCUCAACAUCCCGUCUCAUCUUUGGCCAAAAGAAAUGUGUAGCAAGUACGUCCUUCGUCUUCUUCACGCCAAAGUGUCCCAUUAAUCCUCCUCCAUGCGCCUCCUGCAACAACAAAAGACGAACGGAGCUAGCUGGAAUGCAUAGCUUGUUAGCACGAAACACAAAUACAACGUUAACGACAAACUUGUUCCACAUUCUUCCUUCUUUACAAUUCUGCAUUACAUCUUUAAAAUCAGCAUCAUGCACAUAUUGAUCUUUGAUGGUCUCCAAACCAAAUAUUUUGAAGUCAAGUUGUGAAAGCAUAGUAUAGCGAUGAGACAAUGCAUCAGCAAUAACAUUUUCUUUUCCCUUCUUGUGUUUAAUGACAUAAGGGAAAGUCUCAAUGAAUUCAACCCAUUUAGCAUGUCUACGAUUCAGUUUAGCUUGACUUUUAAUAUGUUUCAAAGAUUCAUGAUCAGAAUGUAUAACAAAUUCUUUGGGCCAUAACUAAUGUUGCCAUGUUUCUAAAGUCCGAACAAUAGCAUAUAAUUCUUUAUCAUAAGUAGAAUAAUUCAGACUAGGCCCACUCAAUUUUUCAGAAAAGUAUGCAACAGGUUUGCCAUCUUGUAAUAACACACCUCCUAAUCCAAUUCCACUAGCAUCACAUUCAAGCUCAAAAGUCUUAUUAAAAUCAGGAAGUUGGAGUAAAGGAGCAUGUGUGAACUUAUCUUUCAAUACCGAGAAGGCUUCUUCCUGUGCGGUACCCCAAAGAAAAGGCACAUCUUUCUUUGUAAGCUCAUUGAGAGGUGUAGCAAUGGUGCUGAAAUCUCUCACAAAACGCCUAUAGAAUCCAGCGAGGCCAAGAAAACUCCUCACUUGUGUGACCGUUUUGGGCUGCGGCCAACUCUCAAUAGCUUCAAUCUUGGCUUUAUCAACUUCAAUUCCCUGUGGAGUAACAACAUAGCCAAGAAAAGAUACUCGGUCGGUGCAAAAGGUGCACUUCCCAAGGUUACCAAACAAACGUGCAUCACGUAGAGCAAUAAAAACAUCACGAAAAUGUUCCAAAUGUUCUUCCGAAGAUCUGCUAUAAAUCAGUAUAUCAUCAAAAUAGACUACCACAAAUCGUCCAAUGAAAGCACGUAAAACUUCGUUCAUUAGUCUCAUGAAAGUACUAGGCGCAUUAGUUAACCCAAAAGGCAUGACUAACCACUCAUAUAAUCCAAACUUAGUUUUAAAUGCUGUUUUCCAUUCAUCCCCCAAUUUCAUACGAAUUUGAUGGUAUCCACUACGCAAAUCAACUUUGGAGAAUAUUGUAGAGCCACUCAAUUCAUCAAGCAUAUCAUCUAGCCUAGGAAUAGGAUGACGAUAACGAAUAGUAAUAUUAUUAAUGCCUCUACAAUCAACACACAUACGCGAUGUACCAUCCUUUUUCGGCACUGGAAUAAUAGGAACAGCACAAGGACUAAGGGAUUCGCGUAUAUAACCUUUGUCGAGAAGCUCUUGUACUUGACGCAUAAUCUCCUUCGUCUCCUCUGGAUUGGUACGGUAUGGCGCACGGUUUGGCAGUGAAGCACCGGGAAUUAAGUCAAUCUGAUGCUCAAUCCCUCGAAUAGGCGGUAAUCCCGGUGGCACGUCUUGUGGAAAAACGUCAGCGAACUCCUGCAAAAUGUUAGUGACAGCAGGAGGCAAAGAGGAAGGCACGUCCUCGAAUGAAAAUAAUGCCUCUUUGCACACAAAAGCAUAGCAAACAGAUUUGCUGAAAUCUAGCUCAUCAAUAUCAGAUUUGGUGGCAAAUAAACAUGCACUUUUCAAUUUAAUUUCAGAAGCAACACUAGAUGGUUUAUUAUUAGGCUUCAUUUGUUGCUCAAAUUCUUUUGCCACAAUCUGAUUUUUCACUCUUAUUCUUCUCCUGUUGUGCUUUAUUAGCUCUAUUAAUAUCAUCUUUCAAAAUGGAAUCAGGAGUCAUAGGAAGCAAAGUAAUAUUUUUAUCCUUAUGAACAAGAGUAUAGUGAUUGUUUCUACCAUGGUGUACAGAAUUUUUAUCAAAUUGCCAUGGUCUACCAAGUAAUAAGGAACAUGCUUGCAUAGGUACCACAUCACAAUCAACAUAAUCAGCAUAUGUAGAGAUACUAAAAUGCACACGAACAGUACGUGUUACCUUAACCUUGCCGCUGUUGUUGAACCAUUGGAUGUAGUAAGGAUGUGGAUGUUGUCUUGUGGUGAGAGAAAGCUUCUCCACCAUCUCCAUGCUAGCCAAGUUGUUGCAGCUCCCUCCGUCUAUUAUGACGCGCACAGAACGUUCCUUCACAACUCCCUUGGUAUGGAACAAAUUGUGCCUCUGAUUUUGCUCAGCUUGUGUGACCUGUGAUAGAGGCUAAGGUGUCCCGUCUUUCGAUGAGAUGGUGGAUUUCGCUUUGGUGGAAGUCGACUUUGACGAUCCGACUACGAACGUGCGAGGACGUCGCGCCUUAGCAAUCGCUAAACCAACUCCGAGAGGUUAUUGACCACGCCGGAGCACGAUCAACCUGACCACGAGGGUCUGUUUCCUGCGAGCAAACGAAGAACAAGCAAGAAACUAAGAUUGCAAUCUGGAUAUUGCGAAUAUAAGAUGAAAGCUUUAUUGAUCAAAGGUGGGGUUCUGUGACGCCUUUGUCUGGUCGUUGAACACAAACGAAGUACGCGAAGUUGCAGCUAUGGCGAACUUUUAAUCUAAACAAAACCCAAAGUCUAAACGAUACCCUAAGGGCUGUAUAUAUGGAGGAAGAGGGGGAGAAUUUCGUGGCCCUUGGUGGAGGGGUCCGAAAUUGAUGAGGACAUGAAUACCUUGGAUAUGACCAAAAAUAUUGCAUAUAUGCAUAUUUGUCAGGUGAUUUCUAGUGCAAACUAUUCAAUAAUCUAUUUAUGUUAUCCAGAACAAAAAUACUUCACACACUUUUGUGUUUUGUCUAAUUGCAGGUGUAUGGGACAUUUGUACAAUCCAUAUAUGAAGAUAAGGAAGAAAGAGAUGUUUAUUUGCUGUCCAAAAAGUUCUCUGACGUCACUUUUGGCCCAAGAGAAGAUAGAGUCCAAGUCUCUCACGUUCUGGAUUCAGAUUCGGACUACACAGACAUACCUGACUCAAAACGCACACAAGUUUUUCAUACGGACUCCGAAUUGGGUGAUUCUUUUUUUGUUGGAAACUAGAUUUCGUGCGCUUUCCAACCCAAUUGGAAUCACCUUCAAAUUCGUCCGGAGCGUUGAGUUGUGGACGAAACAAUCUGAUGCUGCAGUAGAAUCCGAGUCAAACUACAAGUCCAAAGGUGUUACAUCACCUCCACUUGGGCCCAUUGGCCUUGUACGACCUAGAUUUAGUUUUAGGCUGCCUUGGGACGUCCUCCCACCUCCUUGGCCGCCACCCCUUGCUCCUAUAUAAGUAGAUCCAUCUAGUAGCUUUUUCCUUGGGAUUUGUUUAGUUAAAAGUUAGCCAUUGCAACUUCGUGUGCUUCGUUUGUGUCCAACGACCAGACCAAGACCACUUUUCGGAUCCCCACCAUUAUCAAUACUUCAUACAUAUUCGCGAUAUUCAGAUUGCUUUUAUCAUAUUCUUGCUUGUUCUUCGAUUGCUUGCAGGAAUAGACCUUCGUGGUCAGGUUGAUCGUGCUCCGGUGUGGUCAAUAACCUCUCGGAGUUGGUUUAGCGAUUGCUAAGGCACAACGUCGUUGCACGUUUGUAGUCGGAUCGUCAAAGUCGUCUCCACCAAAUCGAUAGUUAUCAUCUCAUCGAAAGAUCGGGACACCCCGCCUCUAUCAAGUGGUAUGAUGAGGACAUGACUACCUUGGAUAUGACAAAAAAUAUUGCAUAUAUGCAUAUUUGUUAGGUGAUUUCUAGUGCAAACUAUUCAAUAAUCUAUUUAUGUUAUCCAGAACAAAAAUACUUCACACACUUUUGUGUUUUGUCUAAUUGCAGGUGUAUGGGACAUUUGUACAAUCCACAUAUGAAGAUAAGGAAGAAAGAGAUGUUUAUUUGCUGUCCAAAAAGUUCUCUCACGUCACUUUUGGCCCAAGAGAAGAUAGAGUCCAAGUCUCUCACAUUCUGGAUUCAGAUUCGGACUGCACAGACAUACCUGACUCAAAACGCACACAAGUUUUUCAUACGGACUCCGAAUUGGGUGAUUCUUUUUUUGUUGGAAACUAGAUUUCGUGCACUUUCCAACCCAAUUGGAAUCACCUUCAAAUUCGUCCGGAGCGUUGAGUUGUGGACGAAACAAUCUGAUGCUGCAGCAGAAUCUGAGUCAAACUACAAGUCCAAAGGUGUUACAUCACCUCCACUUGGGCCCAUGAGCCUUGUACGACCUAGGGUUAGUUUUAGGCUGCCUUGGGACGUCCUCCCACCUCCUUGGCCGCCACCCCUUGCUCCUAUAUAAGUAGAUCCAUCUAGUAGCUUUUUCCUUGGGAUUUGUUUAGUUAAAAGUUAGCCAACGCAACUUCGUGUACUUCGUUUGUGUCCAACGACCAGACCAAGACCGCUUUCGGAUCCCCACCUUUAUCAAUACUUCAUACAUAUUUGCAAUAUUCAGAUUGCUUUUAUCAUAUUCUUGCUCGUUCUUCGAUUGCUUGCAGGAAUAGACCUUCGUGGUCAGGUUGAUCGUGCACCGACGUGGUCAAUAACCUCUGGAGAUUGGUUUAGCGAUUGCUAAGGCGCAACGUCGUGCACGUUUGUAGUCGGAUCGUCAAAGUCGUCUCCACCAAAUCGAUAGUUACCAUCUCAUCGAAAGAUCGGGACACCCCGCCUCUAUCAAGUGGUAUCAGUUUUCAGGUUGCUCGGUGAGAAUUUCCAGUUUUCCUAGAUUAGAUUUAUUUUCUUACCUAUUGUCCAAGAAAAAGCCACAAAAAAGAGUUAGAUCUAUUCAUCCUUGGUCCAAGCCAGUCUGAGCCUUUACAAUUUUCUUUUCAUUGCUUGCAUAGUUGAAUUAUUGGUUGCAUCGUCGUGUCGAGUUGCUGGUCUUAGUGUCUAGUUCCUUUAGAGUUUCGAGUUCUGUUCACAUUAGUCACGCAGCCGCUGCAUCAUUAUCCCAUCCGCUGAAUUGAGUGAUUCUUUUUGCAUUGGAAAGCUUGAGUUAGUAGCAUUCUUUGAAAGAAUUAAAAUUGUCUCAAACUUUUCAAGAGGAAAGUUGGAGAGAGAGUUGUUGUAUAUCCUGCUUGGCAGUUGUUUUUCAUCAUUAUCUUCACUGCCGUUGUGAUCUUCACUUAUAUAUUGCUGUCAAGAGCUACUUAGUAUCCUUCAUUGAUGCUAGUUGUGCUACGCCGUGACCUUAUUAGUGUUCUAGGCUCGCGUCUCUAGUCCGGUCUAGCCUAGGACCAGCACAGUACCGUCGUUGAGCGUUUAUUCAACAUUGCAUCUUUGAAUUGAUUAUUGCUAAUCUUUUGCUACCAUAUAUAGCCAACCCAGCUCCACAUAUUUCUACACCGUGUAUACGUACGCUCCCCUGGCAAUCGCUUUACUCAAUAUUCGGAGUUACUUGACACCGCUGGUUGCCGAUCACCGCCUGCUGCAUGGUAAGAACUUGUAAGACAUUGAUAUUUGCUUUACUGUGAGCGUUUUACCACCACAUCCUAGUAGUUAUAGGAACAUUAUUUUUGGGUUUUGUUUCUUGUUCUACUAAUCAUGACAGGAUCCAGAGUCAAUUCAUAGGCUUUGUCGAUCGCGGGAGACGUGCCACCACCUUUACAAAUAUCACAACCGUCACGAGAGGUGCACAAACAUCCAAAUGCACAUGAUCAGGUUAAUGUAUCUAUACCACCAUUUAAUGGCCGUUUUAAACCUGCUUUAUAUAUUGAAUGGGAGUUCGACAUAAAAAAUAUAUUUGCUUCCCAUAAUUUCGAUGAACAUAAAAAGGUUAAGGUUGCGGUUGGUUCUUUCACUGGUUAUGCUUUGGUUUGGUGGAGUGAAUAUUGUCGGUUACACCCUGAAUAUAUACCUACUACUUGGGAUGAUUUGAAACUUGCCAUGCGACAUACUUUCGUCCCUGCUUAUUAUACUCGUGACAUGAUUAAGAAGUUGCAACACUUAAAACAAGGUAGUGAAACUGUAACAAAAUAUUAUGAUGAUUUACAAACUACCUUGUUGCAUUCCUCUUUAGAAGAAAGUGAAGAUGAUUUUAUGGAUAGAUUUUGGGGAGGAUUAAACCGUGAUAUUCAAGAGAUACUAAUUCAUGAAGAGUGUUAUCCUAUGGACCAUUUGUUUCAUCUUGCUUGCAAAGCUGAACAGGAAAUAAAACGACGUGUUGGCCACGAGGAGAACAAGCGCACGGUGCACAUUCCAAGAGUUGAUAUGAUUGUUGCUUCAACUACUAGGCAUACUAUGACAACCACAUCCGUUGUUGUCAGGACUACAUCACCUCCACCAUGUGACACAUCGCCCCCAAGAGUGGCUACAUCAUCUGAGUUGAUCAUAAGAGGUAAUGACAAAGGUACUGAUCUUCCAUCUCUACAUGAGAAUGAUGAAUGCCUUGUCAAUUUGAAUGCACCAUCUGAUGAGCUACCCACUACUUUGAUCACACCACCUAUUUUAGAGGACUACGUUGAUAAUUUGACUUUGCCAUGUGAUCAAACAACUGAAAUACCAACAAUUUUGAGUGCACCCAUUGAAUUAACUAUUGAUGCAAAAGAACCAAUGUUUAAUCAUUUUGAUAUGACCUCUAAUCUUGGUGAUGAUUCUGUGUUGAAUGACUUAUUGCAUGUUUGCUUAUUUAAGCAUGUUGUAGCAUGUAAAUUUGAUGCAAGUAAGGUUUAUUCACCAAUGUUGGGAUGGUUUAAUGAUGAACAUUGUCAAUCUUUUGAAAUGAAUAAGAGCUUCACUUAUAUGUGCAAACUGAGUUGCAAUAUUUUCAUGCCUUCUACUUCUUUUGCUAAUUUUUUGGCUUUAGAUUUUAUGAACUAUACAAGUUACUCAUCUAUUCAUGUGUCAUAUAUGCAAAAAUCAAGGGAAGUAAAAAUGGAUGACAUAUACAUAUACAACAUGUACACCUUGUCUUUUUUGUUAGCCACAUUUCAGAUUAAGCAACGCCGAGGACGGCUUUAUUUUCAAGAAGGGGAGGAUGAUGAGGACAUGACUACCUUGGAUAUGACCAAAAAUAUUGCAUAUAUGCAUAUUUGUCAGGUGAUUUCUAGUGCAAACUAUUCAAUAAUCUAUUUAUGUUAUCCAGAACAAAAAUACUUCACACACUUUUGUGUUUUGUCUAAUUGCAGGUGUAUGGGACAUUUGUACAAUCCAUAUAUGAAGAUAAGGAAGAAAGAGAUGUUUAUUUGCUGUCCAAAAAGUUCUCUGACGUCACUUUUGGCCCAAGAGAAGAUAGAGUCCAAGUCUCUCACGUUCUGGAUUCAGAUUCGGACUACACAGACAUACCUGACUCAAAACGCACACAAGUUUUUCAUACGGACUCCGAAUUGGGUGAUUCUUUUUUUGUUGGAAACUAGAUUUCGUGCGCUUUCCAACCCAAUUGGAAUCACCUUCAAAUUCGUCCGGAGCGUUGAGUUGUGGACGAAACAAUCUGAUGCUGCAGUAGAAUCCGAGUCAAACUACAAGUCCAAAGGUGUUACAUCACCUCCACUUGGGCCCAUUGACCUUGUACGACCUAGAUUUAGUUUUAGGCUGCCUUGGGACGUCCUCCCACCUCCUUGGCCGCCACCCCUUGCUCCUAUAUAAGUAGAUCCAUCUAGUAGCUUUUUCCUUGGGAUUUGUUUAGUUAAAAGUUAGCCAACGCAACUUCGUGUACUUCGUUUGUGUCCAACGACCAGACCAAGACCGCUUUCGGAUCCCCACCUUUAUCAAUACUUCAUACAUAUUUGCAAUAUUCAGAUUGCUUUUAUCAUAUUCUUGCUCGUUCUUCGAUUGCUUGCAGGAAUAGACCUUCGUGGUCAGGUUGAUCGUGCACCGACGUGGUCAAUAACCUCUGGAGAUUGGUUUAGCGAUUGCUAAGGCGCAACGUCGUGCACGUUUGUAGUCGGAUCGUCAAAGUCGUCUCCACCAAAUCGAUAGUUACCAUCUCAUCGAAAGAUCGGGACACCCCGCCUCUAUCAAGUGGUAUCAGUUUUCAGGUUGCUCGGUGAGAAUUUCCAGUUUUCCUAGAUUAGAUUUAUUUUCUUACCUAUUGUCCAAGAAAAAGCCACAAAAAAGAGUUAGAUCUAUUCAUCCUUGGUCCAAGCCAGUCUGAGCCUUUACAAUUUUCUUUUCAUUGCUUGCAUAGUUGAAUUAUUGGUUGCAUUCCCUCGCAUAAUGACCUCCUCCCUUACAACGACGACAAAUAAUAUCACUUGUGUGCCCUGUUGAUGCUAUGGAAGAAGACGAACGCUGUGCAGGCCCCGCAGGUGCGCUCUUGGCAGAUAAUGGUGGUUGUGCCUGUUUUCUUGUAUCUCAGCUGGAGGUGGCACCGGAUGGAGGUGCUGGUGCAGUUGAAGUAGAAGAUGCACGUGGUGUCCAUGAUGAAGGUCGGCCUGCAGAAAAGUUAGUUUGCCCCAAUGCUUGUCGAUCCUGCACUUCACAUUCAGCUUUACAAGCAAGAUGGAAUAAACGAGUGAUAUUAGUAUACUCCUUAUAGUCUAGAACGGUCUGAAUCUCUCUAUUUAAUCCACCCAGAAAACGUGCAAGCAUAGCUUCAUUCUCCUCAACAAUACCACAUCUAAUCAUGCCAGUUUGUAAUUCCUGAUAAUAUUCUUCUACAGAAUUUUUCCCUUGUUUUAAACGCUGCAAUUUUUGAAGCAAUUCACGUUGAUAAUAUGGUGGAACCCAACGCGUACACAUAGCAGUUUUCAAAGCAGCCCAAGUAGUUGGAAUAGGAUAUAAUCUACAAUGUUCAGACCACCAUACACAUGCAAAACUAGUUAAAGCACAAACAGCAGCAGCAACUCGUCUCUCCUCAGGAUAUUGUAAACAUGUAAAUCGUUGUUCAGUUUCUAACUCCCAAGUAAGAUAUAUAUCAGGAACAUAUCUACCCUCAAAUGGUGGAAUAUUCAAUUUUAGUUUAGGAAUAUGGAUAUCAUCUCGUACCCGAGGUGGUGGUGCAGGCCUACCAUUACGAAUAUAUACCUGAGGUCGACCUGCUGGUGGUGGUGUUGGUGGCUGCUCGUAGAUCUGAUUUUGAUCAACCUCAUCCUCAUAAUCGCCCGCAUACACAUCAUCGUCCUGGGUACCAGCAGCAGCAGUAGCAGGAGCCAAAGAAACACCAACAGCAGUAGCAGCGGCACCAGAAUUUUGUCCUGGCUCAAUAGGAACACGCUGUGCUCGUCCAUACUGAUUCGGAAGGGGGCGUAGUUGUUGUUGUUGCAGAGGUGCGACAGGUGCAGCCGGUGGUGGAAGACGCGCAAGCAGUUCAUUAAAUCUGUUAUCGAGCUUUGUUUCGAACGUCUUCUCAAGGCCAGUGAUCUUCUCCAUGGCCUCUUCAAAAUUGUUCAGCACAUCUUGUACCUGUUUAGUCAUCAUUUGCUGAAACUUAUCAUGAAGCUCCUUGUUCGAUAAGUUCUCCCAGUCAAUCUCGUCGGCUUGUGAUCCUGGCAUGGUUAGCAGCAAUAGAAACACACAAGAAUAUGAUCCUACAGACUACUAAGAAGUGGUGGUGGUGUAUCACAAAUCCGUCAAGCAAAUCUCAAANNNNNNNNNNNNNNNNNNNNNNNNNNNNNNNNNNNNNNNNNNNNNNNNNNNNNNNNNNNNNNNNNNNNNNNNNNNNNNNNNNNNNNNNNNNNNNNNNNNNNNNNNNNNNNNNNNNNNNNNNNNNNNNNNNNNNNNNNNNNNNNNNNNNNNNNNNNNNNNNNNNNNNNNNNNNNNNNNNNNNNNNNNNNNNNNNNNNNNNNNNNNNNNNNNNNNNNNNNNNNNNNNNNNNNNNNNNNNNNNNNNNNNNNNNNNNNNNNNNNNNNNNNNNNNNNNNNNNNNNNNNNNNNNNNNNNNNNNNNNNNNNNNNNNNNNNNNNNNNNNNNNNNNNNNNNNNNNNNNNNNNNNNNNNNNNNNNNNNNNNNNNNNNNNNNNNNNNNNNNNNNNNNNNNNNNNNNNNNNNNNNNNNNNNNNNNNNNNNNNNNNNNNNNNNNNNNNNNNNNNNNNNNNNNNNNNNNNNNNNNNNNNNNNNNNNNNNNNNNNNNNNNNNNNNNNNNNNNNNNNNNNNNNNNNNNNNNNNNNNNNNNNNNNNNNNNNNNNNNNNNNNNNNNNNNNNNNNNNNNNNNNNNNNNNNNNNNNNNNNNNNNNNNNNNNNNNNNNNNNNNNNNNNNNNNNNNNNNNNNNNNNNNNNNNNNNNNNNNNNNNNNNNNNNNNNNNNNNNNNNNNNNNNNNNNNNNNNNNNNNNNNNNNNNNNNNNNNNNNNNNNNNNNNNNNNNNNNNNNNNNNNNNNNNNNNNNNNNNNNNNNNNNNNNNNNNNNNNNNNNNNNNNNNNNNNNNNNNNNNNNNNNNNNNNNNNNNNNNNNNNNNNNNNNNNNNNNNNNNNNNNNNNNNNNNNNNNNNNNNNNNNNNNNNNNNNNNNNNNNNNNNNNNNNNNNNNNNNNNNNNNNNNNNNNNNNNNNNNNNNNNNNNNNNNNNNNNNNNNNNNNNNNNNNNNNNNNNNNNNNNNNNNNNNNNNNNNNNNNNNNNNNNNNNNNNNNNNNNNNNNNNNNNNNNNNNNNNNNNNNNNNNNNNNNNNNNNNNNNNNNNNNNNNNNNNNNNNNNNNNNNNNNNNNNNNNNNNNNNNNNNNNNNNNNNNNNNNNNNNNNNNNNNNNNNNNNNNNNNNNNNNNNNUGUUCUUGGCUCGCGUCUCUAGCACAGUCUAGCCUAGGACCAGCACAGUACCGUCGUUGAGCGUUUAUUCAACUUUGCAUCUCUGAAUUGAUUAUUGCUGACCCUUUUUGCUACCAUAUUAUAAGCCUUCCCAGCUCCACAUACAUCUACGUCGUGCGUUUGACUCUCCCUGGUAAUCGCUCUAUCCAAGCUUUGAGAGCUUUGACUACAACGGUUGCCGAUCACCGCCUGUUGCUGGGUAAGAACUGGUAACAAUUUGAGUUUUGCUUGACGGAUUUGUGACACCCACCACCACCACUUGUUCGUAGUCUGUAGGAUCAUAUUCUUGUGUGUUUCUAUUGCUGCUAACCAUGCCAGGAUCACAAGCCGACGAGAUUGACUGGGAGAAUUUAUCGAACAAGGAGCUUCAUGAUAAGUUUCAGCAAAUGAUGACUGAACAGGUGCAAGAUGUGCUGAACAAUUUUGAAGAGGCCAUGGAGAAGAUCACUGGCCUUGAGAAGAUGUUCGAAACAAAGCUCGAUAACAAGUUUAAUGAAUUGCUCGCGCGUCUUCCACCACCACCACCCGCUGCACCUAACGCACCUCUCCAACAACAACAACGACGACUACCUCCACGUCGCGAAACAGACCUCUGCCGAGCAUGCCGUGUUCCUCUUGCGUUUGGCCAAACUGUUGGUGCUGCUGUUGAUACUUCUGUGGCUCCUGCUGCUGAUGCGGAGGAGGAUGAUUAUGUGGGAGAUUAUGAGGAUGAGGUUGAUCAAAAUCAGCACUACGUGCAGCCACCUGUACCACCACCAGCAGGUCGACCUCAGGUAUAUAUUCGUAAUGGUAGGCCUGCACCACCACCUCAGGUACGAGAUGAUGUCCAUAUUCCUAAACUGAAAUUGAAUAUUCCACCAUUUGAGGGUAGAUAUGUUCCUGAUAUAUAUCUUACUUGGGAGUUAGAAACUGAACAACGAUUUACAUGUUUACAAUAUCCUGAGGAGAGACGAGUUGCUGCUGCUGUUUGUGCUUUCACUAGUUUUGCAUGUGUAUGGUGGUCUGAACAUUGUAGAUUAUAUCCUAUUCCAACUACUUGGGCUUCUUUGAAAACUGCUAUGCGUACGCGUUGGGUUCCACCAUAUUAUCAACGUGAAUUGCUUCAAAAAUUGCAGCGUUUAAGACAAGGGAAAAAUUCUGUAGAAGAAUAUUAUCAGGAAUUACAAACUGGCAUGAUUAGAUGUGGUAUUGUUGAGGAGAAUGAAGCUAUGCUUGCACUUUUUUUGGUGGAUUAAAUAGAGAGAUUCAGACCACUCUAGACUAUAAGGAGUAUACUAAUAUCACUCAUUUAUUCCAUCUUGCUUGUAAAGCUGAACGUGAAGUGCAGGAUCGACAAGCAUUGGGGCGAACUAACUUUUCUGCAGGCCGACCUUCAUCAUGGACACCACGUGCAUCUUCUACUUCAACUGCAGCAGCACCUCCAUCCGGUGCCACCUCCAGCCGUGAUACAAGAAAACAGGCACAACCACCAUUAUCUGGCAAGAGCGCACCUGCGGGGCCUGCACAACGUUCUUCUUCUUCCAUGGCAUCAACAGAGCACACAAGUGAUAUUAUUUGUCGUCGUUGUAAGGGAGGAGGUCAUUAUGUGGGAGAAUGCAAAUCUCCGCGUGUGAUGAUUGCUACCGCGGAUGGUGGAUAUGAGUCUGCUACUGACUAUGAUGAGGAGACUUUGGCUCUUAUUACACGUGAAGAACAUGGUGGAGAUGAUUCUGAUCAUGAGACGCAAUACAUGGCUCCUGAAGACACUGACAGGUAUGAAUGUUUAGUUGCUUAACGUGUUUUGAGUGUGCAGAUCACACAAGCUGAGCAAAAUCAGAGGCACAAUUUGUUCCAUACCAAGGGAGUUGUGAAGGAACGUUCUGUGCGCGUCAUCAUAGACGGAGGGAGCUGCAACAACUUGGCUAGCAUGGAGAUGGUGGAGAAGCUUUCUCUCACCACAAGACCACAUCCACAUCCUUACUACAUCCAAUGGUUCAACAACAGCGGCAAGGUUAAGGUAACACAUACUGUUCGUGUGCAUUUUAGUAUCUCUACAUAUGCUGAUUAUGUUGAUUGUGAUGUGGUACCUAUGCAAGCAUGUUCCUUAUUACUUGGUAGACCAUGGCAAUUUGAUAAAAAUUCUGUACACCAUGGUAUAAACAAUCACUAUACUCUUGUUCAUAAGGAUAAAAAUAUUACUUUGCUUCCUAUGACUCCUGAUUCCAUUUUGAAAGAUGAUAUUAAUAGAGCUAAUAAAGCAAAACAGGAGACGAAUAAGAGUGAAAAUCAGAUUGUGGCAAAAGAAUUUGAGCAACAAAUGAAGCCUAAUAAUAAACCAUCUAGUGUUGCUUCUGAAAUUAAAUUGAAAAGUGCAUGUUUAUUUGCCACCAAAUCUGAUAUUGAUGAGCUAGAUUUCAGCAAAUCUGUUUGCUAUGCUUUUGUGUGCAAAGAGGCAUUAUUUUCAUUCGAGGACGUGCCUUCCUCUUUGCCUCCUGCUGUCACUAACAUUUUGCAGGAGUUCGCUGACGUCUUUCCACAAGACGUGCCACCGGGAUUACCGCCUAUUCGAGGGAUUGAGCAUCAGAUUGACUUAAUUCCCGGUGCUUCACUGCCAAACCGUGCACCAUACCGUACCAACCCAGAGGAGACGAAGGAGAUUAUGCGUCAAGUACAAGAGCUUCUCGACAAAGGUUAUAUACGCGAAUCCCUUAGUCCUUGUGCUGUUCCUAUUAUUCUAGUGCCGAAAAAGGAUGGUACAUCACGUAUGUGUGUUGAUUGUAGAGGCAUUAAUAAUAUUACUAUUCGUUAUCGUCAUCCUAUUCCUAGGCUAGAUGAUAUGCUUGAUGAAUUGAGUGGCUCUACAAUAUUCUCCAAAGUUGAUUUGCGUAGUGGAUACCAUCAAAUUCGUAUGAAAUUUGGAGAUGAAUGGAAAACAGCAUUCAAAACUAAGUUUGGAUUAUAUGAGUGGUUAGUCAUGCCUUUUGGGUUAACUAAUGCACCUAGUACUUUCAUGAGAUUAAUGAACGAAGUUUUACGUGCUUUCAUUGGACGAUUUGUGGUAGUUUACUUUGAUGACAUAUUGAUUUAUAGCAGAUCUUUGGAAGAACAUUUGGAACAUUUACGUGCUGUUUUUAUUGCUCUACGUGAUGCAUGUUUGUUUGGUAACCUUGGGAAGUGCACCUUUUGCACCGACCGAGUAUCUUUUCUUGGCUAUGUUGUUACUCCACAGGGAAUUGAAGUUGAUAAAGCCAAGAUUGAAGCUAUUGAGAGUUGGCCGCAACCCAAAACGGUCACACAAGUGAGGAGUUUUCUUGGCCUCGCUGGAUUCUAUAGGCGUUUUGUGAGAGAUUUCAGCACCAUUGCUGCACCUGAUGAGGACAUGACUACCUUGGAUAUGACCAAAAAUAUUGCAUAUAUGCAUAUUUGUCAGGUGAUUUCUAGUGCAAACUAUUCAAUAAUCUAUUUAUGUUAUCCAGAACAAAAAUACUUCACACACUUUUGUGUUUUGUCUAAUUGCAGGUGUAUGGGACAUUUGUACAAUCCACAUAUGAAGAUAAGGAAGAAAGAGAUGUUUAUUUGCUGUCCAAAAAGUUCUCUCACGUCACUUUUGGCCCAAGAGAAGAUAGAGUCCAAGUCUCUCACGUUCUGGAUUCAGAUUCGGACUGCACAGACAUACCUGACUCAAAACGCACACAAGUUUUUCAUACGGACUCCGAAUUGGGUGAUUCUUUUUUUGUUGGAAACUAGAUUUCGUGCACUUUCCAACCCAAUUGGAAGCACCUUCAAAUUCGUCCGGAGCGUUGAGUUGUGGACGAAACAAUCUGAUGCUGCAGCAGAAUCCGAGUCAAACUACAAGUCCAAAGGUGUUACAUCACCUCCACUUGGGCCCAUUGGCCUUGUACGACCUAGAUUUAGUUUUAGGCUGCCUUGGGACGUCCUCCCACCUCCUUGGCCGCCACCCCUUGCUCCUAUAUAAGUAGAUCCAUCUAGUAGCUUUUCCUUGGGAUUUGUUUAGUUAAAAGUUAGCCAUUGCAACUUCGUGUGCUUCGUUUGUGUCCAACGACCAGACCAAGACCGCUUCUGGAUCACCACCUUUGCAAAUACCACAACCAUCACGAGAGGUGCACAAACAUCCAAAUGCACAUGAUCAGGUUAAUGUAUCUAUACCACCAUUUAAUGGCCGUUUUAAACCUGCUUUAUAUAUUGAAUGGGAGUUCGACAUAAAAAAUAUAUUUGCUUCCCAUAAUUUCGAUGAACAUAAAAAGGUUAAGGUUGCGGUUGGUUCUUUCACUGGUUAUGCUUUGGUUUGGUGGAGUGAAUAUUGUCGGUUACACCCUGAUUAUAUACCUACUACUUGGGAUGAUUUGAAACUUGCCAUGCGACAUACUUUCGUCCCUGCUUAUUAUACUCGUGACAUGAUUAAGAAGUUGCAACACUUAAAACAAGGUAGUGAAACUGUAACAAAAUAUUAUGAUGAUUUACAAACUACCUUGUUGCAUUCCUCUUUAGAAGAAAGUGAAGAUGAUUUUAUGGAUAGAUUUUGGGGAGGAUUAAACCGUGAUAUUCAAUAGAUACUAAUUCAUGAAGAGUGUUAUCCUAUGGACCAUUUGUUUCAUCUUGCUUGCAAAGCUGAACAGGAAAUAAAACGACGUGUUGGCCACGAGGAGAACAAGCGCACGGUGCACAUUCCAAGAGUUGAUAUGAUUGUUCCUUCAACUACUAGGCAUACUAUGACAACCACAUCCGUUGUUGUCAGGACUACAUCACCUCCACCAUGUGACACAUCGCCCCCGAGAGUGGCUACAUCCUCUGAGUUGAUCAUAAGAGGUAAUGACAAAGGUACUGAUCUUCCAUCUCUACAUGAGAAUGAUGAAUGCCUUGUCAAUUUGAAUGCACCAUCUGAUGAGCUACCCACUACUUUGAUCACACCACCUAUUUUAGAGGACUACGUUGAUAAUUUGACUUUGCCAUGUGAUCAAACAACUGAAAUACCAACAAUUUUGAGUGCACCCAUUGAAUUAACUAUUGAUGCAAAAGAACCAAUGUUUAAUCAUUUUGAUAUGACCUCUAAUCUUGGUGAUGAUUCUGUGUUGAAUGACUUAUUGCAUGUUUGCUUAUUUAAGCAUGUUGUAGCAUGUAAAUUUGAUGCAAGUAAGGUUUAUUCACCAAAAUUGGGAUGGUUUAAUGAUGAACAUUGUCAAUCUUUUGAAAUGAAUAAGAGCUUCACUUAUAUGUGCAAACUGAGUUGCAAUAUUUUCAUGCCUUCUACUACUUGUGAUAAUUUUUUGGCUUUAGAUUUUAUGAACUAUGCAAGUUACUCAUCUAUUCAUGUGUCAUAUAUGCAAAAAUCAAGGGAAGUAAAAAUGGAUGACAUAUACAUAUACAACAUGUACACCUUGUCUCUUUUGUUAGCCACAUUUCAGAUUAAGCAACGCCGAGGACGGCUUUAUUUUCAAGAAGGGGAGGAUGAUGAGGACAUGACUACCUUGGAUAUGACCAAAAAUAUUGCAUAUAUGCAUAUUUGUCAGGUGAUUUCUAGUGCAAACUAUUCAAUAAUCUAUUUAUGUUAUCCAGAACAAAAAUACUUCACACACUUUUGUGUUUUGUCUAAUUGCAGGUGUAUGGGACAUUUGUACAAUCCACAUAUGAAGAUAAGGAAGAAAGAGAUGUUUAUUUGCUGUCCAAAAAGUUCUCUCACGUCACUUUUGGCCCAAGAGAAGAUAGAGUCCAAGUGAUAGAGGCAAAGGUGUCCCGUCUUUCGAUGAGAUGGUGGAUUUCGCUUUGGUGGAAGUCGACUUUGACGAUCCGACUACGAACGUGCGAGGACGUCGCGCCUUAGCAAUCGCUAAACCAACUCCGAGAGGUUAUUGACCACGCCGGAGCACGAUCAACCUGACCACGAGGGUCUGUUUCCUGCGAGCAAACGAAGAACAAGCAAGAAACUGAGAUUGCAAUCUGGAUAUUGCGAAUAUAAGAUGAAAGCUUUAUUGAUCAAGGUGGGGUUCUGUGACGCCUUUGUCUGGUCGUUGAACACAAACGAAGUACGCGAAGUUGCAGCUAUGGCGAACUUUUAAUCUAAACCAAACCCAAAGUCUAAACGAUGCCCUAAGGGCUGUAUAUAUGGAGGAAGAGGGGGGAAUUUCGUGGCCCUUGGUGGAGGGGUCCGAAAUCAACCCUAUCUCUUGUUUCCCCACACAUACGGACUCUAAAAAUAGCCUAUACUUAUGUAUUUCGAAAUUACAUGGGCCUGGCCCAAUAAUAAGGUGACGCAGCACCUAAAAUAGCCUCGGGACGAAAUUUAUGAAGUGGCAUCUUGUAUAUUUCGUCCAAGGCUUCAUGCACCCAUUAUGGUGGCUUCAAAGUCCUGAAAUCAUCACUUGUAACUUCGUUCUUGUUCCCCUUGCGCAUGCCAUCAUCUCCAUGCUUGUUCUUGCUCCAAUGUUCAUCCUUCUCCAAGCUAGGCCCUUCAUUUGUAAGCAAAACAAAUGUAUCCAAUUUAGGCAGCAUCAUAUUCUCAUGAACAUUAGAAUCAUUACCAAGAAACGAAAGUACCUGGUAAUUUAGUUGGCGUGCACGAGCUUUAGUAAUUGGUCCAGUAUGUAUAGCAGCAGGGGCUGUGGGUGUAACAAUUGUAUUGAUGUCCUCAUCACAAAUACUAUUGUUUCAGAUCGUGAUACUAAAUUUCUUAGCCACUUUUGGAGAUGUUUAUGGGCUAAGUUGGGGACUAAACAACUUUUUAGUACUACUUGUCACCCCCAAACUGAUGGACAAACUGAAGUAGUCAAUAGAACGUUGUCUACUAUGCUUAGGGCUGUUUUGAAGAAUAAUAAGAAAAUGUGGGAGGAAUGCUUGCCUCAUAUUGAAUUUGCUUAUAAUCGUUCAUUGCAUUCUACUACUAAGAUGUGCCCUUUUGAAGUUGUGUAUGGUUUCCUACCUCGUGCACCUAUUGAUUUGUUGCCUCUUCCAUCUUCGGAGAAGGUUAAUUUUGAUGCUAAACAACGUGCUGAAUUGAUUUUAAAAAUGCAUGAGUUAACUAAGGAAAACAUUGAGCGCAUGAAUGCUAAAUAUAAACUUGCUGGAGAUAAGGGUAGAAAACAUGUUGUGUUUGCACCUGGAGAUCUUGUUUGGUUACAUUUGCGUAAGGAUAGAUUUCCUGAUUUGCGCAAAUCAAAGUUAAUGCCACGUGCUGAUGGUCCCUUUAAGGUGUUAGAGAAAAUAAAUGAUAAUGCAUAUAAACUUGAGCUGCCUGCAGAUUUUGGGGUUAGUCCCACUUUUAACAUUGCAGAUUUGAAGCCUUAUUUGGGUGAGGAAGAUGAGUUUCCGUCGACGAUGACUUCAUUUCAAGAAGGGGAGGAUGAUGAGGACAUCAAUACCAUUGUUACACCCACAGCCCCUACUGCUACAUAUACGUGACCAAUUACUAGAGCUCGCGCACGCCAAUUAAAUUAUCAGGUACUUUCGUUUCUUGGUAAUGAUUCUAAUGUUCAUGAGAAUAUGAUGCUGCCUAAAUUGGAUACAUUUGUUUUGCUUACAAAUGAGGGGCCUAGCUUGGAGAAGGAUGAACAUUGGAGCAAGAACAAGCAUGGAGAUGAUGCCAUGCGCAAGGGGAACAAGAACGGAGUUAGAAGUGAUGAUUUCAGGACUUUGAAGCCACCAUAAUGGGUGCAUGAAGCCUUGGACGAAAUAUACAAGAUGCCACUUCAUAAAUUUCGUCCCGAGGCUAUUAUAGGUGCUGCGUCACCUUUUUAUUGGGCCAGGCCCAUGUAAUUUCGAAAUACAUAAGUAUAGGCUAUUUUUAGAGUCCGUAUGUGUGGGGAAACAAGAGAUAGGGUUGAUUUCGGACCCCUCCACCAAGGGCCACAAAAUUCCCCCUCUCUUCCUCCAUAUAUACAGCCCUUAGGGCACCGUUUAGACUUUGGGUUUUGUUUAGAUUAAAAGUUCGCCAUAGCUGCAACUUCGCGUACUUCGUUUGUGUUCAACGACCAGACAAAGGCGUCACAGAACCCCACCUUGAUCAAUAAAGCUAUCAUCUUAUAUUCGCAAUAUCCAGAUUGCAAUCUCAGUUUCUUGCUUGUUCUUCGUUUGCUUGCAGGAAACAGACCCUCGUGGUCAGGUUGAUUGUGCUCCGGCGUGGUCAAUAACCUCUCGGAGUUGGUUUAGCGAUUGGUAAGGCGCGACGUCCUCGCACGUUCGUAGUCGGAUCGUCAAAGUCGACUGCCACCAAAGCGAUUUCCAUCAUCUCAUCGAAAGACGGGACACCUUUGCCUCUAUCAGGUAGUAUAUGGAUAUGGAUCGGUGGUGGUAUAUGGAUACGGAUUGGUGGUGGUAUAUGGAUACGGAUUCGGAGCGAUGGUGGUAGAUGGCAGGGGCGAUGAUGAUGGUGCGGCGGCGGCGUGACAACUUAUGACCAGAACUCGAAACUCUAAAAGACUAGACUCUAAGACUAGCAACUAGACCGACGAUGCAACCGCAAAUUCAACAAAGCAAAACCCUAAAAAGAUUAUGCAAAGGCUCAGAUUGGUUCGGAUAUGAUGAACUAACCCUAAUUUUUUUUGUGGCUUUUUCGUGGACUGUAGGUAUGAAGAACAGACUCGAUCUAAACUACGAAAAACUGUAAAAUCUCACCGAGCAACCUGGAAAUCUGAUACCACUUGAUAGAGGCAAAGGUGUCCCGUCUUUCGAUGAGAUGAUGGAUAUCGCUUUGGUGGCAGUCGACUUUGACGAUCCGACUACGAACGUGCGAGGACGUCGCGCCUUAGCAAUCGCUAAACCAACUCCGAGAGGUUAUUGACCACGCCGGGGCACGAUCAACCUGACAACGAGGGUCUGUUUCCUGCGAGCAAAUGAAGAACAAGCAAGAAACUGAGAUUGCAAUCUGGAUAUUGUGAAUAUAAGAUGAAAGCUUUAUUGAUCAAGGUGGGGUUCUGUGACGCCUUUGUCUGGUCGUUGAACACAAACGAAGUACGCGAAGUUGCAGCUAUGGCGAACUUUUAAUCUAAACAAAACCCAAAGUCUAAACGGUGCCCUAAGGGCUGUAUAUAUGGAGGAAGAGAGGGGGAAUUUCGUGGCCCUUGGUGGAGGGGUCCGAAAUCAACCCUAUCUCUUGUUUCCCCACACAUACGGACUCUAAAAAUAGCCUAUACUUAUGUAUUUCGAAAUUACAUGGGCCUGGCCCAAUAAAAAGGUGACGCAGCACCUAUAAUAGCCUCGGGACGAAAUUUAUGAAGUGGCAUCUUGUAUAUUUCGUCCAAGGCUUCAUGCACCCAUUAUGGUGGCUUCAAAGUCCUGAAAUCAUCACUUGUAACUCCGUUCGUGUUCCCCUUGCGCAUGCCAUCAUCUCCAUGCUUGCUCUUGCUCCACUGUUCAUCCUUCUCCAAGCUAGGCCCUUCAUUUGUAAGCAAAACAAAUGUAUCCAAUUUAGGCGGCAUCAUAUUCUCAUGAACAUUAGAAUCAUUACCAAGAAACGAAAGUACCUGAUAAUUUAAUUGGCGUGCGCGAGCUCUAGUAAUUGGUCCCGUAUAUGUAGCAGUAGGGGCUGUGGGUGUAACAAUGGUAUUGAUGUCCUCAUCACCAUCAAAGAUCAAUAUAUGCAUGAUGCUGAAUUUAAAAAUGUAUUGCAGAAUUGUAAGGAAGAGAAAACUUGGAACAAGUUCGUUCAUAACGAUGGAUUUGUGUUUCGUGCAAACAAGCUAUGCAUUCCAGCUAGCUCCGUUCGUCUUUUGUUGUUACAGGAGGCGCAUGGAGGAGGAUUAAUGGGACACUUUGGCAUCAAGAAGACAGAGGAUAUACUUGCUACACAUUUCUUUUGGCCAAAUAUGAGACUGUAUGUUGAGCGUUUUGUUGAUCGCUGCACUACAUGUCAAAAAGCUAAGUCACGACUCAAUCCUCAUGGUUUAUGAUGCGGAGCAUCCUAUGGACAUCACCAUGUCAAGAGUCCGUUCAGCGGGUGACACGUGGGACAUCUACUUCACAUACACAAAGGUGAAUCAUCUCCUAUACACGUGCUCUUGACCCCUUCGAGGAUGGUAUACUACUUGACACUCCACUCGUGUGCAUGCAUAGGUAUUGUCGGAACACUACGGACGACGAGGAGGAGUGCAAGCGCCAAGGAACAACUACACCAUCCGCAAGGGAAGCCUGGAAGCGACGAAAGAAGAUGGCGCUACUGAAGCUACAGCGGCCAGACAUCUGGGCCAAAGGCCGGACAUCCGGCGCCAACCCCGGACAUCCGGCGCCUCCCGACAGCCCGGACAUCCGGCAUCUCCCUCGGAAAUCCGGCACCGAUGUAUCCACAGAGCAGCUGAACCUCCACUUCAGCCCGGACAUCCGGCUGCGACCCCGGACAUCCGGCUCGUCCCAAAGCCCCGGACAUCCGGCCCCCAGCCCGGACGUCCGGCACCUGCGCGUGCCUAACCGGGCCAAAGGCCCAUCUAUCCCCUCCUCACUCACCCCUUCGUGGCUCUAGACUAUAUAUACUCCUCCACCUCCUUCUAGUUAGGGUUAGCAUUGUGAUAGCUCAUUUGAGAGAUAGAGCUUCGCUCAUCCAUAUCAGAUCUACUCCACGAGAGAGACCGCGGCCCCUCUACGGAGAAGAUCCACCUUGGAUUCAAGACCCCUCACGGGAUGAUCCAUUUGUGGAUUCAAGACCUCCUCACGGAGAAGAACCGGUUAUCUCUUGUAUCGUCCGUUGUUGACUUUGGAUCUUGUAUCUCCUUUGUGUUCAUGGAUCUAGCACAUGUGUGAUCAUUCUUGUUGGUUUGAGUGUUCUCUUGUGUCCCCCUUGUGAUUUUCCCCUCGUUUUCCCCCUCGUGUUCUUCGUGUUCAUCACGGGAUCCGCUCCUUUCGUGAAAUAUUGGGCCACUAGGGUUCUACCCUACAUCAUCUUGGUAUCACGAGCCACGCUGAUCAUGAUUUCGGAGCCUCCCCCCUUGUUUUCUAGCCUAAUUUUGUUGUGUUCUUCCCCAAUUUCGAAAAUCCCCACCAAAAAUAGCCCCAAUUUUUUUCUGAUUUGUUGGUUUGACGAAGUUUUGUUGAUUUUGAUCCAUGGAUUUGCUUGGUUUCGAGUGGAUCUAGCAUAUCCCCAAUUUUCCUCAAUUUCCAUCCACAAAAUCCCAUCAAUUUUGCCCCCAAAUUCAUCUAUUUCUGCCCCCAAAUCAAGUUUUGAUGUCCCAAUCGAGAUCUGGAAUCAUCGGGCCGGGCAUCCGGGCCUCAGGCCGAACAUCCGGGACCCAAGCCGGACAUCCGGCUCCUGAAACAUAAAACCCGCACGGUUCUAGACAUCAGCCCCCGGAUAUCCGGCCCCCACCCCCGGAUGUCCGGCCCCUGGUAUUUCAGCCUUUCCCAUUUCACCGUUUUGUCCAUAACUAAUUCAUCCGGAAUCCGUUUUUGAUGUUCUUUAGCUUGUUGAAAAGCUCUUGACAUCCCCCUUCCAACAAAAAUACUACCAUAACCAUUUGACUCCAUCAAAAUUUUGGAACUUUGGCAUCUUUGCCUAGGGCUUCCACCACAACCUCCGCAUAACCACCACCGACUUCCGCAACCUAACCAAUUUUGUUCCUUAUAGCAUUUGUGGUUGCUUGAGUAGUGAUUCGAGUCUCCUAAGGUGUUUAGGAUACUUAGGGACAGUUGCUUCUUCAUCAACGACCACCACCACCAUAACUCCCACAUAGGCUUGUCCACCAUAUACUUCCACCACCCCGACUUCACCCAAUUUAGUUUGUGUUUUGAGUUGUGUCUCCUAAGGUGUUUAGGCUACUUAGGGACCGUGCUUCCAACUUCGACACCGUGUAUAGUACACCACCUUACCCUCCACUUUAGCAUUGCCUACUCACAAAACCAAUCAUUGCAUUUCCGCAAUCCCAUUGAGCUUCCGCAACCACCAUCGCAUCCCGCUACCACCAUUUGACGUUUGAGAUUUUGAGUUCGCGGGUUUUCCGUUUCCUAAGGUGUUUCGGCUACUUAGGGACGAGUGAUGAGGACAUGACUACCUUGGAUAUGACCAAAAAUAUUGCAUAUAUGCAUAUUUGUUAGGUGAUUUCUAGUGCAAACUAUUCAAUAAUCUACCUCGGAUCGUCAAAGUCGUCUCCACCAAAUCGAUAGUUAUCAUCUCAUCGAAAGAUCGGGACACCUCGCCUCUAUCAAGUGGUAUCAGUUUUUAGGUUGCUCGGUGAGAAUUUCCAGUUUUUCUUAGAUUAGAUUUAUUUUCUUACCUAUUGUCCAAGAAAAAGCCACAAAAAAAAAGUUAGAUAUGUUCAUCCUUUAUCCAAGCCAGUCUGAGCCUUUGCAAUUUUCUAUUCAUUGCUUGCAUAGUUGAAUUAUCGGUUGCAUCGUCGUGUCAGUUGCUGGUCUUAGUGUCUAGUUCCUUUAGAGUUUCGAGUUCUGUUCACAUUAGUCACGCCGCCGCUGCAUCAUUAUCCGUUCCGCUGUCCACCAUCCCAUCUAUUAAUUUCCACCACGUGCUAUGCACUGUUCAUUGUCAUAAUCAUAGUUGAGGUCAUUCACAUCUUCGCCUGAUCCAAUCUGCAUCUUAUCUAGUUUGUCUUGGAAAGAGGGAGAAAAAAAAGAUAGAGAAAAAAAAAGAGAAAAAAAGGAAAUAAAAAGAGAGAGAAGAAAAAAAAAGCGUGAGAAAAAAAAGAGAGAAGAAAAAAAUUGGAUCUAUCUAGAAUCAAUCUCGUACCUGAAUUCGGAUUGGAAUCUGUUUUGCGCACUAUUCAGUAAAACAGGUGUAUCUUCCUCAUACGAAGUCCGUUUUGGCUCCGUGAGUACUCAAAUUGAAGAUAGCGACGAGCCGCAUCUAAAUAGUUGCAGAAGAUAGUUCAAUAUUUGACACCUCAAAAUCGGCUUCUAAAUAGGUCUUUUUGCCCUUCGAAGUUCGUGAACACAACUUGUUCCAAUUUUUCAGGCCAGUUUUAGAAUUCUUUGACUCCUCAUAUCAACUCGGAAUUGAGUGAUUCUUUUUGCAUUGGAAAGCUUGAGUUAGUAGCAUUCUUUGAAAGAAUUUAUCAGAAAAUUGUCUCAAACUUUUCAAGAGGAAAGUUGGAGAGAGAGUUGUUGUAUAUCCUGCUUGGCAGUUGUUUUUCAUCAUUAUCUUCACUGCCGUUGUGAUCUUCACUUAUAUCUUGCUGUCAAGAGCUACUUAGUAUCCUUCAUUGAUGCUAGUUGUGCUAUGCCGUGACCUCAUUAGUGUUCUAGGCUCGCGUCUCUAGUACGGUCUAGCCUAGGACCAGCACAGUACCAUCGUUGAGCGUUUAUUCAACAUUGCAUCUUUGAAUUGAUUAUUGCUAAUCUUUUGCUACCAUAUAUAGCCAACCCAGCUCCACAUAUUUCUACACCGCGUAUACGUACGCUCCCCUGACAAUCGCUUUACUCAAUAUUCGGAGUUACUUGACACCGCUGGUUGCCGAUCACCGCCUGCUGCAUGGUAAGAACUUGUAAGACAUUGAUAUUUGCUUUACUGUGAGCGUUUUACCACCACAUCCUAGUAGUUAUAGGAACAUUAUUUUUGGGUUUUGUUUCUUGUUCUACUAAUCUUGACAGGAUCCAGAGUCAAUUCAUGGGCUUUGUCGAUCGCGGGAGACGUGCCACCACCUUUGCAAAUACCACAACCGUCACGAGAGGUGCACAAACAUCCAAAUGCACAUGAUCAGGUUAAUGUAUCUAUACCACCAUUUAAUGGCCGUUUUAAACCUGCUUUAUAUAUUGAAUGGGAGUUCGACAUAAAAAAUAUAUUUGCUUCCCAUAAUUUCAAUGAACAUAAAAAGGUUAAGGUUGCGGUUGGUUCUUUCACUGGUUAUGCUUUGGUUUGGUGGAGUGAAUAUUGUCGGUUACACCCUGAUUAUAUACCUACUACUUGGGAUGAUUUGAAACUUGCCAUGCGACAUACUUUCGUCCCUGCUUAUUAUACUCGUGACAUGAUUAAGAAGUUGCAACACUUAAAACAAGGUAGUGAAACUGUAACAAAAUAUUAUGAUGAUUUACAAACUACCUUGUUGCAUUCCUCUUUAGAAGAAAGUGAAGAUGAUUUUAUGGAUAGAUUUUGGGUAGGAUUAAACUGUGAUAUUCAAGAGAUACUAAUUCAUGAAGAGUGUUAUCCUAUGGACCAUUUGUUUCAUCUUGCUUGCAAAGCUGAACAGGAAAUAAAACGACGUGUUGGCCACGAGGAGAACAAGCGCAUGGUGCACAUUCCAAGAGUUGAUAUGAUUGUUCCUUCAACUACUAGGCAUACUAUGACAACCACAUCCGUUGUUGUCAGGACUACAUCACCUCCACCAUGUGACACAUCGCCCCCGAGAGUGGCUACAUCAUCUGAGUUGAUCAUAAGAGGUAAUGACAAAGGUACUGAUCUUCCAUCUCUACAUGAGAAUGAUGAAUGCCUUGUCAAUUUGAAUGCACCAUCUGAUGAGCUACCCACUACUUUGAUCACACCACCUAUUUUAGAGGACUACGUUGAUAAUUUGACUUUGCCAUGUGAUCAAACAACUGAAAUACCAACAAUUUUGAGUGCACCCAUUGAAUUAACUAUUGAUGCAAAAGAACCAAUGUUUAAUCAUUUUGAUAUGACCUGUAAUCUUGGUGAUGAUUCUGUGUUGAAUGACUUAUUGCAUGUUUGCUUAUUUAAGCAUGUUGUAGCAUGUAAAUUUGAUGCAAGUAAGGUUUAUUCACCAAUGUUGGGAUGGUUUAAUGAUGAACAUUGCCAAUCUUUUGAAAUGAAUAAAAGCUUCACUUAUAUGUGCAAACUGAGUUGCAAUAUUUUCAUGCCUUCUACUUCUUGUGCUAAUUUUUUGGCUUUAGAUUUUAUGAACUAUGCAAGUUACUCAUCUAUUAAUGUGUCAUAUAUGCAAAAAUCAAGGGAAGUAAAAAUGGAUGACAUAUACAUAUACAACAUGUACACCUUGUCUCUUUUGUUAGCCACAUUUCAGAUUAAGCAACGCCGAGGACGGCUUUAUUUUCAAGAAGGGGAGGAUGAUGAGGACAUGACUACCUUGGAUAUGACCAAAAAUAUUGCAUAUAUGCAUAUUUGUCAGGUGAUUUCUAGUGCAAACUAUUCAAUAAUCUAUUUAUGUUAUCCAGAACAAAAAUACUUCACACACUUUUGUGUUUUGUCUAAUUGCAGGUGUAUGGGACAUUUGUACAAUCCACAUAUGAAGAUAAGGAAGAAAGAGAUGUUUAUUUGAUGUCCAAAAAGUUCUCUCACGUCACUUUUGGCCCAAGAGAAGAUAGAGUCCAAGUCUCUCACGUUCUGGAUUCAGAUUCGGACUGCACAGACAUACCUGACUCAAAACGCACACAAGUUUUUCACACGGACUCCGAAUGCGGUGAUUCUUUUUUUGUUGGAAACUAGAUUUCGUGCACUUUCCAACCCAAAUGGAAUCACCUUCAAAUUCGUCCGGAGCGUUGAGUUGUGGACGAAACAAUCUGAUGCUGCAGCAGAAUCCGAGUCAAACUACAAGUCCAAAGGUGUUACAUCACCUCCACUUGGGCCCAUUGGCCUUGUACGACCUAGAUUUAGUUUUAGGCUGCCUUGGGACGUCCUCCCACCUCCUUGGCCGCCACCCCUUGCUCCUAUAUAAGUAGAUCCAUCUAGUAGCUUUUCCUUGGGAUUUGUUUAGUUAAAAGUUAGCCAUUGCAACUUCGUGUACUUCGUUUGUGUCCAACGACCAGACCAAGACCGCUUACGAAUCCCCACCUUUAUCAAUACUUCAUAUAUACUCGCAAUAUUCAGAUUGCUUUUAUCAUAUUCUUGCUUGUUCUUCGAUUGCUUGCAGGAAUAGACCUUCGUGGUCAGGUUGAUUGUGCUCCGGCGUGAUCAAUAACCUCUCGGAGUUGGUUUAGCGAUUGCUAAGGCGCAACGUCGUGCACGUUUGUAGUCGGAUCGUCAAAGUUGUCUCCACCAAAUCGAUAGUUAUCAUCUCAUCGAAAGAUUGGGACACCCUCGCCUCUAUCAAGUGGUAUCAGUUUUCAGGUUGCUCGGUGAGAAUUUCCAGUUUUCCUAGAUUAGAUUUAUUUUCUUACCUAUUGUCCAAGAAAAAUCCACAAAAAAAGAGUUAGAUCUAUUCAUCCUUUGUCCAAGCCAGUCUGAGCCUUUGCAAUUUUCUUUUCAUUGUUUGCAUAGUUGAAUUAUCGGUUGCAUCGUCGUGUCGAGUUGCUGGUCUUAGUGUUUAGGUCGUUUAGAGUUUCGAGUUCUGUUCACAUUAGUCACGUCGCCGCUGCAUCGUUAUCCCUUCCGCUGUCCACCACCCAUCCAUCAAUUUCCUCCACGUGCUACCCACCGUUCAUUGUCAUAAUCAUAGUUGAGAUCGUUCCCAUCUUCGCUUGAUCCAAUCUACAUCUUAUCUAGUUUGUUUUGGAAAGAAGGAGAGAGAAAAAAAAAGAUAGAGAAAAAAAACGAGAGAAAAAAAAGUAAAAAAAAAGUCAGAGAAAAAAAAGAAAGGAAAAGAAAAAUAAGUGUGAGAAAAAAAAGAGAGGAGAAAAAAAAACAAAAUUCGGAUCUAUCUAGACUCAAUCUCGUAGUUCGGAUUGGAAUGAAAGCUAGUGACGAGCCGCAUCUAAAUAGUUGCAGAAGCUAGUUCAGUAUUUGGCACCUCAACAUCAGCUUCUAAAUAGGUCUACUGCUAUUGUGAUCUUCACUUAUAUCUUGCUGUCUAGAGCUACUUCAUAUCCUUUAUUGAUGCUAGUUGUGCUACGACGUGACCUCAUUAGUGUUCUAGGCUCGCGUCUCUAGUUUGGUCUAGCCUAGGACCAGCACAGUACCGUCGUUGAGCGUUUAUUCAACAUUGCAUCUUUGAAUUGAUUAUUGCUAAUCUUUUGCUACCAUAUAUAGCCAACCCAGCUCCACAUAUUUCUACACCGUGUAUACGUACGCUCCCCUGGCAAUCGCUUUACUCAAUAUUCGGAGUUACUUGACACCGCUGGUUGCCGAUCACCGCCUGCUGCAUGGUAAGAACUUGUAAGACAUUGAUAUUUGCUUUACUGUGAGCGUUUUACCACCACAUCCUAGUAGUUAUAGGAACAUUAUUUUUGGGUUUUGUUUCUUGUUCUACUAAUCAUGACAGGAUCCAGAGUCAAUUCAUGGGCUUUGUCGAUCGCGGGAGACGUGCCACCACCUUUGCAAAUACCACAACCGUCACGAGAGGUGAACAAACAUCCAAAUGCACAUGAUCAGGUUAAUGUAUCUAUACCACCAUUUAAUGGCCGUUUUAAACCUGCUUUAUAUAUUGAAUGGGAGUUCGACAUAAAAAAUAUAUUUGCUUCCCAUAAUUUCAAUGAACAUAAAAAGGUUAAGGUUGCGGUUGGUUCUUUCACUGGUUAUGCUUUGGUUUGGUGGAGUGAAUAUUGUCGGUUACACCCUGAUUAUAUACCUACUACUUGUGAUGAUUUGAAACUUGCCAUGCGACAUACUUUCGUCCCUGCUUAUUAUACUCGUGACAUGAUUAAGAAGUUGCAACACUUAAAACAAGGUAGUGAAACUGUAACAAAAUAUUAUGAUGAUUUACAAACUACCUUGUUGCAUUCCUCUUUAGAAGAAAGUGAAGAUGAUUUUAUGGAUAGAUUUUGGGGAGGAUUAAACCGUGAUAUUCAAGAGAUACUAAUUCAUGAAGAGUGUUAUCCUAUGGACCAUUUGUUUCAUCUUGCUUGCAAAGCUGAACAGGAAAUAAAACGACGUGUUGGCCACGAGGAGAACAAGCGCACGGUGCACAUUCCAAGAGUUGAUAUGAUUGUUCCUUCAACUACUAGGCAUACUAUGACAACCACAUCCGUUGUUGUCAGGACUACAUCACCUCCACCAUGUGACACAUCGCCCCCGAGAGUGGCUACAUCAUCUGAGUUGAUCAUAAGGCGAUUGCUAAGGCGCAACGUCGUGCACGUUUGUAGUCGGAUCGUCAAAGUCAUCUUCACCAAAUCGAUAGUUAUCAUCUCAUCGAAAGAUCGGGACACCCCCGCCUCUAUCAAGUGGUAUCAGAGCCGACGAGAUUGACUGGGAGAAUUUAUCGAACAAGGAGCUUCAUGAUAAGUUUCAGCAAAUGAUGACUGAACAGGUGCAAGAUGUGCUGAACAAUUUUGAAGAGGCCAUGGAGAAGAUCACUGGCCUUGAGAAGACGUUCGAAACAAAGCUCGAUAACAAGUUUAAUGAAUUGCUCGCGCGUCUUCCACCACCACCACCCGCUGUACCUAAUGCACCUCUCCAACAACAACAACAACGACUACCUCCACGUCGCGAAGCAGACCUCCGCCGAGCAAGCCGUGUUCCUCUUGCGUUUGGCCAAACUGUUGGUGCUGCUGUUGAUACUUCUGUGGCUCCUGCUGCUGAUGCGGAGGAGGAUGAUUAUGUGGGAGAUUAUGAGGAUGAGGUUGAUCAAAAUCACCACUACGUGCAGCCACCUGUACCACCACCAGCAGGUCGACCUCAGGUAUAUAUUCGUAAUGGUAGGCCUGCACCACCACCUCAGGUACGCGAUGAUGUCCAUAUUCCUAAACUGAAAUUGAAUAUUCCACCAUUUGAGGGUAGAUAUGUUCCUGAUAUAUAUCUUACUUGGGAGUUAGAAACUGAACAACGAUUUACAUGUUUACAAUAUCCUGAGGAGAGACGAGUUGCUGCUGCUAUUUGUGCUUUCACUAGUUUUGCAUGUGUAUGGUGGUCUGAACAUUGUAGAUUAUAUCCUAUUCCAACUACUUGGGCUGCUUUGAAAACUGCUAUGCGUACGCGUUGGGUUCCACCAUAUUAUCAACGUGAAUUGCUUCAAAAAUUGCAGCGUUUAAGACAAGGAAAAAAUUCUGUAGAAGAAUAUUAUCAGGAAUUACAAACUGGCAUGAUUCGAUGUGGUAUUGUUGAGGAGAAUGAAGCUAUGCUUGCACGUUUUCUGGGUGGAUUAAAUAGAGAGAUUCAGACCAUUCUAGACUAUAAGGAGUAUACUAAUAUCACUCGUUUAUUCCAUCUUGCUUGUAAAGCUGAACGUGAAGUGCAGGAUCGACAAGCAUUGGCGCGAACUAACUUUUCUGCAGGCCGACCUUCCUCAUGGACGCCGCGUGCAUCUUCUACUUCAACUGCACCAGCACCUCAAUCAGGUGCCUCCUACAGUCGUGAUACAAGAAAACAUGAACAACCACCAUUAUCUGCCAAGAGCGCACCUGCGGGGCCUGCACAGCGUUCUUCUUCUUCCAUGGCAUCAACAGGGCACACAAGUGAUAUUAUUUGUCGUCGUUGUAAGGGAGGAGGUCAUUAUGCGAGGGAAUGCAAAUCUCCGCGUGUGAUGAUUGCUACCGCGGAUGGUGGAUAUGAGUCCGCUAGUGACUAUGAUGAGGAGACAUUGGCUCUUAUUACACGUGAAGAACAUGGUGGAGAUGAUUCUGAUCAUGAGACGCAAUACAUGGCUCCUGAAGACGCUGACAGGUAUGAAUGUUUAGGUGCUCAACGUGUUUUGAGUGUGCAGGUCACACAAGCUGAGCAAAAUCAGAGGCACAAUUUGUUCCAUACCAAGGGAGUUGUGAAGGAACGUUCUAUGCGCGUCAUAAUAGACGGAGGGAGCUGCAACAACUUGGCUAGCAUGGAGAUGGUGGAGAAGCUUUCUCUCACCACAAGACCACAUCCACAUCCUUACUACAUCCAAUGGUUCAACAACAGCGGCAAGGUUAAGGUAACACGUACUGUUCGUGUGCAUUUUAGUAUCUCUACAUAUGCUGAUUAUGUUGAUUGUGAUGUGGUACCUAUGCAAGCAUGUCCUUAUUACUUGGUAGACCAUGGCAAUUUGAUAAAAAUUCUGUACACCAUGGUAGAAACAAUCACUAUACUCUUGUUCAUAAGGAUAAAAAUAUUACUUUGCUUCCUAUGACUCCUGAUUCCAUUUUGAAAGAUGAUAUUAAUAGAGCUAAUAAAGCAAAACAGGAGAAGAAUAAGAGUGAAAAUCAGAUUGUGGCAAAAGAAUUUGAGCAACAAAUGAAGCCUAAUAAUAAACCAUCUAGUGUUGCUUCUGAAAUUAAAUUGAAAAGUGCAUGUUUAUUUGCCACCAAAUCUGAUAUUGAUGAGCUAGAUUUCAGCAAAUCUGUUUGCUAUGCUUUUGUGUGCAAAGAGGCAUUAUUUUCAUUCGAGGACGUGCCUUCCUCUUUGCCUCCUACUGUCACUAACAUUUUGCAGGAGUUCGCUGACGUUUUUCCACGAGACGUGCCACCGGGAUUACCGCCUAUUCGAGGGAUUGAGCAUCAGAUUGACUUAAUUCCCGGUGCUUCACUGCCAAACCGUGCACCGUACCAUACCAAUCCAGAGGAGACGAAGGAGAUUAUGCGUCAAGUACAAGAGCUUCUCGACAAAGGUUAUAUACGCGAAUCCCUUAGUCCUUGUGCUGUUCCUAUUAUUCUAGUGCCGAAAAAGGAUGGUACAUCACGUAUGUGUGUUGAUUGUAGAGGCAUUAAUAAUAUUACUAUUCGUUAUCGUCAUCCUAUUCCUAGGCUAGAUGAUAUGCUUGAUGAAUUGAGUGGCUCUACAAUAUUCUCCAAAGUUGAUUUGCGUAGUGGCUACCAUCAAAUUCGUAUGAAAUUGGGAGAUGAAUGGAAAACAGCAUUUAAAACUAAGUUUGGAUUAUAUGAGUGGUUAGUCAUGCCUUUUGGGUUAACUAAUGCACCUAGUACUUUCAUGAGAUUAAUGAACGAAGUUUUACGUGCUUUCAUUGGACGAUUUGUGGUAGUUUACUUUGAUGACAUAUUGAUUUAUAGCAGAUCUUUGGAAGAACAUUUGGAACAUUUACGUCCUGUUUUUAUUGCUCUACGUGAUGCACGUUUGUUUGGUAACCUUGGGAAGUGCACCUUUUGCACCGACCGAGUAUCUUUUCUUGGCUAUGUUGUUACUCCACAGGGAAUUGAAGUUGAUAAAGCCAAGAUUGAAGCUAUUGAGAGUUGGCCGCAGCCCAAAACGGUCACACAAGUGAGGAGUUUUCUUGGCCUCGCUGGAUUCUAUAGGCGUUUUGUGAGAGAUUUCAGCACCAUUGCUGCACCUCUCAAUGAGCUUACAAAGAAAGAUGUGCCUUUUCUUUGGGGUACUGCACAGGAAGAAGCCUUCACGGUAUUGAAAGAUAAGUUGACACAUGCUCCUUUACUCUAACUUCCUGAUUUUAAUAAGACUUUUGAGCUUGAAUGUGAUGCUAGUGGAAUUGGAUUAGGAGGUGUGUUAUUACAAGAUGGCAAACCUGUUGCAUACUUUUCUGAAAAAUUGAGUGGGCCUAGUCUGAAUUAUUCUACUUAUGAUAAAGAAUUAUAUGCUCUUGUUCGGACUUUAGAAACAUGGCAACAUUAUUUAUGGCCCAAAGAAUUUGUUAUACAUUCUGAUCAUGAAUCUUUGAAACAUAUUAAAAGUCAAGCUAAACUGAAUCGUAGACAUGCUAAAUGGGUUGAAUUCAUUGAGACUUUCCCUUAUGUCAUUAAACACAAGAAGGGAAAAGAAAAUGUUAUUGCUGAUGCAUUGUCUCGUCGCUGUACUAUGCUUUCACAACUUGACUUCAAAAUAUUUGGUUUGGAGACCAUCAAAGAUCAAUAUGUGCAUGAUGCUGAUUUUAAAGAUGUAAUGCAGAAUUGUAAAGAAGGACGAAUGUGGAACAAGUUUGUCGUUAACGAUGGAUUUGUGUUUCGUGCUAACAAGCUAUGCAUUCCAGCUAGCUCCGUUCGUCUUUUGUUGUUGCAGGAGGCGCAUGGAGGAGGAUUAAUGGGACACUUUGGCAUGAAGAAGAUGGAGGACGUACUUGCUACACAUUUCUUUUGGCCAAAGAUGAGACGGGAUGUUGAGCGUUUUAUUGCUCGCUGCACUACAUGUCAAAAAGCUAAGUCACGACUCAAUCCUCAUGGUUUAUAUAUGCCUUUGCCUGUACCUAGUGUUCCUUGGGAGGAUAUAUCUAUGGACUUUGUUUUAGGUUUACCUCGAACAAAGAAGGGGAGGGAUAGCAUAUUUGUUGUCGUGGAUAGAUUCUCGAAAAUGGCACACUUUAUACCAUGUCAUAAAAGCGAUGAUGCUGUUAAUGUUGCUGAUUUGUUCUUUCGUAAAAUUAUUCGCUUGCAUGGUGUGCCAAAUACUAUUGUUUCAGAUCGUGAUACUAAAUUUCUUAGCCACUUUUGGAGAUGUUUAUGGGCUAAGUUGGGGACUAAACUGCUUUUUAGUACUACUUGUCACCCCCAAACUGAUGGACAAACUGAAGUAGUCAAUAGAACGUUGUCUACUAUGCUUAGGGCUAUUUUGAAGAAUAAUAAGAAAAUGUGGGAGGAAUGCUUGCCUCAUAUUGAAUUUGCUUAUAAUCGUUCAUUGCAUUCUACUACUAAGAUGUGCCCUUUUGAAGUUGUGUAUGGUUUCCUACCUCAUGCACCUAUUGAUUUGUUGCCUCUUCCAUCUUCGGAGAAGGUUAAUUUUGAUGCUAAACAACGUGCUGAAUUGAUUUUAAAAAUGCAUGAGUUAACUAAGUGAUAGAGGCAAAGGUGUCCCGUCUUUCGAUGAGAUGAUGGAUAUCGCUUUGGUGGAAGUCGACUUUGACGAUCCGACUACGAACGUGCGAGGACGUCGCGCCUUAGCAAUCGCUAAACCAACUUCGAGAGGUUAUUGACCACGCUGGAGCACGAUCAACCUGACCACGAGGGUCUGUUUCCUGCGAGCAAACGAAGAACAAGCAAGAAACUAAGAUUGCAAUCUGGAUAUUGCGAAUAUAAGACGAAAGCUUUAUUGAUCAAGGUGGGGUUCUGUGACGCCUUUGUCUGGUCGUUGAACACAAACGAAGUACGCGAAGUUGCAGCUAUGGCAAACUUUUAAUCUAAACAAAACCCAAAGUCUAAACGAUGCCCUAAGGGCUGUAUAUAUGGAGGAAGAGGGGGUGAAUUUCGUGGCCCUUGGUGGAGGGGUCCGAAAUCAACCCUAUCUCUUGUUUCCCCACACAUACGGACUCUAAAAAUAGCCUAUACUUAUGUAUUUCGAAAUUACAUGGGCCUGGCCCAAUAAUAAGGUGACGCAGCACCUAAAAUAGCCUCGGGACGAAAUUUAUGAAGUGGCAUCUUGUAUAUUUCGUCCAAGGCUUCAUGCACCCAUUAUGGUGGCUUCAAAGUCCUGAAAUCAUCACUUGUAACUCCGUUCUUGUUCCCCUUGCGCAUGCCAUCAUCUCCAUGCUUGUUCUUGCUCCAAUGUUCAUCCUUCUCCAAGCUAGGCCCUUCAUUUCUAAGCAAAACAAAUGUAUCCAAUUUAGGCAGCAUCAUAUUCUCAUGAACAUUAGAAUCAUUACCAAGAAACGAAAGUACCUGGUAAUUUAGUUGGCGUGCACGAGCUCUAGUAAUUGGUCCAGUAUGUAUAGCAGCAGGGGCUGUGGGUGUAACAAUUGUAUUGAUGUCCUCAUCAUCCUCCCCUUCUUGAAAUGAAGUCGUCCUCGACGGAAGUUCAUCUUCCUCACCCAAAUAAGGCUUCAAAUCUGCAAUGUUAAAAGUGGGACUAACCCCAAAAUCUGCAGGCAGCUCAAGUUUAUAUGCAUUAUCAUUUAUUUUCUCUAACACCUUAAAGGGACCAUCAGCACGUGGCAUCAACUUUGAUUUGCGCAAAUCAGGAAAUCUAUCCUUACGCAAAUGUAACCAAACAAGAUCUCCAGGUGCAAACACAACAUGUUUUCUACCCUUAUCUCCAGCAAGUUUAUAUUUAGCAUUCAUACGCUCAAUGUUUUCCUUAGUUAACUCAUGCAUUUUUAAAAUCAAUUCAGCACGUUGUUUAGCAUCAAAAUUAACCUUCUCCGAAGAUGGAAGAGGCAACAAAUCAAUAGGUGCACGAGGUAGGAAACCAUACACAACUUCAAAAGGGCACAUCUUAGUAGUAGAACGCAAUGAACGAUUAUAAGCAAAUUCAAUAUGAGGCAAGCAUUCCUCCCACAUUUUCUUAUUAUUCUUCAAAACAGCCCUAAGCAUAGUAGACAACGUUCUAUUGACUACUUCAGUUUGUCCAUCAGUUUGGGGGUGACAAGUAGUACUUCAGUUUGUUCAGUUUCUAACUCCCAAGUAAGAUAUAUAUCAGGAACAUAUCUACCCUCAAAUGGUGGAAUAUUCAAUUUCAGUUUAGGAAUAUGGACAUCAUCUCGUACCUGAGGUGGUGGUGCAGGCCUACCAUUACGAAUAUAUACCUGAGGUCGACCUGCUGGUGGUGGUGCUGGUGGCUGCUCGUAGAUCUGAUUUUGAUCAACCUCAUCCUCAUAAUCGCCCGCAUACUCAUCAUCCUCCUGGGUACCAGCAACAGCAGUAGCAGGAGCCACAGAAGUAUCGACAGCAGCACCAACAGUUUGGCCAAACGCAAGAGGAACACGGCUCGCUCGGCGAAGGUCUAUUUCGCGACGUGGAGGUAGUCGUUGUUGUUGUUGUUGGAGAGGUGCGUUAGGUGCAGCGGGUAUUGGUGGUGGAAGACGCGCGAGCAAUUCAUUAAAUCUGUUAUCGAGCUUUGUUUCGAACGUCUUCUCAAGGCCAGUGAUCUUCUCCAUGGCCUCUUCAAAAUUGUUCAGCACAUCUUGCACCUGUUCAGUCAUCAUUUGCUGAAACUUAUCAUGAAGCUCCUUGUUCGAUAAAUUCUCCCAGUCAAUCUCGUCGGCUUGUGAUCCUGGCAUGGUUAGCAGCAAUAGAAACACACAAGAAUAUGAUCCUACAGACUACGAACAAGUGGUGGUGGUGGGUGUCACAAAUCCGUCAAGCAAAACUCAAAUUCUUACCAGUUCUUACCCAGCAACAGGCGGUGAUCGGCAACCGUUGUAGUCAAAACUCUCAAAGCUUGGAUAGAGCGAUUACCAGGGAGAGUCAAACGCACGACGUAGAUGUAUGUGGAGCUGGGAAGGCUUAUACUAUGGUAGCAAAAAGGGUCAGCAAUAAUCAAUUCAGAGAUGCAAAGUUGAAUAAACGCUCAACGACGUACUGUGCUGGUCCUAGGCUAGACUGUGCUAGAGACGCGAGCCUAGAACACCAACAAAAUCACGGCGCGGCACGUAAACAAGGGAAAAGCACACUCUGAAUUUUUUUUUUUCGCUCUUUUUUUUUGCGCUCUUUUUUUGCGCUGUUUUUUUUUGGGAAAAAUCACUAUAAUGGCGAGUGUCUCAAAACUCUUCCUAGCUCAAACUGACAGGAUGGGCACGAAAUUUUUCGACCAAUUUUUUUUUUUUUUCGACUGCCCGGACCCAAAAACUGGAAACGGGUCAAAAAAAACUUCCUAUAAUGGCACCUGUCUCAAAACACUCAGAAACACCUAAAAAUAGGNNNNNNNNNNNNNNNNNNNNNNNNNNNNNNNNNNNNNNNNNNNNNNNNNNNNNNNAAAAUAGGAUAGCCAGAAUUUUUUUCGAAAAAUGCGUUUUCGAAAAAUUUUGGGCCUAAACGGAGCGUGGCUACCCGACUCUUUUUUUUUUCUGUUUUUUUUCCGAAACCUACUCCGGCAAGGAAACACGAAUCGGAAUCUAGAUGGAUCUCGAAAACAACCCUAAUAAGCAAGGAACUCGGAUUGGUGGUGGAUAUAUGGUGGUGGUAUAUGGCAGUGGUGGUGGUAGCGGUGGUAGUAUAUGGAUAUGGAUCGGUGGUGGUAUAUGGACACGGAUUGGUGGUGGUAUAUGGAUACGGAUUCGGAGCGGUGGUGGUAGAUGGCAGGGGCGAUGAUGAUGGUGCGGCGGCGGCGUGACAACUUAUGACCAGAACUCGAAACUCUAAAAGACUAGACUCUAAGACCAGCAACUAGACACGACGAUGCAACCGCAAAUUCAACAAAGCAAAACCCUAAAAAGAUUAUGCAAAGGCUCAGAUUGGUUCGGAUAUGAUGAACUAACCCUAAUUUUUUUUGUGGCUUUUUCGUGGACUGUAGGUAUGAAGAACAGACUCGAUCUAAACUACGAAAAACUGUAAAAUCUCACCGAGCAACCUGGAAAUCUGAUACCACUUGAUAGAGGCAAAGGUGUCCCGUCUUUCGAUGAGAUGAUGGAUAUCGCUUUGUUGGAAGUCGACUUUGACGAUCCGACUACGAACGUGCGAGGACGUCGCGCCUUAGCAAUCGCUAAACCAACUCCGAGAGGUUAUUGACCACGCCGAAGCACGAUCAACCUGACCACGAGGGUCUGUUUCCUGCGAGCAAACGAAGAACAAGCAAGAAACUGAGAUUGCAAUCUGGAUAUUGCGAAUAUAAGAUGAAAGCUUUAUUGAUCAAGGUGGGGUUCUGUGACGCCUUUGUCUGGUCGUUGAACACAAACGAAGUACGCGAAGUUGCAGCUAUGGCGAACUUUUAAUCUAAACAAAACCCAAAGUCUAAACGAUGCCUUAAGGGCUGUAUAUAUGGAGGAAGAGGGGGGGAAUUUCGUGGCCCUUGGUGGAGGGGUCCGAAAUCAACCCUAUCUCUUGUUUCCCCACACAUACAGACUCUAAAAAUAGCCUAUACUUAUGUAUUUCGAAAUUACAUGGGCCUGGCCCAAUAAUAAGGUGACGCAGCACCUAAAAUAGCCUCGGGACGAAAUUUAUGAAGUGGCAUCUUGUAUAUUUCGUCCAAGGCUUCAUGCACCCAUUAUGGUGGCUUCAAAGUCCUGAAAUCAUCACUUGUAACUCCGUUAUUGUUCCCCUUGCGCAUGCCAUCAUCUCCAUGCUUAUUCUUGCUCCAAUGUUCAUCCUUCUCCAAGCUAGGCCCUUCAUUUGUAAGCAAAACAAAUGUAUCCAAUUUAGGCAGCAUCAUAUUCUCAUGAACAUUAGAAUCAUUACCAAGAAACGAAAGUACCUGGUAAUUUAGUUGGCGUGCACGAGCUCUAGUAAUUGGUCCAGUAUGUAUAGCAGCAGGGGCUGUGGGUGUAACAAUUGUAUUGAUGUCCUCAUCAUCCUCCCCUUCUUGAAAUAAAGUCGUCCUCGACGGAAGUUCAUCUUCCUCACCCAAAUAAGGCUUCAAAUCUGCAAUGUUAAAAGUGGGACUAACCCCAAAAUCUGCAGGCAGCUCAAGUUUAUAUGCAUUAUCAUUUAUUUUCUCUAACACCUUAAAGGGACCAUCAGCACGUGGCAUUAACUUUGAUUUGCGCAAAUCAGGAAAUCUAUCCUUACGCAAAUGUAACCAAACAAGAUCUCCAGGUGCAAACAUAACAUGUUUUCUACCCUUAUCUCCAGCAAGUUUAUAUUUAGCAUUCAUGCGCUCAAUGUUUUCCUUAGUUAACUCAUGCAUUUUUAAAAUCAAUUCAGCACGUUGUUUAGCAUCAAAAUUAACCUUCUCCGAAGAUGGAAGAGGCAACAAAUCAAUAGGUGCACGAGGUAGGAAACCAUACACAACUUCAAAAGGGCACAUCUUAGUAGUAGAAUGCAAUGAACGAUUAUAAGCAAAUUCAAUAUGAGGCAAGCAUUCCUCCCACAUAUUCUUAUUAUUCUUCAAAACAGCCCUAAGCAUAGUAGACAACGUUCUAUUGACUACUUCAGUUUGUCCAUCAGUUUGGGGGUGACAAGUAGUACUAAAAAGCAGUUUAGUCCCCAACUUAGCCCAUAAACAUCUCCAAAAGUGGCUAAGAAAUUUAGUAUCACGAUCUGAAACAAUAGUAUUUGGCACACCAUGCAAGCGAAUAAUUUCACGAAAGAACAAAUCAGCAACAUUAACAGCAUCAUCGCUUUUAUGACAUGGUAUAAAGUGUGCCAUUUUCGAGAAUCUAUCCACGACAACAAAUAUGCUAUCCCUCCCCUUCUUUGUUCGAGGUAAACCUAAAACAAAGUCCAUAGAUAUAUCCUCCCAAGGAACACUAGGUACAGGCAAAGGCAUAUAUAAACCAUGAGGGUUGAGUCGUGACUUAGCUUUUUGACAUGUAGUGCAGCGAGCAAUAAAACGCUCAACAUCCCAUCUCAUCUUUGGCCAAAAGAAAUGUGUAGCAAGUACGUCCUCCGUCUUCUUCACGCCAAAGUGUCCCAUUAAUCCUCCUCCAUGCGCCUCCUGCAACAACAAAAGACGAACGGAGCUAGCUGGAAUGCAUAGCUUGUUAGCACGAAACACAAAUCCAUCGUUAACAACAAACUUGUUCCACAUUCUUCCUUCUUUACAAUUCUUCAUUACAUCUUUAAAAUCAGCAUCAUGCACAUAUUGAUCUUUGAUGGUCUCCAAACCAAAUAUUUUGAAGUCAAGUUGUGAAAGCAUAGUAUAGCGACGAGAUAAUGCAUCAGCAAUAACAUUUUCUUUUCCCUACUUGUGUUUAAUGACAUAAGGGAAAGUCUCAAUGAAUUCAACCCAUUUAGCAUGUAUACGAUUCAGUUUAGCUUGACUUUUAAUAUGUUUCAAAGAUUCAUGAUCAGAAUGUAUAACAAAUUCUUUGGGCCAUAAAUAAUGUUGCCAUGUUUCUAAAGUCCGAACAAGAGCAUAUAAUUCUUUAUCAUAAGUAGAAUAAUUCAGACUAGGCCCACUCAAUUUUUCAGAAAAGUAUGCAACAGGUUUGCCAUCUUGUAAUAACACACCUCCUAAUCCAAUUCCACUAGCAUCACAUUCAAGCUCAAAAGUCUUAUUAAAAUCAGGAAGUUGGAGUAAAGGAGCAUGUGUCAACUUAUCUUUCAAUACCGUGAAGGCUUCUUCCUGUGCGGUACCCCAAAGAAAAGGCACAUCUUUCUUUGUAAGCUCGUUGAGAGGUGCAGCAAUGGUGCUGAAAUCUCUCACAAAACGCCUAUAGAAUCCAGCGAGGCCAAGAAAACUCCUCACUUGUGUGACCGUUUUGGGCUGCGGCCAACUCUCAAUAGCCUCAAUCUUGGCUUUAUCAACUUCAAUUCCCUGUGGAGUAACAACAUAGCCAAGAAAGAUACUCGGUCGGUGCAAAAGGUGCACUUCCCAAGGUUACCAAACAAACGUGCAUCACGUAGAGCUAUAAAAACAGCACGUAAAUGUUCCAAAUGUUCUUCCAAAGAUCUGCUAUAAAUCAAUAUGUCAUCAAAGUAAACUACCACAAAUCAUCCAAUGAAAGCACGUAAAACUUCGUUCAUUAAUCUCAUGAAAGUACUAGGUGCAUUAGUUAACCCAAAAGGCAUGACUCACCACUCAUAUAAUCCAAACUUAGUUUUAAAUGCUGUUUUCCAUUCAUCUCCCAAUUUCAUACGAAUUUGAUGGUAUCCACUACGCAAAUCAACUUUGGAGAAUAUUGUAGAGCCACUCAAUUCAUCAAGCAUAUCAUCUAGCCUAGGAAUAGGAUGACGAUAACGAAUAGUAAUAUUAUUAAUGCCUCUACAAUCAACACACAUACGUGAUGUACCAUCCUUUUUCGGCACUAGAAUAAUAGGAACACCACAAGGACUAAGGGAUUCGCGUAUAUAACCUUUGUCGAGAAGCUCUUGUACUUGACGUAUAAUCUCCUUCGUCUCCUCUGGAUUGGUACGGUAUGGUGCACGGUUUGGCAGUUGAUGAGGACAUGACUACCUUGGAUAUGACCAAAAAUAUUGCAUAUAUGCAUAUUUGUCAGGUGAUUUCUAGUGCAAACUAUUCAAUAAUCUAUUUGUGUUAUCCAGAACAAAAAUACUUCACACACUUUUGUGUUUUGUCUAAUUGCAGGUGUAUGGGACAUUUGUACAAUCCACAUAUGAAGAUAAGGAAGAAAGAGAUGUUUAUUUGCUGUCCAAAAAGUUCUCUCACGUCACUUUUGGCCCAAGAGAAGAUAGAGUCCAAGUCUCUCACGUUCUGGAUUCAGAUUCGGACUGCACAGACAUACCUGACUCAAAACGCACACAAGUUUUUCAUACGGACUCCGAAUUGGGUGAUUCUUUUUUUGUUGGAAACUAGAUUUCGUGCACUUUCCAACCCAAUUGGAAUCACCUUCAAAUUCGUCCGGAGCGUUGAGUUGUGGACGAAACAAUCUGGUGCUGCAGCAGAAUCCGAGUCAAACUACAAGUCCAAAGGUGUUACAUCACCUCCACUUGGGCCCAUUGGCCUUGUACGACCUAGAUUUAGUUUUAGGCUGCCUUGGGACGUCCUCCCACCUCCUUGGCCGCCACCCCUUGCUCCUAUAUAAGUAGAUCCAUCUAGUAGCUUUUCCUUAGGAUUUGUUUAGUUAAAAGUUAGCCAUUGCAACUUCGUGUACUUCGUUUGUGUCCAACGACCAGACCAAGACCGCUUACGGAUCCUCACCUUUAUCAAAACUUCAUAUAUACUCGCAAUAUUCAGAUUGCUUUUAUCAUAUUCUUGCUUGUUCUUCGAUUGCUUGCAGGAAUAGACCUUCGUGGUUAGGUUGAUUGUGCUCCAGCGUGGUCAAUAACCUUUCGGAGUUGGUUUAGCGAUUGCUAAGGCGCAACGUCGUGCACGUUUGUAGUCGGAUCGUCAAAGUCAUCUUCACCAAAUCGAUAGUUAUCAUCUCAUUGAAAGAUCGGGACACCCCCGCCUCUAUCAAGUGGUAUCAGUUUUCAGGUUGCUCGGUGAGAAUUUCCAGUUUUUCUUAGAUUAGAUUUAUUUUCUUACCUAUUGUCCAAGAAAAAGCCACAAAAAAAAAGUUAGAUCUGUUCAUCCUUUAUCCAAGCCAGUCUGAGCCUUUGCAAUUUUCUAUUCAUUGCUUGCAUAGUUGAAUUAUCGGUUGCAUCGUCGUGUCAGUUGCUGGUCUUAGUGUCUAGUUCCUUUAGAGUUUCGAGUUCUGUUCACAUUAGUCACGCCGCCACUGCAUCAUUAUCCCUUCCGCCGUCCACCAUCCCAUCUAUUAAUUUCCACCAUGUGCUACGCACUGUUCAUUGUCAUAAUCAUAGUUGAGGUCAUUCACAUCUUCGCCUGAUCCAAUCUGCAUCUUAUCUAGUUUGUCUUGGAAAGAGGGAGAAAAAAAAGAGAGAGAAAAAAAAGAGAGAAAAAAGGAAAGAAAAAAAAAGAAAAAGAGGGAGAAGAAAAAGAAAAAAAAGGCGUGAGAAAAAAAAGAGAAGAAAAAAAUUUGGAUCUAUCUAGAAUCAAUCUCGUACCUGAAUUCGGAUUGGAAUCUGUUUUGUGCACUGUUCAGUAAAACAGGUGUAUCUUCCUCAUACGAAGUCAGUUUUGGCUCCGUGAGUACUCAAAUUGAAGAUAGCGAUGAGCCGCAUCUAAAUAGUUGCAGAAGCUAGUUCAAUAUUUGACACCUCAAAAUCGGCUCUUAAAUAGGUCUUUUUGCCCUCCGAAGUUCGUGAACACAACUUGUUCCAAUUUUUCAGGCCAGUUUUAGAAUUCUUUGACUCCUCAUAUCAACUCAGAAUUGAGUGAUUCUUUUUGCAUUGGAAAGCUUGAGUUAGUAGCAUUCUUUGAAAGAAUUUAUCAGAAAAUUGUCUCAAACUUUUCAAGAGGAAAGUUGGAGAGAGAGUUGUUGUAUAUCCUGCUUGGCAGUUGUUUUUCAUCAUUAUCUUCACUGCCGUUGUGAUCUUCACUUAUAUCUAGCUGUCAAGAGCUACUUAGUAUCCUUCAUUGAUGCUAGUUGUGCUACGCCAUGACCUCAUUAGUGUUCUAGGCUCGCGUCUCUAGUCCCGUCUAGCCUAGGACCAGCACAGUACCGUCGUUGAGCGUUUAUUCAACAUUGCAUCUUUGAAUUGAUUAUUGCUAAUCUUUUGCUACCAUAUAUAGCCAACCCAGCUCCACAUAUUUCUACACCGUGUAUACGUACGCUCCCCUGGCAAUCGCUUUACUCAAUAUUCGGAGUUACUUAACACUGCUGGUUGCCGAUCACCGCCUGCUGCAUGGUAAGAACUUGUAAGACAUUGAUAUUUGCUUUACUGUGAGCGUUUUACCACCACAUCCUAGUAGUUAUAGGAACAUUAUUUUUGGGUUUUGCUUCUUGUUCUACUAAUCAUGACAGGAUCCAGAGUCAAUUCAUGGGCUUUAUCGAUCGCGGGAGACGUGCCACCACCUUUGCAAAUACCACAACCGUCACGAGAGGUGCACAAACAUCCAAAUGCACAUGAUCAGGUUAAUGUAUCUAUACCACCAUUUAAUGGCCGUUUUAAACCUGCUUUAUAUAUUGAAUGGGAGUUCGACAUAAAAAAUAUAUUUGCUUCCCAUAAUUUCGAUGAACAUAAAAAGGUUAAGGUUGCGGUUGGUUCUUUCACUGGUUAUGCUUUGGUUUGGUGGAGUGAAUAUUGUCGGUUACACCCUGAUUAUAUACCUACUACUUGGGAUGAUUUGAAACUUGCCAUGCGACAUACUUUCGUCCCUGCUUAUUAUACUCGUGGCAUGAUUAAGAAGUUGCAACACUUAAAACAAGGUAGUGAAACUGUAACAAAAUAUUAUGAUGAUUUACAAACUACCUUGUUGCAUUCCUCUUUAGAAGAAAGUGAAGAUGAUUUUAUGGAUAGAUUUUGGGGAGGAUUAAACCGUGAUAUUCAAGAGAUACUAAUUCAUGAAGAGUGUUAUCCUAUGGACCAUUUGUUUCAUCUUGCUUGCAAAGCUGAACAGGAAAUAAAACAACGUGUUGGCCACGAGGAGAACAAGCGCACGGUGCACAUUCCAAGAGUUGAUAUGAUUGUUCCUUCAACUACUAGGCAUACUAUGACAACCACAUCCGUUGUUGUCAGGACUACAUCACCUCCACCAUGUGACACAUCGCCCCCGUGAUGAGGACAUCAAUACAAUUGUUACACCCACAGCCCCUGCUGCUAUACAUACUGGACCAAUUACUAGAGCUCGUGCACGCCAACUAAAUAACCAGGUACUUUCGUUUCUUGGUAAUGAUUCUAAUGUUCAUGAGAAUAUGAUGCUGCCUAAAUUGGAUACAUUUGUUUUGCUUACAAAUGAAGGGCCUAGCUUGGAGAAGGAUGAACAUUGGAGCAAGAACAAGCAUGGAGAUGAUGGCAUGCGCAAGGGGAACAAGAACGGAGCUACAAGUGAUGAUUUCAGGACUUUGAAGCCACCAUAAUGGGUGCAUGAAGCCUUGGACGAAAUAUACAAGAUGCCACUUCAUAAAUUUCGUCCCGAGGCUAUUUUAGGUGCUGCGUCACCUUAUUUUUGGGCCAGGCCCAUGUAAUUUCGAAAUACAUAAGUAUAGGCUAUUUUUAGAGUCCGUAUGUGUGGGGAAACAAGAGAUAGGGUUGAUUUCGGACCCCUCCACCAAGGGCCACGAAAUUCCCCCCCCUCUUCCUCCAUAUAUACAGCCCUUAGGGCAUCGUUUAGACUUUGGGUUUUGUUUAGAUUAAAAGUUCGCCAUAGCUGCAACUUCGCGUACUUCGUUUGUGUUCAACGACCAGACAAAGGCGUCACAGAACCCCACCUUGAUCAAUAAAGCUUUCAUCUUAUAUUCGCAAUAUCCAGAUUGCAAUCUUAGUUUCUUGCUGGUUCUUCGUUUGCUCGCAGGAAACAGACCCUCGUGGUCAGGUUGAUCGUGCUCCGGCGUGGUCAAUAACCUCUCGGAGUUGGUUUAGCGAUUGCUAAGGCGCGACGUCCUCGCACGUUCGUAGUCGGAUCGUCAAAGUCGACUUCCACCAAAGCGAAAUCCACCAUCUCAUCGAAAGACGGGACACCUUUGCCUCUAUCAAGUGGUAUCAGUUUUCAGGUUGCUCGGUGAGAAUUUCCAGUUUUCCUAGAUUAGAUUUACUUUCUUACCUAUUGUCCAAGAAAAAGCCACAAAAAAGAGUUAGAUCUAUUCAUCCUUGGUCCAAGCCAGUCUGAGCCUUUGCAAUUUUCUUUUCAUUGAUUGCAUAGUUGAAUUAUCGAUUGCAUCGUCGUGUCGAGUUGCUGGUCUUAGUGUCUAGUUCGUUUAGAGUUUCGAGUUCUGUUCACAUUAGUCACGCCACCGCUGCAUCAUUAUCUCUUCCGCUGUCCACCACCCAUCCAUCAAUUUCCACCACGUGCUACCCACCAUUCAUUGUCAUAAUAAUAGUUGAGAUCGUUCACAUCUUCACUUGAUCCAAUCUGCAUCUUAUCUAGUUUGUUUUGGAAAGAGGGAGAAAAAAAGAGAGAAAAAAAACGAGAGAAUAAAAAGGAAAAAAAGUCAGAGAAAAAAAAAGGAGAGAAAGAAAAAAAAGUGUGAGGAAAAAAAAAGAGAGAAGAAAAAAAAACAAAAAAAUCGGCACAAACUUUUUCAGAGGAAAGUUGGAGACAAAGUUGUUGAUAUAUCCUGCUUGGCUGUUGUUUCGCCUCAUUAUCUUCACUGCCGUUGUGAUCUUCACUUAUAUCUUGCUGUCAAGAGCUACUUAGUAUCCUUCAUUGAUGCUAGUUGUGCUACGCCGUGACCUCAUUAGUGUUCUAGGCUCGCGUCUCUAGUCCGGUCUAGCCUAGGACCAGCACAGUACCGUCGUUGAGCGUUUAUUCAACAUUGCAUCUUUGAAUUGAUUAUUGCUAAUCUUUUGCUACCAUAUAUAGCCAACCCAGCUCCACAUAUUUCUACACCGUGUAUACGUACGCUCCCCUGGCAAUCGCUUUACUCAAUAUUCGGAGUUACUUGACACCGCUGGUUGCCGAUCACCGCCUGCUGCAUGGUAAGAACUUGUAAGACAUUGAUAUUUGCUUUACUGUGAGCGUUUUACCACCACAUCCUAGUAGUUAUAGGAACAUUAUUUUUGGGUUUUGUUUCUUGUUCUACUAAUCAUGACAGGAUCCAGAGUCAAUUCAUGGGCUUUGUCGAUCGCGGGAGACGUGCCACCACCUUUGCAAAUACCACAACCGUCACGAGAGGUGCACAAACAUCCAAAUGCACAUGAUCAGGUUAAUGUAUCUAUACCACCAUUUAAUGGCCGUUUUAAACCUGCUUUUUAUAUUGAAUGGGAGUUCGACAUAAAAAAUAUAUUUGCUUCCCAUAAUUUCGAUGAACAUAAAAAGGUUAAGGUUGCGGUUGGUUCUUUCACUGGUUAUGCUUUGGUUUGGUGGAGUGAAUAUUGUCGGUUACACCCUGAUUAUAUACCUACUACUUGGGAUGAUUUGAAACUUGCCAUGCGACAUACUUUCGUCCCUGCUUAUUAUACUCGUGACAUGAUUAAAAAGUUGCAACACUUAAAACAAGGUAGUGAAACUGUAACAAAAUAUUAUGAUGAUUUACAAACUACCUUGUUGCAUUCCUCUUUAGAAGAAAGUGAAGAUGAUUUUAUGGAUAGAUUUUGGGGAGGAUUAAACCGUGAUAUUCAAGAGAUACUAAUUCAUGAAGAGUGUUAUCCUAUGGACCAUUUGUUUCAUCUUGCAUGCAAAGCUGAACAGGAAAUGAAACGACGUGUUGGCCACGAGGAGAACAAGCGCACGGUGCACAUUCCAAGAGUUGAUAUGAUUGUUCCUUCAACUACUAGGCAUACUAUGACAACCACAUCCGUUGUUGUCAGGACUACAUCACCUCCACCAUGUGACACAUCGCCCCCGAGAGUGGCUACAUCAUCUGAGUUGAUCAUAAGAGGUAAUGACAAAGGUACUAAUCUUCCAUCUCUACAUGAGAAUGAUGAAUGCCUUGUCAAUUUGAAUGCACCAUCUGAUGAGCUACCCACUACUUUGAUCACACCACCUAUUUUAGAGGACUACAUUGAUAAUUUGACUUUGCCAUGUGAUCAAACAGCUGAAAUACCAACAAUGUUGAGUGCACCCAUUGAAUUAACUAUUGAUGCAAAAGAACCAAUGUUUAAUCAUUUUGAUAUGACCUCUAAUCUUGGUGAUGAUUCUGUGUUGAAUGACUUAUUGCAUGUUUGUUUAUUUAAGCAUGUUGUAGCAUGUAAAUUUGAUGCAAGUAAGGUUUAUUCACCAAUGUUGGGAUGGUUUAAUGAUGAACAUUGUCAAUCUUUUGAAAUGAAUAAGAGCUUCACUUAUAUGUGCAAACUGAGUUGCAAUAUUUUCAUGCCUUCUACUUCUUGUGCUAAUUUUUUGGCUUUAGAUUUUAUGAACUAUGCAAGUUACUCAUCUAUUCAUGUGUCAUAUAUGCAAAAAUCAAGGGAAGUAAAAAUGGAUGACAUAUACAUAUACAACAUGUACACCUUGUCUCUUUUGUUAGCCACAUUUCAGAUUAAGCAACGCCGAGGACGGCUUUAUUUUCAAGAAGGGGAGGAUGAUGAGGACAUGACUACCUUGGAUAUGACCAAAAAUAUUGCAUAUAUGCAUAUUUGUCAGGUGAUUUCUAGUGCAAACUAUUCAAUAAUCUAUUUGUGUUAUCCAGAACAAAAAUACUUCACACACUUUUGUGUUUUGUCUAAUUGCAGGUGUAUGGGACAUUUGUACAAUCCACAUAUGAAGAUAAGGAAGAAAGAGAUGUUUAUUUGCUGUCCAAAAAGUUCUCUCACGUCACUUUUGGCCCAAGAGAAGAUAGAGUCCAAGUCUCUCACGUUCUGGAUUCAGGUUCGGACUGCACAGACAUACCUGACUCAAAACGCACACAAGUUUUUCAUACGGACUCCGAAUUGGGUGAUUCUUUUUUUGUUGGAAACUAGAUUUCGUGCACUUUCCAACCCAAUUGGAAUCACCUUCAAAUUCGUCCGGAGCGUUGAGUUGUGGACGAAACAAUCUGGUGCUGCAGCAGAAUCCGAGUCAAACUACAAGUCCAAAGGUGUUACAUCACCUCCACUUGGGCCCAUUGGCCUUGUACGACCUAGAUUUAGUUUUAGGCUGCCUUGGGACGUCCUCCCACCUCCUUGGCCGCCACCCCUUGCUCCUAUAUAAGUAGAUCCAUCUAGUAGCUUUUCCUUAGGAUUUGUUUAGUUAAAAGUUAGCCAUUGCAACUUCGUGUACUUCGUUUGUGUCCAACGACCAGACCAAGACCACUUACGGAUCCUCACCUUUAUCAAAACUUCAUAUAUACUCGCAAUAUUCAGAUUGCUUUUAUCAUAUUCUUGCUUGUUCUUCGAUUGCUUGCAGGAAUAGACCUUCGUGGUCAGGUUGAUUGUGCUCCAGCGUGGUCAAUAACCUUUCGGAGUUGGUUUAGCGAUUGCUAAGGCGCAACGUCGUGCACGUUUGUAGUCGGAUCGUCAAAGUCAUCUUCACCAAAUCGAUAGUUAUCAUCUCAUCGAAAGAUCGGGACACCCCCGCCUCUAUCAGCAGUGAAGCACCGGGAAUUAAGUCAAUCUGAUGCUCAAUCCCUCGAAUAGGCGGUAAUCCCGUUGUGAUAGAGGCGAGGGUGUCCCGAUCUUUCGAUGAGAUGAUAACUAUCGAUUUGGUGGAGACGACUUUGACGAUCUGACUACAAACAUGCAUGACGUUGCGCCUUAGCAAUCGCUAAACCAACUCCGAGAGGUUAUUGACCACGCUGGAGCACGUUCAACCUGACCACGAAGGUCUAUUCCUGCAAGCAAUCGAAGAACGAGCAAGAAUAUGAUAAAGCAAUCUGAAUAUUGCGAAUAUAUAUGCAGUAUUGAUAAUGGUGGGGAUCCGUAAGCGGUCUUGGUCUGGUCGUUGGACACAAACGAAGUACACGAAGUUGCAAUGGCUAACUUUUAACUAAACAAAUCCCAAGGAAAAAGCUACUAGAUGGAUCUACUUAUAUAGGAGCAAGGGGUGGUGGCCAAGGAGGUGGGAGGACGUCCCAAGGCAGCCUAAAACUAACCCUAGGUCGUACAAGGCUCAUGGGCCCAAGUGGAGGUGAUGCAACACCUUUGGGCUUGUAGUUUGACUCGGAUUCUGCUGCAACGUCAGAUUGUUUCGUCCGUAACUCAACGCUCCGGACGAAUUUGAAGGUUAAUCCAAUUGGGAUGGAAAGAGCAGGAAAUCUAGUUUCCAACAAAAAAACAAUCACCCAAUUCGGAGUCCGUAUGAAAAAGUUGUUGGCGUUUUGAGUCAGGUAUGUCUGUGCAGUCCGAAUCUGAAUCCAGAACGUGAGAGACUUGGACUCUAUCUUCUCUUGGCCCAAAAGUGACGUGAGAGGACUUUUUGAACACAACCUAAACAUCUCCUUUUCCCUUAUCUUCAUAUGUGGAUUGUACAAAUGUCGCAUACACCUGCAAUUAGACAAAACACAAAAGUGUGUGAAGUAUUUUUGUUCUGGAUAACAUAAAUAGACUAUUGAACAGUUUGCAUUAGAAAUCACCUGACAAAUAUGCAUGUAUGCAAUAUUUUUGGUCGUAUCCAAGGUAGUCAUGUCCUCAUCAUCCUCCCCUUUUUGAAAACAAAGCCGUCCUCGGCAUUGCUUAAUCUGAAAUGUGGCUAACAAAAGAGACAAGGUGUACAUGUUGUAUAUGUAUAUGUCAUCCAUUUUAACUUCCCUUGAUUUUUGCACAUAUGUCACAUGUAUACAUGAGUAACUUUCAUUGUUCAUAAAAUCUAAAGCCAAAAAAUUAUCACAAGAAGUAGAAGGCAUAAAAAUAUUGCAACUCAGUUUGCACAUAUAAGUACAACUCUUAUUCACUUCAAAAGAUUGGCAAUGUUCAUCAUUAAACCAUCCUAACUUCGAUGAAUAAACCUUACUUGCAUCAAAUUUACAUGCUACAACAUGCUUAAAUAAGCAAACAUGUAAUAAGUCAUUGGACACAGAAUCAUCAUCAAGAUUAGAGGUCAUAUCAAAAUGAUUAAACAUUGGUUCUUUUGCAUCAACAGUUAAUUCAAUGGGUGCACUCAAAAUUGUUGAUAUUUCAGUUGUUUGAUCACAUGACGCAUUCAUGACAGUAACAAGAGUCUCUAAAAUAGGUGGUGUGCUCAAAUCAAUAGGUAACUCAACACAUGAUGCAUUCAAGUUAACUAGGCAUGCUUCAUUCUCAUGUGAAGUUAUAUCAUCAAGACCUUUACGUUACCUCGCAGAGAUGUAGCUGAUGUAGGUACGGACGUUGACAAUGUACCAUACUCUUGAGAUGAUAUUGCGCUCACAAUCCGAGGUGGGGCUGCUCUAGUAGGUGCAAUAGUGGAGUAACCAACCGGCGGUGGUGAGCAUGAACUGGAAUAGUAGUUGUUGUAGUCACCCAAUGCAUCCUCCUAUAUUUGUCUCUCAAAGGUACAAGCACGGACAUACAUACCAGUAAUGCAACAAGGAAUAUACUGAAAUCUUGCCUGAAUAUCAUGGUUCAAACCACCAAAAAAUCUAUUCACUGUAUCAUCCUCAGAUUCUUCUAUAUCACAAUGAUGCAUAUAAGAUUUGAACUCUUGGUAGUAAGCAUGAACAGUGUUACUGCCUUGUUUUAAUUGCUCCAAUUUGCGACGCAAUUCACGACGAUAGUAAGGAGGAAAAAAAUUGUUGUCUCAUUACAGCUUUCAAAACUUUCCAAGUUGUGGGUUGGUUAUCAAUGUUUUUCUUACAAUGUACACACCACCAAACAGAAGCAAAACCAGUAAAUGCUGUAAUGGUAGCUCGUACUCUCUCAAGUUCAGAAAAAUCAUGGCGACUAAAAACUUGUUCUACUUCAAGCUCCCAAGCUAGAUAAAUAGCAGGAUUAAAUCUACCCUCAAAUGAUGGUAAAGAGAUAACCUGACCAUAUGCUUGUGUGUGUUGUCCCAACUCUCGUGAUGGUGAAGAUGUGUCCGUCAUCCAAGAACUUCUAUCUCUGCAACCUGUCAUGAUUAGUAGAAACAAGAACCAAAAUUCGAGAAUAAUGUUCCUAUGAACUACUAGGAUGUGGUUGUAAAGUGCUCACAGUAAAGCAAAUAUCAAUAUCUUACAAGUUCUUACCAUGCGGCAGGUGGUGACAGGCAACCAGCGGUGUCAAAUAACUCCGAAGAUUGUGUAAAAUGAUUGCCAGGGGAACGUACGUAUACACGGUGUAGAAAUAUGUGGAGCUAGGUUGGCUAUAUAUGGUAGCAAAAGAUUAGCAAUAAUCAAUUCAGAGAUGCAAUGUUGAAUAAACGCUCAACGACGGUACUGUGCUGGUCCUAGGCUAGAUGAAACUAGAGACGCGAGCCUAGAACACUAAUGAGGUCACGUCGUAGCACAACUAGCAUCAAUAAAGGAUAUGAAGUAGCUCUGGACAGCAAGAUGUAAGUGAAGAUCACAAUAGCAGUAGACCUAUUUAGAAGCUGAUGUUGAGGUGCCAAAUACUAAACUGCAACUAUUUAGAUGCGGCUCGUCGCUAGCUUUCAUUUGAGUACUCGCGGAGCCAAAACAGACUUCAUAUGAGGAAGUUAUGCCUGUUUUACUAAACAAUGCACAAAACAGAUUCCAAUCCGAAUUCAACUACGAGAUUGAGUCUAGAUAGAUCCGAAUUUUGUUUUUUUUUCUCCUCUCUUUUUUUUCUCACAAUUUUUUUUCUUUUCCUUUCUUUUUUUUUCUCUGACUUUUUUUUUACUUUUUUUCUCUCAUUUUUUUCUCUAUCUUUUUUUUCUCUCUCCCUCUUUCCAAAACAAACUAGAUAAGAUGAAGAUUGGAUCAAGCGAAGAUGGAAACGAUCUCAACUAUGAUUAUGACAAUGAACGGUGGGUAGCACGUGGAGGAAAUUGAUGGAUGGGUGGUGGACAGCGGAAGGGAUAACAUGCAGCGGCGACGUGACUAAUGUGAACAGAACUCGAAACUCUAAACGACCUAGACACUAAGACCAGCAACUCGACACGACGAUGCAACCGAUAAUUCAACUAUGCAAGCAAUGAAAAGAAAAUUGCAAAGGCUCAGACUGGCUUGGACAAAGGAUGAAUAGAUCUAACUCUUUUUUGUGGAUUUUUCUUGGACAAUAGGUAAGAAAAUAAAUCUACUCUAGGAAAACUGGAAAUUCUCACCGAGCAACCUGAAAACUGAUACCACUUGAUAGAGG